AACUUAGAUCUAUUCCACCUAAGCAUGAUAUCAAUGAGUCUCCCAAAUCCAUGAGAAUUUCCAUUGAUGAGUGCAAAGAAAGAACCGCUAGGAUGCGUGCUAAAAAAGAUUGCUUUGUGAAAGCGUGUUCUUCUAGUUUUCAUGAUAAUAAUGAUGAAGAUCUAAAAGUGAUUGAUGUGUCCCCUAUUAAAUCUUUGUUUUCCAAUAUAAAUCUUGAUAAAGAUGGGACUGGAAAUGAGUCAGCUUUAGUUAAAAGGCGUCCCGAUGAUUCGGAGUUUUUAGAUCUUGAUGCAAAAAUUGGUAAAAGUGGGAUUGAAGAGGUUAAAACUUUACAUAGCAAUGAACCCACUAUUUUGGAUUUCAAGGAAUUUAAUUAUGAUAAUUUCUCUUUAUAGAUUGUAUUUCCUUGUUGCAAUCCGUGUUAAAUUCUCCUCAUGCUUAUAGUCAAAAUAAAGCUUUUACUAAACAUAUCGUUGAUGCUUUAAUGCAAUCUUAUGAAGAAACUUGAAUUAGAAGUUUCUAUCCCUAGAAAACUUUAUGAUGAGUGGGAACCUACUAUUAAAAUUAAGAUUAAAGAUCAUGAAUGCUAUGCUUUGUGUGAUUUGGGUGCUAGUGUUUCCACGAUUCCAAAAAAUUUGUGUGAUGUGCUAGGUUUCCGUGAAUUUGAUGAUUGUUCUUUAAAUUUGCAUCUUGCGGAUUCCACCAUUAAGAAACCUAUGGGAAGAAUUAAUGAUGUUCGUAUUGUUGCAAAUAGGAAUUAUGUGCCCGUAGAUUUCAUUGUUCUUGAUAUAGAUAAUCCUACAUGUCCUAUUAUUCUUGGUAGACCUUUCCUUAGAACGAUUGGUGCAAUUAUUGAUAUGAAAGAAGGAAAUAUUAGAUUCCAAUUUCCAUUAAGGAAAAGCAUGGAACACUUUCCUAGGAAGAAAAUUAAAUUACCUUAUGAAUCUAUUAUGAAAGCCACAUAUGGAUUGCAUACCAAAGAUGAUAAUACCUAGAUCUAUUCUUGUUUUUAUGCCUAGCUAGGGGCGUUAAACGAUAGCGCUAGUUGGGAGGCAACCCAAUUUUAUUUUUGUUCCUUGCUUUUUGUUCCCGUUUAGUAAUAAAUAAUUCAUCUAGUCUCUGGUUAGAUUUGGUUUUAUGUUUUAAUUAGUGUUUGUGCCAAGUAAAACCUAUAGGAUCUUCUUGGAUGAUAAUUACUUGAUCUUGCUAAAAAAGUCAGAAACUUUCUUAAUCACUAGAACGUGAUAAAAUACUUAUUCCAAUUGUAGUAGAUCAAUAAACAAAUUAUCUAGGCCAUCCUAUUUUUGCAGAAUCUUUUGAGUUACAGAAGUAUGCGUUUGAUACAGAUUACUACAGACUGUUCUGUUUUUGACAGAUUCUGUUUUUCGUGUGUUGUUUGCUUAUUUUAAUGAAUCUAUGGCUAGUAUCGGGGGGUAUGAACCAUAGAGAAGUUGGAAUACAGUAGGUUUAACACCAAUACAAAUAAAUAAUGAGUUCACUACAGUACCUUAAAGUGGUAGUUUGUUUUCUUACACUAACAGAGCUCGUGAGAUUUUCUGUUGAAGUUUUGUGUUGUGAAGUUUUCAAGUUUUGGGUAAAGAUUUGAUGGAUUUUGGAAUAAGGAGUGGCAAGAGCCUAAGCUUGGGGAUGCCCAAGGCACCCCAAGGUAAAAUUCAAGGACAACCAAAAGCCUAAGCUUGGGGAUGCCCCGGAAGGCAUCCCCUCUUUCGUCUUCAUCUAUCGGUAACUUUACUUGAGGCUAUAUUUUUAUUCACCGCAUGAUAUGUGUUUUGCUUGGAGCGUCUUGUAUGAUUUGAGUCUUUGCUUUUUAGUUUACCACAAUCAUCCUUGUUGUACACACCUUUUGGGAGAGACACACAUGAAUCGGAAUUUAUUAGAAUACUCUAUGUGCUUCACUUAUAUCUUUUGAGCUAAAUAAUUUUGCUCUAGUGCUUCGCUUAUAUCUUUUUAGAGCACGGUGGUGGUUUUAUUUUAUAGAAAUUAUUGAUCUCUCAUACUUCACUUAUAUUAUUUUGAGAGUCUUUUAGAACAGCAUGGUAAUUUGCUUUGGCUAUAAAAUUAGUCCUAAUAUGAUAGGCAUCCAAGAUGGGUAUAAUAAAAACUUUCAUAUAGAGUGCAUUGAAUACUAUGAGAAGUUUGAUACUUGAUGAUUGUUUUGAGAUAUUGAGAUGGUAAUAUUAAAGUUGUGCUAGUUGAGUACUUGUGAAUUUGAGAAAUACUCGUGUUGAAGUUUGCAAGUCCCGUAGCAUGCACGUAUGGUAACCGUUGUGUAACAAAUUUGAAGCAUGAGGUGUUUCUUUAAUUGUCCUCCUUAUGAGUGGCGGUCGAGGACGAGCGAUGGUCUUUUCCUACCAAUCUAUCCCCCUAGUAGCAUGUGUUGGGGAACGUAGCAGAAAUUCAAAAUUUUCUACGCAUCACCAAGAUCAAUCUAUGGAGUUUACUAGCAACGAGAGGGAAGGAGUGCAUCUGCAUACCCUUGUAGAUCGCGAGCGGAAGCGUUCAAGAGAACGGGGUUGAUGGAGUCGUACUCGUCGUGAUCCAAAUCACCGAUGAUCCUAGCGCCGAACAGACGGCACCUCCGCGUUCAACACACGUACGGAGCAGCGACGUCUCCUCCUUCUUGAUCCAGCAAGGGGGGAGGAGAGGUUGAUGGAGAUCCAGCAGCACGACGGCGUGGUGGUGGAAGUAGCGGGAUUCCAACAGGGCUUCGCCAAGCGCUGCGGGAGGAGGGAGAUGUGUCACGGGAGGGAGAGGGAGGCGCCAGGGCUUAGGUGUUUGCUGCCCUCCCUCCCCCCCACUAUAUAUAGGGCCAAGGGAGAGGGGGGGCAGCCUUGGCCCUUCCUCCAAGGAAGGGUGCAGCCAGGGAGGAGUCCAUCCUCCCCAAGGCACCUCGGAGGUGCCUUCCCCCUUUAGGACUCUCCCUUUCCCUUAUCUCUUGGCGCAUGGGCCUCUUGGGGCUGGUGCCCUUGGCCCAUAUAGGCCAAGGUGCACACCCCUACAGCCCAUGUGGCCCCCCGGGGCUGGUGGACCCCCGGACCCCUUUCGGCACUCCCGGUACAAUACCAAUAAUGCGCGAAACUUUUCCGGCGACCAAAACAAGACUUCCCAUAUAUAAAUCUUUACCACCGGACCAUUCCGGAACUCCUCGUGACGUCCGGGAUCUCAUCCGGGACUCCGAACAACUUUCGGGUUACCGCAUACUAAUAUCUCUACAACCCUAGCGUCACCAAACCUUAAGUGUGUAGACCCUACGGGUUCGGGAGAAACGCAGACAUGACCGAGACGACUCUCCGAUCAAUAACCAACAGCGGGAUCUGGAUACCCAUGUUGGCUCCCACAUGCUCCUCGAUGAUCUCAUCGGAUGAACCAUGAUGUCGAGGAUUCAAUCAAUCCCGUAUACAAUUCCCUUUGUCAAUCAGUAUGUUACUUGCCCGAGAUUCGAUCGUCGGUAUCCCGAUACCUUGUUCAAUCUCGUUACCGGCAAGUCUCUUUACUCGUUCCGUAACACAUCAUCCCGUGAUCAACUCCUUGGUCACAUUGUGCACAUUAUGAUGAUGUCCUACCGAGUGGGCCCAGAGAUACCUCUCCGUUUACACGGAGUGACAAAUCCCAGUCUCGAUUCGUGCCAACCCAACAGACACUUUCGGAGAUACCUGUAGUGCACCUUUAUAGCCACCCAGUUACGUUGUGACGUUUGGUACACCCAAAGCAUUCCUACGGUGUCCGGGAGUUGCACAAUCUCAUGGUCUAAGGAAAUGAUACUUGACAUUAGAAAAGCUCUUAGCAAACGAACUACACGAUCUUGCGCUAGGCUUAGGAUUGGGUCUUGUCCAUCACAUCAUUCUCCUAAUGAUGUGAUCCCGUUAUCAACGACAUCCAAUGUCCAUGGUCAGGAAACCGUAACCAUCUAUUGAUCAACGAGCUAGUCAACUAGAGGCUUACUAGGGACAUGGUGUUGUCUGUGUAUCCACACAUGUAUCUGAGUUUCCUAUCAAUACAAUUCUAGCAUGGAUAAUAAACGAUUAUCAUGAACAAGGAAAUAUAAUAAUAACCAAUUUAUUAUUGCCUCUAGGGCAUAUUUCCAACAGUCUCCCACUUGCACUAGAGUCAAUAAUCUAGUUCACAUCACCAUGUGAUUAACACUCACAGGUCACAUCACCAUGUGACCAACAUCCAAAGAGUUUACUAGAGUCAACAAUCUAGUUGACAUCACUAUGUGAUUAACACUCAAUGAGUUCUGGUUUGAUCAUGUUAUGCUUGUGAGAGAGGUUAUUAGUCAACGGGUCUGAACCUUUCAGAUCCGUGUGUGCUUUACGAAUAUCUAUGUCAUCUUGUGGAUGCUACCACGCGCUACUUGGAGCCAUUUCAAAUAACUUCUCUACUAUACGAAUCCGGUUUACUACUCAGAGUCAUCCGGAUUAGUGUCAAAGUUCGCAUCGACGUAACCCUUUACGACGAACUCCUUUUCACCUCCAUAAUCAAGAAAAUUCCUUAGUCCACUAGAUACUAAGGAUAAGUUCGACCGCUGUCAUGUGAUCCAUUCCCGGAUCACUAUUGUACCCCUUGACCAACUCAUGGCAAGGCACACUUCAUGUGCGGUACACAACAUAGCAUAUUGUAGAGCCUACGUCUAAAUCAUAGGGGACGACCUUCGUCCUUUCUCUCUCUUCUGUUGUGGUCAGGUCUUGAGUCUUACUCAAUACUCACACCUUGUAACACAGCCAAGAACUCCUUCUUUGCUGAUCUACUUUGAACUCUUCCAAAAUCAUGUCAAGGUGUGCGUUCUUUGAAAGUAUCAUCAGGCGUCUUGAUCUAUCUCUAUAGAUCUUGAUGCCCAAUAUGUAAGCAGCUUUAUCCAGGUCUUCCUUUGAAAAACUCCUUUCAAACAACCCUUUAUGCUUUCCAGAAAUUUUACAUCAUUUCGGAUCAACAAUAUGUCAUUCACAUAUACUUAUGAGAAAUGUUGUAGCGCUCCCACUCACUUUAUUGUAAAUACAAGUUUCUAACAAACUUUGAUCACUCCAUCAAAGCGUAUAUUCUGACUCCGAGAUGCUUGCUCUAGUCCAUGGAAGGAUCGCUGGAGCUAGCAUACCUUUUAGCAUCCUUAGGAUCGACAAAACCUUUCUGAUUGUAUCACAUACAACCUUUCCUUAUGAAAACUGGUACGGAAACUUGUUUUUGACAUCCAUCUGCCAGAUUUCAUAAAUGCAGCUAAUGCUAACAUGAUUCCGACGGACUUAAGCAUCGCUACGAAUGAGAAAAUCUCAUCGUAGUCAACUCCUUGAACUUGUGAAAAUACUCUUUGCCACAAGUCGAGCUUCAUAGACGGUAACAUUACCGUCCAUGUCUGUCUUCUUCUUAAAGAUCCAUUUAUCUCAAUGGCUUGCCGAUCAUCGGGCAAGUUCACCAAAGUCCAUGCUUUGUUCUGAUACAUGGAUCCUAUCUCGGAUUUCAUGGCUUCUAACCAUUUGUCGGAAUAUGGGCCCACCAUCGCUUCUCCAUAGCUCGUAGGUUCAGUAUUGUCUAACAACAUGAUAUCUAAGACAGGAUCACGUACCACUCUGAAGUAGCACGCAUCCUCGUCGUCCUACGAGGUUUGGUAGUGACUUGAUCCGAAGUUUCAUGAUCACUAUCAUAAGCUUCCACUUCAAUUGGUGUAGGUGCCACAUGAACAACUUCCUGUGCCCUGUUACACACUAGUUGAAGUGACGGUUCAAUAACCUUAUCAAGUCUCCACCAUCCUCCCACUCAAUUCUUUCGAGAGAAACUUUUCCUCGAGAAAGGACUCAUUUCUAGAAGCAAUUAAUUUUGCUUCCAGAUCUGAAAUAGGAGGUAUACCCAACUGUUUUGGGUAUUCUAUGAAGAUGCAUUUAUCUGCUUUGGGUUCGAGCUUAUCAGCCUGAAACCUUUUCACAUAAGCAUCACAGCCCCAAACUUUUAAGAAACGACAACUUAGAUUUAUCUAAAUGGUGUCGUCUCAACGGAAUUGCGUGGUGCCCCUUUUAAAGUGAAUGCGGUUAUCUCUAAUGCCUAACCCAUAAACGAUAGUGGUAAUUCGAUAAAAGACAUCAUGGUAUGCACCAUAUCCAAUAGGGUGCAGUUAUGAUGUUCGGACACACCAUCACACUGUGGUGUUCCAGGCGGUAUUAAUUGUGAAACACUUUCCACAAUGUCUUAAUUGUGUGCCAAACUCGUAACUCAGAUAUUCAUCUCUAUGAUCAUAUCACAGACAUUUUAUCCUCUUGUCACGACGAUCUUCAACUUCACUCUGAAAUUACUUGAACCUUUCAAUAAUUCAGACUUGUGUUUCAUCAAGUAAAUACACUCAGCAUCUACUCAAAUCAUCUGUGAAGUAAGAACAUAACGAUAUCCACUGCAUGCCUCAGCACUCAUUGGACUGCAUACAUCAAAAUGUAUUACUUCCAACAAGUUGCUCUCUUGUUCCAUCUUACUGAAAAGGAGGCCUUUCAGUCAUCUUGUCCAUGUGGUAUGAUUUGCAUGUCUCAAGUGAUUCAAUAUCAAGUGAGUCCAAACGAUCCAUCUGCAUGGAGUUUCUUCAUGCAUAUAUACCAAUAGACAUGGUUCGCAUGUCUCAAUCUUUUCAAAAACGAGCGAGUCCAAAGAUCCAUCUACAUGGAGCUUCUUCAUGCGUUCUAUACCAUUAUGACUCAAAUGGCAGUGCCACAAGUAUGUGGUACUAUCAUUACUAUUUUGUAUCUUUUGGCACGAACAUGUGUAUCACUGCGAUCGAGAUUCAUUUUAGGUGCAAGACCAUUGAAGGUAUUAUUCAAAUAAACAGAGUAACCAUUAUUCUCCUUAAAUGAAUAACCGUAUUGCGAUAAACAUAAUCCAAUCAUGCUCAACGCAAACACCAAAUCUCGAUGGUAGAGGGAGCAUGCGAUGCUUGAUCACAUCAACCUUGGAAACACUUCCAACACAUAUCGUCAUCUCACCUUUAGCUAGUCUCCGUUUAUUCCGCAGCUUUUAUUUCGAGUUACUAACACUUAGCAACCGAACCGGCAUCUAAUACCCUGGUGCUGCUAGGAGUACUAGUAAAGUACACAUUCAUAUAAUGUAUAUCCAAUAUACUUCUGUCGACCUUGCCUGCCUUCUCAUCUACCAAGUAUCUUGGGUAGUUCUGCUUCAGUGACCGUUCCCCUCAUUGCAGAAGCACUUAGUCUCGGGUUUGGGUUCAACCUUGGGAUUCUCCACUAGAGCAGCAAAUGAUUUGCUGUUUCAUGAAGUAUCCCUUUUGCCCUUGCCCUUCUUGAAACUAGUGGUUUUAUUAACCAUCAACAAUUGAUGCUCCUAUUUGAUUUCUACUUUCGCGGUGUCAAACAUCGCGAAUAGCUCAAGGAUCAUCAUAUCUAUCCCUGAUAUGUUAUAGUUCAUCACGAAGCUCUUAUAGCUUGGUGGCAGUGACUAUGGAGAACCAUCACUAUCUCAUCUGGAAGAUUAACUCCCACUCGAUUCAAGCGAUUGUGGCACUCAGACAAUCUGAGCACAUGCUCAACGAUUGAGCUUUUCUCCCUUAGUCUGCAGGCUUAAGAAACUUGUCAGAGGUCUCAUACCUCUUGACGUGGGCACUAGUCUGAAAUCCCAAUUUCAGUCUUCGGAACAUCUCAUAUGUUCUGCGACGUUUCAAAAACCGUCUUUGGUGCCACAAUUUUAAACCGUUAGCAUCACACACUGAACUAUCACGUAGUCAUCAAAACGUGUAUGUCAGAUGUUUCGCAACAUCUACAGACGACGCUGAGGUUCAGCACACCGAGCGGUGCAUUAAGGACAUAAGCCUUUUGUGCAGCAAUGAGGACAAUGCUCAGUUUACGGACCCAGUCCGCAUAAUUGCUACUACCAACUUUCAACUAAAUUUUCUCUAGGAACAUAUCUUAAACAGUAGAACUAAAGCGUAAGCUAUGACAUAAUUUGCAAAGACCUUUUGACUAUGUUUAUGAUAAUGAAGUUCAUCUGAUUAAUGAACUCCCACUCAGAGAGACAUCCCUCUAGUCAUCUAAGUGAUACAUGAUCCGAGUCAAACUAGGCCGUGUCCGAUCAUCAGGUGAGACGGACUAGUCAUCAUCGGUGAACAUCUCCAUGUUGAUCGCAUCUACUAUACGACUCAUGUUCGACCUUUCGAUCUCUUGUGUUCCGAGGCCAUGUCUGUAUAUGCUAGGCUCGUCAAGUCAACCUAAGUGUUUCGCAUGUGUUCCGAGGCCAUGUCUGUACAUGCUAGGCUCGUCAACACCCGUUGUAUUUGAACGUUAGAAUCUAUCACACCCGAUCAUCACGUGGUGCUUCGAAACAACGAACCUUCGCAACGGUGCACAGUUAGGGGGAACACGUCUCUUGAAAUUUUAGUGAGGGAUCAUCUUAUUUAUGCUACCGUCGUUCUAAGCAAAUAAGAUGUAAACAUGAUAAACAUCACAUGCAAAUCAUAAAGUGACGUGAUAUGGCCAAUAUCAUCUUGCGCCUUUUGAUCUCCAUCUUCGAGGCGCGGCAUGAUCACCUUCGUCACUGGCAUGACACCAUGAUCUCCAUCAUCAUGAUCUCCAUCAUCGUGUCUUCAUGAAGUUGUCUCGCCAACUAUUACUUCUACUACUAUGGCUAACGGUUAGCAAUAAAGUAAAGUAAUUACAUGGCGUUAUUCAUUGACACACAGGUCAUACAAUAAAUUAAGACAACUCCUAUGGCUCCUGCCGGUUGUCAUACUCAUCGACAUGCAAGUCGUGAUUCCUAUUACAAGAACAUGAUCAAUCUCAUAAAUCACAUAUAUCAUUCAUCACAUCCUUUUGGCCAUAUCACAUCACAUAGCAUACCCUGCAAAAACAAGUUAGACGUCCUCUAAUUGUUGUUGCAUGUUUUACGUGGCUGCUAUGGGAUUCUAGCAAGAGCGUUUCUUACCUACGCAAAAGCCACAACGUGAUAUGCCAAUUUCUAUUUACCCUUCAUAAGGACCCUUUUCAUCGAAUCCGAUCCGACUAAAGUGGGAGAGACAGACACCCGCUAGCCACCUUAUGCAACUAGUGCAUGUCAGUCGGUGGAACCUGUCUCACGUAAGAGUACGUGUAAGGUCGGUCCGGGCCGCUUCAUCCCACGAUGCCGCCGAAUCAAGAUAAGACUAGUAACGGCAAGUAAAUUGACAAAAUCGAGGCCCAUAACUACUUUGUGUUCUACUCAUGCAUAGAAACUACGCAUAGACCUAGCUCAUGAUGCCACUGUUGGGGAACGUAGCAGAAAUUCAAAAUUUUCUACGCAUCACCAAGAUCAAUCUAUGGAGUUUACUAGCAACGAGAGGGAAGGAGUGCAUCUACAUACCCUUGUAGAUCGCGAGCGGAAGCGUUCAAGAGAACGGGGUUGAUGGAGUCGUACUCGUCGUGAUCCAAAUCACCGAUGAUCCUAGCACCGAACAGACGGCACCUCCGCGUUCAACACACGUACGGAGCAGCGACGUCUCCUCCUUCUUGAUCCAGCAAGGGGGGAGGAGAGGUUGAUGGAGAUCCAGCAGCACGACGGCGUGGUGGUGGAAGUAGCGGGAUUCCAACAGGGCUUCGCCAAGCGCUGCGGGAGGAGGGAGAUGUGUCACGGGAGGUAGAGGGAGGUGCCAGGGCUUAGGUGUUUGCUGCCCUCCCUCCCCCCCACUAUAUAUAGGGCCAAGGGAGAGGGGGGGCACAGCCUUGGCCCUUCCUCCAAGGAAGGGUGCGGCCAGGGAGGAGUCCAUCCUUCCCAAGGCACCUCGGAGGUGCCUUCCCCCUUUAGGACUCUCCCUUUCCCUUAUCUCUUGGCGCAUGGGCCUCUUGUGGCUGGUGCCCUUGGCCCAUAUAGGCCAAGGCACACACCCAUACAGCCCAUGUGGCCCCCCGGGGCUGGUGGACCCCCUUGGUGGACCCCCGGACCCCUUUCGGCACUCCCGGUACAAUACCGAUAAUGCGCGAAACUUUUCCGGUGACCAAAACAAGACUUCCCAUAUAUAAAUCUUUACCUCCGGACCAUUCCGGAACUCCUCGUGAUGUCCGGGAUCUCAUCCGGGACUCCGAACAACUUUCGGGUUACCGCAUACUAAUAUCUCUACAACCCUAGCGUCACCGAACCUUAAGUGUGUAGACCCUACGGGUUCGGGAGACACGCAGACAUGACCGAGACGACUCUCCGGUCAAUAACCAACAGCGGGAUCUGGAUACCCAUGUUGGCUCCCACAUGCUCCUAGAUGAUCUCAUCGGAUGAACCAUGAUGUCGAGGAUUCAAUCAAUCCCGUAUACAAUUCCCUUUGUCAAUCGGUAUGUUACUUGCCCGAGAUUCAAUCAUCGGUAUCCCGAUACCUUGUUCAAUCUCGUUACCGGCAAGUCUCUUUACUCGUUCCAUAACACAUCAUCCCGUGAUCAACUCCUUGGUCACAUUGUGCACAUUAUGAUGAUGUCCUACCGAGUGGGCCCAGAGAUACCUCUCCGUUUACACGGAGUGACAAAUCCCAGUCUCGAUUCGUGCCAACCCAACAGACACUUUCGGAGAUACCUGUAGUGCACCUUUAUAGCCACCCAGUUACGUUGUGACGUUUGGUACACCCAAAGCUUUCCUACGGUGUCCGGGAGUUGCACAAUCUCAUGGUCUAAGGAAAUGAUACUUGACAUUAGAAAAGCUCUUAGCAAACGAACUACACGAUCUUGCGCUAGGCUUAGGAUUGGGUCUUGUCCAUCACAUCAUUCUCCUAAUGAUGUGAUCCCGUUAUCAACGACAUCCAAUGUCCAUGGUCAGGAAACGUAACCAUCUAUUGAUCAACGAGCUAGUCAACUAGAGGCUUACUAGGGACAUGGUGUUGUCUAUGUAUCCACACAUGUAUCUGAGUUUCCUGUCAAUACAAUUCUAGCAUGGAUAAUAAACGAUUAUCAUGAACAAGGAAAUAUAAUAAUAACCAAUUUAUUAUUGCCUCUAGGGCAUAUUUCCAACAGCAUGCGCGUAGUGCUUGGUUUUUGAUGACUUGUAGAUUUUUGCAAUAAGUAUGUGAGUUCAUUAUGACUAAUGUUGAGUCCAUGGAUUAUACGCACUCUCACCUUUCCAUCAUUGUUAGCCUCUUCGGUACCGUGCAUUGCCCUUUCUCACCUUGAGAGUUGGUGCAAACUUCGCCGGUGCAUCCAAACCCUGUGAUACGAUACGCUCUAUCACACAUAAACCUCCUUAUAUCUUCCUCAAAAUAGCCAGCAUACCUACCUAUUAUGGCAUUUCCAUAGCCAUUUCGAGAUAUAUUGCCAUGCAACUUUCCACCGUUUCAUUUAUUAUGACACACUUCAUCAUUGUCAUAUUGCCUUGCAUGAUCAUGUAGUUGACAUCGUAUUUGUGGCAAAGCCACCAUGCAUAAUUUUUCAUACAUGUCACUCUUGAUUCAUUGCCCAUCCCGGUACACCGCCGGAGGCACUCAUAUAGAGUAAUAUUUUGUUCUAGUAUCGAGUUGUAAUAAUUGAGUUGUAAAUAAAUAGAAGUGUGAUGAUCAUCAUUAUUAUAGCAUUGUCCCAUGUGAGGGAAAAAAAGAGGAAGGCCAAAUAAAAGAAAAGAGAAAGGCCAAAUAAAAAAGAUGGCCCAAAAAAAUGAGAGAAAAAGAGAGAAGGGACAAUGCUACUAUCCUUUUGCCACACUUGUGCUUCAAAGUAGCACCAUGGUCUUCAUGAUAGAGAGUCUCUUAUUUUGUCACUUUCAUAUACUAGUGGGAAUUUUCAUUAUAGAACUUGACUUGUAUAUUCCAACAAUGGGCCUCUUCAAAUGCCCUAGGUCUUCAUGAGCAAGCAAGUUGGAUGCACAUCCACUUAGUUUCUUUUGUUGAGCUUUCAUACAUUUAUAGCUCUAGUGCAUUCGUUGCAUGGCAAUCCCAAUUCCUUGCAUUGACAUCAAUUGAUGGGCAUCUCCAUAGCCCGUUGAUUAGUCGCGUCAAUGUGAUACUUUCUUCUUUUUGUCUUCUCCACACAACCCCCAUUAUCAUAUUCUAUUCCACCCAUAGUGCUAUGUUCAUGGCUCACACUCAUGUAUUGCGUGGAAGUUAAAACAGUUUGAGAAUACUAAAGUAUGAAACAAUUGCUUGGCUUGUCAUCGGGGUUGUGCAUGAUGAGAGCAUUUUUGUGUGACGAAAAUGGAGCAUGACCAAACUAUAUGAUUUUGUAGGGAUGAACUUUCUUUGGCCAUGUUAUUUUGAGAAGACAUAAUUGCUUAGUUAGUAUGCUUGAAGUAUUAUUAUUUUUAUGUCAAUAUUAAACUUUUGUCUUGAAUCUUUUGGAUCUGAACAUUCAUGCCACAAUAAAGAAAAUUACAUUGAAAAUUAUGUUAGGUAGCAUUCCACAUCAAAAAAUUUGUUUUUAUCAUUUACCUACUCGAGGACGAGCAUGAAUUAAGCUUGGGGAUGUUGAUACGUCUCCAACGUAUCUAUAAUUUUUUAUUGUUCCAUGCUAUUAUAUUAUCUGUUUUGGAUGUUUAAUGGGCUUUAAUAUGCACUUUUAUAUUAUUUUUAGGACUAACCUGUUAACCGGAGGUCCAGUGCCAGUUGCUGUUUUUUGCCUAUUUCAGUGUUUUAUAGAAAAGGAAUAUCAAACGGAAUCCAAACGGAAUGAAACGCGAGGAUCGUUUUUGGAACAAACGCAAUCCAGGAGACUUGGAGUGAACGUCAAGGAAGUAACGAGACGGCCACGAGGCAGGGAGGCGCGCCCAGGGGGUAGGCGUGCCCCCACCCUCGUGGGCCCCUCGUAGCUCCACCGACCUACUUCUUUCGCCUAUAUAUACUCUUAUACCCUAAAAACAUCUUAGGGAGCCACGAAACAACUUUUCCACCGCCGCAACCUUCUGUACCCGUGAGAUCCCAUCUUGGGGCCUUUUUCGGCGCUCCGCCGGAGGGGGAAUCGAUCAGGGAAGGAUUCUACAUCAACACCAUAGCCUCUCCGAUGAUGUGUUAGUAGUUUCCCACAGACUUUCGGGUCCAUAGUUAUUAGCUAGAUGGCUUCUUCUCUCUCUUUGGAUCUCAAUACAAAGUUCUCCUCGAUGUUCUUGGAGAUCUAUUCGAUGUAAUACUUUUUGCGGUGUGUUUGCCGAGAUCCGAUGAAUUGUGGGUUUAUGAUCAAGUUUAUCUAUGAACAAUAUUUGAUUCUUCUCUGAAUUCUUAUAUGCAUGAUUUGAUAUCUUUGCAAGUCUCUUUGAAUUAUCGGUCUAGUUUGGCCUACUAGAUCGAUCUUUCUUGCAAUGGGAGAAGUGCUUAGCUUUGGGUUCAAUCUUGCGGUGUCCUUUCCUAGUGACAGUAGGGGCAGCAAGGCACGUAUUGUAUUGUUGGCAUCGAGGAUAAAAAGAUGGGGUUUAUAUCAUAUUGCUUGAGUUUAUCCCUCUACAUCAUGUCAUCUUGCCUAAUGCAUUACUCUAUUCUUAUGAACUUAAUACUCUAGAUGCAUGCUGGAUAGCGGUCGAUGUGUGGAGUAAUAGUAGUAGAUGCAGAAUCGUUUCGUUCUACUUGACACGGACGUGAUGCCUAUAUACAUGAUCAUGCGUAGAUAUUCUCAUAACUAUGCGCUUUUAUAUCAAUUGCUCGGCAGUAAUUUGUUCACCCACCGUAAAUAUAUGCUAUCAUGAGAGAAGCCACUAGUGAAACCUAUGGCCCCCGGGUCUACUUUCCAUCAUAUAAGUUUCCGCUCUAUUUUAUUUUGCAAUCUUUACUUUCCAAUCUAUACAACAAAAAUACCAAAAAUAUUUAUCUUAUUAUCUUUAUCAGAUCUCACUUUUGCAAGUGACCGUGAAGAGAUUGACAAUCCCUUUAUCGCGUUGGUUGCAAGGUUCUUAAUUGUUUGUGCAGGUACUAGGGGAUUUGCGUGUAGUCUCCUACUGGAUUGAUAUCUUGGUUCUCAAAAACUGAGGGAAAUACUUACGCUACUUUGCUGCAUCACCCUUUUUUCUUCAAGGGAAAACCAACGCAUACUCAAGAGGUAGCAAGAAGGAUUUCUGGCGCCGUUGCCGGGGAGAUUUGCGCCAUGUCAAGUCAAGAUUUGAUCUCCCGUGAACGUCUCGAGGAGCAUGUGUGCUAAUGCGGGCUUGUUUCCGCUGCGUGGUUGACUGUUGUAUAUGUCCUUGAGUGCUUUGUGUGUGCGCGCGAUGCAUACUCGGUGUGGGUGCCUGACGUGUGUCGUUUUGAUUUUUUUUAGAGAUUAAUUUUUAGUAUGUACUCCCUUCGUUUCUUUUUACUCUGAGUAUAAAAUUUCAAGGAAGUUAAAAUUUGUAAAAUUUGAUAUAAUUUAUAUAAAAAAAUUUAACAUCUAAAAUUUUAAAGUUAUAUAGUACGAAAAUUAAUUCCAUGAUGCAUCUAAUAAUAUAUUUUUUGGUAUUCUGAAUGUUGAUAUUUUUUCUACAAACAUGGUCAAACUUUAUGAAUUUUGACUUGAAACAAAUCCAUGCGAAAUUAAAAGAAACAGAGUGUGGUUGUUUCCAGUAUGACCAAAGCAUCCAUGAAUCUGUGCACCUUUGUUGACAGUGCUUCCGCUUGCCUCGCUGAAAUUUCAAGCAUUGGUGGCUCCAACGUUCGGUCCAUCUAGGCAAGGGUAAAAAGAAGGAUAAGCGACGAUACAAUUAGGACAUGGACAAGUGGGUAAGGGAUUUUGAACCAUGCUUACUGGACUAGGGCAUGUGAUAUUUUUUAAAUAAUUUUAAAAAAUCAAUUUUAGUUCACAUUAUUCUAAAAAGCCCAAUUUCCAAAAAGUAAAAAUAUUCAAAUUAUGUGUUCUUUUCCAAAAAUAUUGAAAUUUCGAAAUUUAUUCAUAAUUUUCAAAAAAUUGUUCACAAUUUCAAAAAAAGGAAAGUUCAUAAAUAAUUCGGAUUCUCAAAUUUUUAUUCGCUUUUCCCAAAAUAAUGUUUCAAAAGCGAGGCGAGAGAGGCUUCGUAGACUCUAUGAGUAGUUUUUUUAGGGGUUUCCGACGAGUAGUAGUAGGCCGGGCCGAACGUCACUUACAAGGAAGUGCAAACAAGCCGGCCUGUGUUUCAGAUCUUGGGCUGCAUCAAGCCCAGCCCAUUACCACACACAGCGCCCCCACUACUCUCGCGUCUCUCCCAGUGAGAGAGCCCGAGAACCACACCUGAAUCUCGACCUCCUCCUCCUCCCAGCGACCAAAUCUGCCGCCGCGCCGCCCGCCGGAAGGAGCGAAUCGAGCCCCGCGGCUGCGCGAUGAACACCGACAUCACCGCGUCAGUGAAGCCGGAGUACCCGGUGGUGGAUCGGAACCCCGCCUUCACCAAGGUCGUCGGCAACUUCUCCGCGCUCGACUACAUGCGCCUCUCCACCAUCUCCGCCGUCUCCGUCACCGUCGGCUACCUCUCCGGUACGUCCUCCUAGCCCCUGACCUCCUCCCCGUACGGCCGUCCUCUUUCGCUUCGCCCCCGGAGGCUCAAAUCCGCGUUCUUGGGGGGUGCUCGCAGGGAUCAAGCCGGGGAUCCGCGGGCCGUCGAUGGUGACGGGGGGCCUCAUCGGGGUCCUCGGAGGGUUCAUGUACGCCUACCAGAACUCCGCCGGACGCCUCAUGGGGUUCUUCCCCAACGAAUCCGAGGUCGCGCGCUACAAGUACAAGCUGUAGUGGUAGAAGGCAUCAUCAUUUCUCCCCGUUUCUCUACCGCAAGUGUUACUUCUUUGCUUUUAUCUUUCUCUAAUCUCGUGUGAGCAAUGUGUGGUCUUGGUGUAAUAAAUGGGGUGCCUUGCUGCACAGUAGUGAGGAAUUCAUGCUAUGAUUUUACUCGUUUUGUUAUAAUUUGGUCGCCAUUUCGGUAAACUUCUGGAAAUGGAGAACUGUUGUGUUAAAAUAGAUUUUUGUAUCUUAGAUUAAGUAGUGUGAUUUUCUUUUGCUUCACGCUGGCUAGCUGUGGCUUAAGUUUGUCCAAAGAGGUGUCGAGAGAACUUUCUUUAUCUAUAGUUACCUGGUGUGAAACUGUUAUGGCCUAGAUGACUAGAUGUGGUGUGAAUAUUAGUGCACAUGCAGCUCUAGAGAAUUUGGGAAUAUGAAGUUAGGUUGCAGGUUUAGGCAGCACUUGAGCACACAUAGAUUCAUCAAUGCUUACAAGCCCAAGUUUUGCUGCCUGGUAACUUGAUCCACAUAAUGAGUUGAUGAUAAUUGUACUCCCUUCAUUCCAAAAUACAUAGCUUAUUAGGUUUCGUUAGGACAAGCCGUUGGUCAAUAAUUACUCUAUUCAUAUAUAUAUUUUUUGUGACAUAAAAAUUGAUUUCAUUAGAUUCAUAUUCCAAAUACUUAUUUGUGGUUAUGAUUUUCUAUCACAAAAGUUACAUACAUGAAAGUUAAUUCAAAGACUUGUCUUGAGGAAACCUAAUAUGCAAGGUAUUUUGGAACAGAGGUAAUAUUUGGCAAGUGUGCAUCCAUGAAUUUUGAGUUAAUAUGAAAUAAGGUCAAUUAUUCUUCUUACUUCCAUUCACCAUCAUGCUAGGUUGGAUAGGUAUCAUAGGAAUGAAUAUAUCUGAUUGUUUGUGGAAAAUAUGCUAACCUCAUAUUAAAAUGGAUCCUGCUGUGAAAUAGGGAAUCCUUAUGCUAAAAUUGAAAAUAAAAUAAAAUUGGGCAACUGGUAGGAGCUCUGCCUUUCAAUUAAGUAGAAGAAGAAUUCACCAGUCAAAAGAAAAACUGGCUCUCGUUUAGGGAUUGGGAUCUUGUCUACCUGUAGUGGUAACUAUGUUGGUCAGGCUGGCUUGUUGAGGUGAAUGCUCCUCAAAAGAUUGUUUGGAUGAUUCUUUCAUAUUUUUGUGGGGAAUUACCUGGUGUUACAUUACGGUCCAUAUGUUAGUUGCAAUUUGUCAGUUUAAUGCACAUGCAUCUCAAAAGAAUCUUGGAAAGGGAGAUACAUGGCUGGUUUUAAGGAGCACCUGAGCACAUAGGAAGUCCAUUGAGGCUUACUAACCUCGGAAAUUGAUAAGUUAUGGUGUGAAAAAAAUGUGAUCCGGCUGGCAAUAGUUGUAUCAACGAGUGUGCUUCCGUACAUUUUUAGUUGGUAGGAGUAUGAAAUAGAGUGCUUAUUCUUGCUCUUAUUCACCUUCAUAGCUUGAUGCUCAAUUGGAACCUAGUAAUAAAUUUUAAAUUCCUGGCCACUACCUUGAUAUUUUUCAACAUAAUCAUCUGUUGUUUGGUUGGAAUCCACUAAUGACAUUAAAAUUACAGGUCACUGCAUUGGAUGAGAUUUUGGCCAACUUAUCUAUUUGAGUAGGAACGAUUGAUCCUACUGUAGAAUUUGGAAGAUGUGUUAAAAUGAAUUUUAGCCUGGUUUUGCAUGCGGUGGUAGGCUGGUACGUAGUUUUAUAGUCAAGAUGUGGCCAUGUGGGUGCCUGGGUGGUGCAUCUAUAAGGAACCUAGUAAAAUGAAGACAUAUCUUAAGAUUUAACGAGCACUGGAGUACACAGAAAGUUCAUCUUUGCUUACUAACCUAGCAAACAACCUGAGCCACCUGGGGAUAAUGGUAUUGUCAAGUGUCGUGUGUACAUUUUUUGUUAAUACCAGUUGGUUAUUCUCUUGGAUGUUCGCCUUGAGCAAUAUUUUUAGAAGCUGAUCACUGUUUUUCAGAUACAAACUGCAAUUAUAGAAUUUAAGAAUAUAUUUGAUGACUGGUAUAAUUAAUCACUUGUUGUUAACCAUUUUCUAGUAAAAAAAUUCAGGGUAGGCUUUGCAGCAUCUAAAAGUUUCAACCAUAAUCGCGAUGCGUAUAGGUUUCCCCAGCAAGGUUAUAUGAGAUUGUCCAUCUGGGAAUAUUGUGAGAAGCCUGUUGUUGCAAAAGAAACAGCUUGGUAUAGGAUUGUGUUUUGAUUGAACAUUGUUGGUGACUUGGCGUUUGUUUCUGUGGUGUGCUUGCAUUUGUUUCUUAUAUGGUGGAGAACUGACCUUAUAUUGGGCAUGUGUAUUCAUGUCCAUAGUAUUCAUAUUUCAUGCUCUUGAGAUAGUAUCAGACUGUAUAUUCGUUUCAAGCACAUAUGAGAUUCAUCCGCUGGAAGAGCUUGAGAUUAAGCCGUUUAUGCAUAUGAAGUAAUUGCAAUGCUCUUUCGGUUUAUUUACCUUCCCGUGAAUUCAGUCGCUAGGGACUGUAUGGCUGGAUGUGAAGUGAACAAAACUUUGAGGUUGCUUUAUCUCGGUUGCUUAACCCCCACCUGAUGGACAUUGUUUUGCACUUCUUUAUCCUUGUGUCUUAUGUAAUUAUGCAAGUCAAAUUCAGUUGUAGGAGUAGGAGUAGGUACAUAUUAGGCCAAAAACUGCGGCAUUGUAUCCGAGGGAAACACUUGGGUAUCACUAAUUGAUUGUCUCUGCAUUGUUCACUGGCUCUUACCCAAGCCCUGGAACAGGUAAACAAAAUCCAGCUCUACCACGCCUGAAGGAAAACGCCGUAAAAAUUCCUCGAUCUUUUUAUGGCUAUACACACCUAUCCGUUCAUAUGCAAGACAUGGCAGUACAUUAGGCAAGUUUGCACACUAAUUUACAGAUAACUACUCCUAGUUAGCCACAACGUGAGGAUUCAAUCUUCAACGGGGAAGAACCACGUCCGAAACCGCGGGCUAUCCCGGCAGGGGCGCGGGCACCGACGACUCCGGCAGCAACGCCGUGAUCGUCUUACGUCUCAUGUCGAACACGCCGGAGUCCCCGAGCGAGCCAUCACCGGGCUUCCUCCCAAGGUACUGGCGUCUCAGGAAAUAGACACAAUCUUCUCGAGCUCCAUCGCCGGCGGGGGCAGACUUGGAGCACCGUGCACACACGAAGAUCGCCCGGCCACCCAGGCCGUAGACCUUCUUCCACCGGCCGACGCGCGGCCUGCCGUCUCCCAGCUCCGCCUCGAACACGUCCAGCCGCUGAGUCCGCUCCAUGCGCCUGUAACCACCCGGUCCGUCCGCCGCCGAUCUCACGCGCCGCCUCGCCAUGCUCUCCGGCGCGUCCCAUCUCACCCAUCGCCUCACCAUCAGCAGCUUGCCGUCGGACUCGACCAGGUACAGCCGGGCCACGCUGUCGGGAAAUCUUUUCUGAAUCCUGUAGCGUAUGUACCGAGAACUGUCGUGGGAGUCGUGUGCCCGACUGCCUUCGAUCAGCGGGACGCCGCCUACCACGUCGGGCCUGGCUCCGGCCGGGGUCGGCUUGCGGGGGCUGCCAUUGCCGAGCUCGAAGCCGAGGAGCUCCUCGGUGUGGGAGAGGCCGUAAGAUCUUGCCGUGAAACAGAGCAAUGUCGACGAUGGAGAGCUCGCUCAGCACCAGGCAGGAGUUGACCUCGCCGCCCGGGCGGCGGGUCGAGACGAUGACUCUGCAGUCGCUGGUCAGGACGGCGAUGACGGGGAGCGCCGCCGAGGGCGCGGAGACCACCACCUUCUCGAUGCUCCUCCUGUACAUCCCGUCGUGGGGGUCGACCUUGUAGUACCGCAGGAGGGCGGCGAGCUCGGGGUGGGGGGUCAUGGCGCCCGAGAAGGCGUCCAUCAGGGAGCACCGGCCGUCGUGGUGCAUGACGAAGAGCAUGUUCUCGCCCGCGCUGUAGCAGCCGGCGGCGUCGUCCGGGAGGCGCACGCGGUGCGCGCAGCUGUUGGCCGCGUCUAGCAGGGUGCCGUCGCCGAAGAGGAUCCAGGGGAGCUACACCGGGGGCGGCGGAUGAUGCCUGGCGCUCGAGCGCCACGCGCGGCAGACGGCGCGGAGGCGGACGCGGUCGACGAGGGACGGCAGACGGUGGAGGACGACGCCUAGGAGAUCCGGCGGCAGGUCCGGCCACCCGGAUCGGCACCGAUUUUUGGGAGGCGCCAUCUGGGGUGAUCUAAUGUCCCGGUAGGUAAGCACGAUAUAUGCUUAUAUACGGUUGUGAAUCCUAGACGGAGGAGUUGGGACUCGACUGGGCGUCUCCCGGAUAAUGGAUCCGAUCCGGCGAACUCAGUCCACCGAGAACUCGCCCAGCCCAACGACGCCGAGUAGUUUCCGAGCGCAACGACGAAGGCGAAGAAGCAAGGGUUGGGUACUACAACUACAGAAAACUAGCGUAUACAUAACGGUGACUGCAUCUAAAACUAGCUCGAGACGGCACCAGGAAGCCGUGUUUACUUCCAGCAACCAAAGUCAAUUGCGGGAGCUCCUAUUCGAUGCUCCUUGCGUGGAAUAGUGGUUUUUUUUUGGGUACGUGGAAUAGUACGUCUUUUUAGGGGUAUAUGUGAAUUGUUUUUUUAACACGGACGCAAGCGCUCGUACAUACGCGCAUACACUCACCCCAUGAACGCACACACGCACACUCUACCCCUAUGAGCACCUCCGAGAGACUGAGCCGGCAUAUUAUCUUGAAAUUUACGAAGUCACCGUAGUCACCUCGUCAUCGACGGGAGCGUCUCCUCCCAUUGUAGACUCAUCUUUUCUUAAUAUGUGGCUAUGUUAUCACAUGCCUCUCUUUCUCCAUUAAUUACAUGUCACAUCAUCUAUUUUGCCUAGAUAAGUGUGAUGUUAUCACCUAUGUUACUCCCACUGUGGCUAGUCUCACUGGCCCCAUGUGGCUGGGUCAAUCAAGUUUCUUCCCCCGCCCCAUUGGGGCACGCCGAACGACGUGCAGGGUCCAUGCAGAUCUUAUUCAAAUCCACCAUACGUGCUACUGCUCCGUUUUGUUUUCGACGGAAGUUUGUUGCCAGAUCCAGCCGCUCACAUUCAUCAAUCUGACUCCGCAGAUGAUUCAUCCAAGACGCAUUACAAAAUUUAUUGCGAUGCAAUGAUUGUUACCCUAGGUGAUUAUGAAGUCUCUUGCUUUUCUACAAGUGUUUAAUCCUUCAUUAUCAUGUUUGUUGAAACUCACAUUUUGUCUAAAUUUCAUGUCAUUUUCCUAACAUAACCAUGUACAAUAGCUCAGAGAACAUUACGCAGCCUACUGCCACUACUGAUCUGUUUGGGCGACUAAUCCCGAGCUCACGUGAGCUCGUGUUUGCUAGGUUGAACGUCUUGGUUGGGGCUAUGUGGUGGCGGCGAUGUCCCUCGUUAGCAAUAAUGUCUCCCACGUCCUAUCCCCGUCCCGAUGAUGCGAAUAGCGUUGUCGGAGGAUGUGUGGAGGUGUGUCUCCGUCGAAUCUCAUGGGAUUCGACCGGUGCUGGUCUUCGGUGGAUCUAUUUGGAUCUAGUGUUUGUUCGUCUUCGUUCGUGUGGUUCCAGAUUUGAUCUUUCCGAUCUACAACUCUCUUCAUCGACGAUGGUUGCUGCUCUAGUACGCUGGUCCUUUAGGACCUUAGCACGAUGACUUCCCGACUGUCUACUACAACAAGGUUUGCCCGGCUCCGGUGAUGGAGGGGCGCUGACGACGGCACGCCUUCGGCUCGCUCCAGUGCUUGUAGUCGUUGCUAAGGUCCAUAGAUCUGGUUGUAAUUUUUAUUACCUCUUGUGUUCUCUGUACUGCCAUGAUUGAUGAAUAGAUUGGAAAUUUCUCUCGAAAUUUUUUUUUUAAAAAAGAUCUGCUUUUUUUAUGCGGAACACUGAGAAAUGUUUUGAUAGCUUGCAAAAUUUCAUCACCAUAUGACAUUCGAGGAAAAUGUGGGAAAAAACAAAAUCAAUGCAUCAAUUUUGUUUUUUAUUGCCACAUUUUCCACGAAUGUCAUAUAGUGAUGAAAUUUUGCAGUCUAAAAAACUUAUCUCAAUGUUUGACACACAAAAAAUCGGAACUUUCUGAAUUUCUUUCAUUUUUUUUUAAAUUUUACUAUUCACCCAGCUCGGGGAUCAGAACAGCCGCUUCCUCUGUUUGGGGUUGUUUGUGAUAUCGAUUCUUUCCCAUGUGAACUUCCAGUCUUCUAUGCUUUUUUUUUUAGGGAUCAGUCUUCUAUGCUUUGAGUCCUAUUGUCUCUGCAACUUCUACUGAUAUAGCUCUUUCAGUUACUAAUGAGUACAACAGAUUGUCUGAAGAAUUUAGUCGGGUGCGCAUUUUGUGCCAGGCUUUGAAUACACCAAUUUCUUUCUCUGUCUCAUUUUAGAACGCUCAUGUACGCUACUUCUUAAUUCUACCGACUUUAUUUUCAAAUGGCAAGAUAGUCUCAAUUAUACGAGUUAAAUGCAUAAAACCACUACAUUCGUGUCACGAUUAGCGAAAACCACCACUUUACGAUUUGUGGCAAACUGCACCGCUUCGGAAUUCUUAUAGUGGCAAAAAACAGUGAGCAAAAGAUUGAGCUCGUUUUAACGUGGCAAAUCAGCCCCGUGGCGAGUCUGGAGACGGUGCGGGAGUAACGAGGUAAGAUGUCAAUACGAGACAUAUACUACUUAUAUUUACAGGCAUGCAUAACAUAAUCAUUGAUACACAUAUACUGUCACAUACAAGCAUGCAUAGUAUAUGAUAUUUUCUAAAAUAUACAAGCAUGUAGUAUAACAUAACCACUAAUGCAUUGGCAUAUACCAAUUGUUAUGUAGCAACAAAAUUAAAUGUAUUAUGGAAAUAAAAUCAAGAAAUUUCGGUUAACAUAACAUUGAAAGCAUCUGAAUCAUCCAUACAUGCCUAGCUUAAAUGAAAUAGCUAUUUUUUUUACAAAGAAGGGAUCUCACCAUCAUGGCGGGUGCCGCGACCGAAGAACUAGGCGGCACAUGCCAGGUCGUGACACCAACAUGCGAAGGGGACCUGGCUAUAGGGUAGAUCAACCCCGUCACCACCAUAACCAUGACAACCGGGCAUACAGUCGUGCACGAUGGCGCGAGGGGGCCGACGUCCGAUGGCAGGGAGGACUGCACUACACCAGAAACGGCUAGACAAAGGCGACGGCGAGCGACCUGAUGACUCUAUUUUUUUACUCAUUUUAAAGCUCAUUUAUUGAAUAAUAACUCCUUAUAUCAUGUCUCAUCGAGUGAUUCAUACCAUUUGUAUGUCCAUUAUGCAUGAUUGUCAAUUUGCCUUCAUCUUAACAUGAUCAUUUUAUUUUUUGUUAAUUUGAGCUAUAUUAAAGAGCUAGUUCGACGAGCCGGUCCAUGUAACGGUUGUUUCUGGGUUUUUUUAGAUUUUGGUCUUUAUUCUUUUUUUGCAUAUUUUAUUUUUAUAUAUUUUUUGCAUUAUACGAUGAACAAUUUUUAAUAUAUGGUGAAUUUUUUACAUACACUGAACUUGUUUAUAAAACACAUACUGAUCAAUUUUAUAAAAUAUUCUUCUGUUUUAAUAAGUUUUCAAAAUAUGUAGCUCCUAAAAAGUAAAACCAGUUUUUUGGGUGAAACAAUGACUAAAACCGAAGAGAGAAAAACAUAAUUCCGCUCGCGGGGAAUGGGCCACCCUAUUUGCCCUGGCUUCAUCAAGACCUCAUCUAUUUGCCGCCUGCGGGUGGCAAAUAGGAGGUCCUCAAGGCUGGCUCGUUGGCUACUUAGUUCUGUUAUUUUUACGAGCUCCUCCGUUGGCAUAAAAGAAAACGUACACAGAUUCGAAAACAGUACGUGAAAUCAAAAAAUACCCACAUUUUUUUAAAAUAUUUCGGAUUUUUAAAUAUCCCGUGACCUAUUACAGUAUUUGCAAAUUUAGAAAAUGCUUGUGAACUACUCCCUCCGUUCCUAAAUAUAAGUCUUUUUAGAGAUUCCACUAGGGACUACAUAGAGAGCAAAAUGAGUGAAUCUACACACUAAAGUAUGUCUAUAUACAUCCGUAUGUAGUUCAUAGUGGAAUCUCUAAAAAAACUUAUAUUUAGGAACGGAGGGAGUAUUUUUCAUGAUUUUUCUUAUUUUGAAUUUAGGGAAUUUUCACUAAUUUAAUUUUUUUUGUGAAUCUAAAAAAUGUUUGUUGGUUUUAAAAAAUGUCGGCAGCUUCUAAAAGAUUCAUCAGUAUGAUAAAAAUGUUUGUGAAUUAGAAAACUGUUCAUGAAUUUUAAAAAUAAGCACCACUUUUAAUAAAAUCAUGAAUUUUUUAAAAAUGUCCACAAAUAUUAAAAAUGUUGAUGAAUUUAAAAGUGAUCACAAUUUUGGUGAAUGCUCUUAAAUUAGAAAAAGGAAAAAAUAAAGAAGAAGAAGAAGAAGAAAAAGAAGAAGAAGAAGAAGAAGAAGAAGAAGAGAAGAAGAACAAACAAAAAAGAAAAAAAUAGAAAAACAAAUAUAAAACCGGAAUACAUCAAAGAGAAACAACAAAACAGGUGUGGAAUGUCUAGAGCUUCCUAAAAUAGGUAAAGUUCCUAAAAUAAUAAAAGAAGCACCGGGGUACACAAACCGAACCAUUGGAGGAACAACACUUGCUACAUGUGUGCAUUUUGUAUGAGAACACCUAUAUUUUACAUGGAGAGUGUAAAAUAGCAUAUCCCCUGAGUUGCCACAUACAUAUUCGGUGAUUUAAAUGUCGUUGGCUGAGUUAACUUCCCUAAGUACAACUCUUAUCCAUCCCCAAAGUUAACUUUUUAAGGGGUGCGUCUGAUACGUCUCUAACGUAUCUACUUUUUCUCACGUUUUUCCUCUUGUUUUGAACUCUAAUUUGCAUGAUUUGUAUGAAACUAAUCCCGGAUUGACGCUGUUUUCUGCGGAACUAUCAUGGUGUUUUUUUGUGCAGAAAUAAAAGUUCUCGAAAUGGAACGAAACUUUGCGAGGAUUUUUUAUAUCAAUAAUAAGAAUUUCUGGAGCCAAGACCUGCCGAGAGGGGCACCUGGGUGGGCACAACCCACCAGGGCGCGCCCCCCUCUCCUGGCGCGCCCUCAUGGGUUGUACCCACCUGGUGGCUCCGCAUACGAUCCCCCUGAUACUAUAAAAUCACAUAUUUCCAGAAAAAAUAAGGGAGAAAGAAUUAUCGCGAUCCACGAGACGGAGCCGCCGCCAAGCCCUGUUCUUCCUCGGGAGGGCAUAUCUGGAGUCCGUUUGGGGCUCCGGAGAGGGGGAUCUUCGUUCUUCAUCAUCACCAACUCUUCUCCGUCGCUAAUUCCAUGAUGCUCCCCACCGGGAGUGAGUAAUUCUUUCAUAGGCUCGCUAGUCGGUGAGGAGUUGGAUAAGAUUCAUCAUGUAAUCGAGUUAGUUUGUUAGGGCUUGAUCCCUAGUAUCCACUAUGUUCUUAGAUUGAUGUUGCUAUGACUUUGCUAUGCUUAAUGCUUGUCACUUUGGGCCCGGGUGCCAUAAACUCAGAUCUGAACCGUUUAUGAAUUCAUCAUUAUAUCCAUGUUUUAGAUCCGAUCUUGCAAGUUAUAGUCACCUACUACGUGUUAUGAUCCGGUAACCCCGGAGUGACAAUAACCGGGACUUCUUCCGGUGAUUACCAUAGUUUGAGGAGUUCAUGUAUUCACUAUGUGUAAAUGCUUUGUUCCGGUUCUCUAUUAAAAGGAGGCCUUAAUAUCCCUUAGUUUUCAAUAUGGACCCCGCUGCCACAGGAGGGUAGGACAAAAGAUGUCAUGCAAGUUAUUUUAAUCAAGCAUGUAUGACUAUUUACGGAAUACAUGCCUACAUUAUAUCGAUGAACUGGAGCUAGUGCCGUAUCGCCCUAGGUUAUAACUGUCACAUGAUGAAUAUCAUCCAACAAGUCACCGAUCCAAUGCCUACGAAUUUAUCUUAUAUUGUUUCUGCUAAGUUACUACUGCUAUCAUCACUGUUGCACUUGCUACAAAAUUAUCGCUAUCACUGUUACUGUUACCGUUGCUACUAUUACUAUUAUCAAAACUAUCAAACUACUUUGCUACUGAUUACUUGCUGCAGAUAAUUAAUCUCCAGGUGUGGUUGAAUUGACAACUCAGCUGCUAAUACCUUCAAAUAUUCUUUGGCUCCACUUGUGUCGAAUCUAUAAAUUUGGGUUGAAUACUCUACCCUCGAAAACUGUUGCGAUCCCCUAUACUUUUGGGUUAUCAAGACCUUUUACUAGCGCUGUUGCCAGGAAGCAUAGCUAUAUUUGUUGAGUCACUUGGGAUUAUUAUCAUAUUAUCACUAUGAAGAAGCUGAAGGAUCCAAAGACUAAGAUAUUUCCCUCAAAGACGAGGGGAGGUAAGGAACUGCCAUCCAGUUCUGCUUUAGAUUCACCUUCUGUUAUGAAUAAACUUGCAACACCACCAUAUGCUAUUAAUUCUGAUAUGUCACAAGUUAUUGAUGAUGCUACUUCUACUAUGAAUGAUGCUUACGAUGAUGCUAGUACCAUGCUUGAUAAUGAUGAUGUGCCACUUGGUGAAUUUCUUGAUAAACAAAUUGCUAGAGUUAUACAACAUGAUGUUGUUGAAUCUGAUGAUGAGCUUGAAACUGAAUCUCCUGAAACACCUGCUAGAACUAGCCUUCCUAGAUAUGAAUUGCCUAAUGUACCGGAAGGUUAUGUUAUGAAUGAGGAGACAACUAGAGAUAUUCUUGCUUGUAAGGAUAGAGAUGAUCUAGAAAAAUUAUUAUGCAAGUUUAAGGAAAAAUCUCUGAAUGCUAGAAUGAAAUGUGAUCCUAAGUUUGCUACUUCACCUAUCUUUAUUGAUGAAUAGGAUUAUUAAUUCUCUGUCGACCCAGAGUUAAUUAGUUUGGUUGAAUUCGAUCCUUUCCAUGGUUAUGAAACUGAAACUGUUGGGGCGCAUCUUACUAAGUUGAAUGAUAUAGCCACCCUUUUUACUCAUGAUGAGAAAACUCGCUACUACUUUAUCCUCAAAUUAUUUCCUUUCUCAUUAAAGGGUGAUGCUAAAGCUUGGUACAAUACUCUUGCUCCUGGUUGUGUGCGUAGUCCCCAGGAUAUGAUUUAUUACUUCUCUGAAAAAUAUUUCCCUGCUCAUAAGAAACAAGCUGCUUUACAGGAAAUAUUUAACUUUGUGCAAACUAAUGAAGAUAGUUCCCACAAGCUUGGGGGAGGCUUUGCCAGUUACUUAAUGCUUUUCCUAGUCAUCCUCUUAAGAAAAAUGGAAUACUUGAUGAUAACCCACAAGUAUAGGGGAUCAAUUGUAGCCUCUUUCGAUAAGUAAGAGUGUCGAACCCAACGAGGAGAUAAAGGUAGAACAAAUAUUCCCUUAAGUUCUAUCGACCACCGAUACAACUCUACGCACGCUUGACGUUUGCUUUACCGGAAACAAGUAUGAAACUAUUUUGCAAGGAUAAUACUAUGAGUACUUUGCGAGAAUAAAAACUAUGGAUAAAUUGCAAGAUAAUAAAAGAGGAUAGCUUUUGCCAAUAAGAAAUUCGUUUGUCCCUAGGCAAUCGAUAACAAGUACCGGUAAUCAUUCUUGUAAUUUUAUAUGAGGGACAGGCAUGAGCUAACAUACUGUCUCUACUUGGAUCAUAUGCACUUAUGAUUGGAACUCUAGCAAGCAUCCGCAACUACUAAAGAUCAUUAAGGUCGUGAAACCCAACCAUAGCAUUAAGUAUCAAGUCCUCUUUACUCCCAUACGCCAUAACCCACCUAUCCGCGUUUAAGUUUCUGUCACUCUCGCAACACUGACAAUAAGCAAAUCAUGAACAUAUUGCAACACCCUACAGCGGGGGCCCCUCACGUUUGCGCGAGACGGAGGCACCGUAGGACAGCACCAUAAAAAUAUAUACAAUCAUACCAACCAAGAUCACGAUUAACCCAUAGGACAAAACGGGUCUACUCAAACAUCAUAGGAUAACCAUAGAUCAUUGGGAAAUAAUAUAUGGAGUUGAGCACCAUGUUUAAGUAGAGAUUACAGCGAGGAGAAGAGGUGUUACACCGCUGCAUAGAGGGGGAGAAAGUUGGUGUUGACGGUAGCAAGAUUGUUGAUGAAGAUCGUCGUCACGAUCCUAGCCCCGGCGGCACUCCGGCGCCACCGGGAGAGAGGGGGAGAGAGCCCCCUCCUCCUUCUUCUUCCUUGGCCUCCCCCCUAGAUGGGAGGAGGGUUCCCCCUCUGGUCCAUGGUCUCCAUGGUGGCGGAGGGGCGGGAGCCCCUCCGAGAUUGGAUCCCCUCUCUGUUCUCUUCUGUUUCGCGCUCCCCAGAUCUGGCCGAAAACCGUUUCUAAUAUUCCCGGAGAUCCGUAACUCCGAUUGUGCUGAGAUUUUUACACGAUUUUUUUCUGGAUAUAAGCUUCCUUGCAUCCGAAGUAGAGGUCCAACCAACGUACGAGGUGGGCACAACCCACCACCGCGCGGGUGUGCAUCUAAUCCUAUAAUGAAAAAUUCCCCCUAGUAUAUGAAAGUGACAACAUAGGAGACUCUCCAUAUGAAAAACAUGGUGCUACUUUGAAGCACAAGUGUGGUAAAGGAUACUAACAAUGCCCCUUCUCUCUUUGUUUAUCUAUAUUUUUUCUUUUUCUUUCUUUUUUCUUUUUAAUUUUUUUUUCUCUCAUUGUCCGGAGCCUCAUCCCGAUUUGCGGGGGAAUCACAGUCUCCAUCAUCCUUUCCUCACUGAGGCACUGCUCUAAAAAUGAAUAAUGAUGAUCAUCACACUUCUAUUUACUUAUAACUCAAAAGAAAUAAAAAUUACAACUUGAUACCUAUGACAAAGUAUGACUCUAUAUGAAUGCCUCUGGCAAUGAUCUAGCGUAACAUAUAUGAAAAAUGAUGAACGGUGGCUGAGCCACAACUACUAUGUCAGCUAUAUGAUCAUGCAAAGCAAUAUGACAAUGAAUGCUCAAGUUAUCAAACGGAAGCGGUGGAAGUUGCAUGGCAAUAUAUCUCGAAAUGGCCAUGGAAAAGCCAUAAUAGGUAGGUAUGGUGGCUGUUUUGAGGAAGAUAUAAUAAGGCUUAUGUGUGAUAGAGCAUAUCAUAUCAUGGGGUUUGGAUGCACCUGCGAAGUUUGCACCACGUCUCGAUGUGAGAAAGGGCAAUGCACGGUACCGUAGAGGCUAGAAAAUUGCGGAAAGGUAAGAGUGCGUAUAAUCCAUGGACUCACAUUAGUCAUAAAGAACUCAUAUACUUAUUGCAAAAGUUUAUUAGCCCUCGAAGCAAAGUACUACUACGCGUGCCCCUAGGGGGAUAGAUUGGUAGGAAAAGACCAUCGCUCGUCCCCGACCGCCACUCAUAAGGAGGAUAAUCAAUAAUAAAUCAUGCGCCAACAUCAUAGCAUAACGAGAGACUAUACAUGCAUGCUUCGGGAAUCACAAACCUUAACACCAAUAUUCCUACUAACCACAAUUGUUUACUAGUACCUCCCACAUAUUCCAUCUCUAUAUCGCAAAACUAUUGCAAGGAAUCAAGCAUAUCAUAUUCAGUGAUCCAAAAGUUUUAUGUAGGAUUUUAUGACUAACCAUGCAAUUGACCAAAUCCUUUUGGCUCUCUAAAUAGAUAUAAGUGAAGCAUGAGAGUUUAAUCCUUUCUAUAAAAGAUCACGCUCUAACAAAUAUAAGUGAAGCAAAAGAGCAUUCUUCAAACAACGGUUUUCUAUGUGAAGAGAAACAGGCAAUCCAAACUUCAAAUGAUAUAAAUGAAGCACAUUGAAGCAUUCUAAAAAGCCACACUGAAAAGAUAUAAGUGAAGUGCAAUGAGCAUUCUAUAAAUCAACCAUGGACUAUCUCAUACCAGCAUGGUGCAUAAAACAAAAAUGAAAACUAAAAGCAAAAGACACUCCAAGAUUUGCACAUAUCACAUGAACGAAACGAAACCGAAAACAUACCGAUACUUGUUGAAGAAAGAUGGGAUGCCUUCCAAGGCAUCCCCAAGCUUAGACGCUUGAGUAUCCUUGAAUAUUUACUUGGGGUGCCUUCGGCAUCCCCAAGCUUGAGCUCUUGCCUCUCCUCCUUCUCCUCACAUCGAGACCUCCUCGAUCUUUGAUCACUUCAUCCACACAAAACUCAACAGAAAGUUAGGUAAGAUCCGUUAGUAUAAUAAAGCAAAUCACUACUCUAAGUAUUGUUGCAAACCAAUUUAUACUUUGUUUUUUCAUUGUAGAUAAUGUAAUAUAACUUUUUCAUGGCUUAAUCCACUGAUAGAAAUCGAUAGUUUCAUCAAAACAAGCAAAACAAUGCAUUAAAAACAGAAUCUGUCUUAAACAGGACAGUCUGUAGUAAUCUGAACAUUCACCAUACCUCUGGUACUCCAAAAAUUCUGAAACAAUUAGGAAAAAUAAACAAUUUGUAUAGAAAGACAGUGCAAAAGUUUCAGAACCGUUUGACGUUCCAGUAAAAAAUGUAAAAUCGCGCACUACAGCCAAAGUUUCUGUUUUGCACCGCACAAACCAACAAGCAAUGUAAACAUCCUAAAGGCAAAUCUUGACACAUUAGUUUUAUAUAAUGGAAUUAUACAAGGGGAUAAUUACUUUUGUUGAAAAGUUUCUGUAAUUAAGAUUCACAAAGUUUCCGUGAGCAUGAACAAAGUUCAAGGACGUCCCCCACUUUUACAAUGCUCGUCUAUCUCACUUUCACUUUUCUUUUUGUGAAGUUUUAAGUUCCCCUAUAUAUUUUUUUGUUUUUAAACUAUGGAAAAGCACUCAACAGAAAUAAAUGACUCUCUAAAACUUCCGGGUUGUCUCCCUGGCAGCGCUUUCUUUAAAUCCAUUAAGCUAGGCAUAAAGUGCUCAAGUAAUGAAUCCGCCCGGAUCCCAAGGUAUAUCAAAGCCAAUUUGAAUUAACAAUGAUUUGUCAUUUAGUAGUGAGCACAAAGCAACAUAUAUCAAGCAAUGACGAAGUCUAACUCUCUUCCUAUGCAUCGGCAUGUCAUACAAGAACAACUCAUGCACAUCAAGUGAAGGCCAAUACAUAGCGUAAGCAGUUUCUUGCAAUUUUUAUCGUGUUGGAAACAUAGAGAGGUGGAGAUAUAGUUCCUCUCUCAUAAUAAUUGCAAGUAGGAGCAGCAAGCACAUGCAUAUUAUAUUCAUCAAAAUCAUCAUGUGCAACGGUAAAAGGAAACCCAUCAAUAUAAUCCUUAACAAGAGCAAACUUCUCUGAUAUAGUGUAGUUUGGAGAAUUCAAAAAGAUAAUAGGACUAUCAUGUGUGGGUGCAAUAGCAACAAUUUCAUUAUUAUUAUUUAAAAAACACCCCAUAUAUUAAUUAAGCCAAAGAAAAGUUCUUACAAUCACUCGUUACAGCAUACACCACGCAGGGUGGAACAGAAUUAAAAAGAAUCCCAUCGGACCUAGUACUAAAGCUAAACUUAGCAAUCUCAUGUGCCACCCCAUUGGCAGUCCGACUUAUCUUUGCAAUAUUAAAAUUUUGGAUCAUCCUAGAUAUACUCAGAGCCUCAUCCAUCGGAUCAGCCAGAGGGGACCUGUCAAGCUUCUCAUUUGCAAGAAACAAAUGUACGAAAGCACAGUCAGUCUAUAAAAUAAUAGAUUGGUGAAGGGUGAUACCUAUAUAAAGUCCUGCGAGGCAGGCGCGGAGCUCAGCUUCAUUCACGCUGGUACACCGAUCAAUAAAGUCCCACAAAGAAACAAUAAUAUCUCCAGAUGAAUUACGAGCUACGACCCCCACAUUGGAAGCAUUAGUACUCUCCACAAAACCGGCGUCAACAUUGAUCUUGAUAUGAUGAUUAGGGGGAGGAGUCCACACCACAUGAUCUUUUAACAGUGCGUAAUCCGCUACAACUCCGCUCACCUUCUCCUUACCUUUGUUGCUAGCGUCCAAUUGAGCGGUGUCAUGACUAGACGUAAAAGUGGUCCAAAAUUGUCCACAAAAUGUGCAGAGGCAUUAACGGAUUAUUUCCCCUUCCCAAAAAGUUAAAUCAUUUCUCAAAUGCCAUGCUCGCCAGAAAAGAAACAGAAUUUGCUCCCUCUGCCGCAAACCCAAUUGCGCCAGCAAAAUCAAUAACCAAUCUGGUCCAGUGCACUUGAAGAAUUCUUCAUCCGGAAUAUUCCACCGUUCUCUCACGGCCAUUCGAAGAGCACGAGCUUUUGAACAACUCACCAGAGCAUGAAAGAUGUCUUCAUCUUGAACCCCACAAAUAGAACAUAUACAUGAAUCAGUCUGAUGGUGCUUAACUCUAUUCAUCUGGACCGCCAAGCUAUUGGUAGCAGCUCGCCAUGCAAAAAUCUUGAUUUUCUGGGGUAUAUUAGCCUUCCAUAUUAUCUCCCAAAUCCCUCUUUCCCCCUCUGGUUCGCCACUAGAUUGGCCAACAGGAUCCUGGCUAUCCUUCAAAUAAAGCGCAAAAUUGUACGCACUUUUAACAGAAAAUAUACCAUCCUUCUCAUGGCGCCACACAAAAAAAUCCCCAUCCCUAGAGGCCUGAAUACGAAUCUUAAGAAUUUCCUCCGCAUCAUGUGGAUAGAAUAGAUACUUGAUCAAAUUUUCAUCCCAACACUUACGGCCGCUCAUGAAUAAAUCAGAUACCAAUUUCAACCUGGUAUUGUGCCUUCUAGCUGAGAUUUUUAGGCCAUGCCUCCUAGGUAUUCAAUUAUCCCUCCAUAUAUUAAUACUAGAUCCAUCACAUACCCGCCAAAUGAUCCCCUUCUUAAGAAGUUCCAGACCUUGUGUAAUACCAUGCCAAGUCACUAAACUAGCAUGCGGAAACACCGUAUCAAGAAUAUGUCCCUGAGAGUAAUAGUUUGACUUCAUCAACUUCGCACAUAGCGAAUCCGGGUAAACCAACAACCGCCAUGCCUGUUUGGCCAAAAGAGCUUGAUUAAAAAGCCUGAGAUCACGGAAACCCAUCCCACCCUUACCUUUUGGUCUUGUUAGUUUGUCCCACGCCAACCAAUGAGUUUUUCUUCUUUCUUCUUCAUCUCCCCGCCAAAAGUUCCUUACAAUCUGGGAUAACUCCUCACAAAGGGAAGCCGGAAAUUUGAAAAUCCCCAUAGCAUACACAGGUAGAGCCUGAAUUACUGCUUUGAUUAAAUCUUCCUUGACUCCACAAGAAGCAUAUUUUUCAAUCCAGUCAGAAAGCCUUUUCAAAAACUUAUCUUUAGUAUACUGAAACAUACCAGCCUUCAUUCUACCCUCUGGGACUGGUAAUCCAAGAUAUUUAUCCUCGAACCCCUCCACAGUAAUUUUUAAGAUAACCAUAAUAGUCACUUGUUUCUCCAAGCUGCAUUUUUUCCCAAACAUUAUGGAACAUUUAUCAGGGCUUAACAUCUGUCCAGUUCCCUUCUCAUACACCGUCAAAAUAUUUUUAGUUGCUAAAGCUUGAUCAAAAGAACCCUUAAAAAAUAGUAGACUAUCAUCUGCAAAUACAAGUGAGAAAUACCAGGCGCUCGUCUAGUCAGUCUGAAUUCCUGGAGAACUCCCCUGGCACAUGCGUCAUUAAGCAACAAAGAAAGCGCCUGGGCCACAAAUAAGAACAAAUAGGGAGAUAAAGGAUCUCCCUGCCUGAGCCCCUGAGAAGGUGAGAACGACUGCAGCAAAUGACCAUUAAAGCGCACCGCAAAUUUCACCGAAGUAACACAUGUCAUAACACAUUUAAUCCAUUGCGGCGCAAAACCCAACGCACCCAUCAUACUUUGCAAAAAUUGCCAAUCCACACGGUCAUAGGCUUUGGCUAGGUCCAACUUAUAAGCACAAUAUUCCCCUCUUAAAUCUUUAAGUGUACUUAACGAAUGCAUACAUUCAAAGGCUAUAAGAGCAUUAUCAGAAAUUAACCUUCCCGGAAUAAAUGCACUUUGGGUAGGGGAAAUCAUACCAUCGAGGAGCGGUCGCAACCUGUUAACAAGACACUUGGAAAUAAUCUUGUAGAUAACAUUGCACAAACUGAUCGGCCUGGAAUCUUUGAUUGUUUGGGGAUUCUUGAUCUUCGGGAUGAGAACAAUAGUUGUAUUAUUAAUACCAUCAGGCAUAAUUCCAGAGAUAAAAAACUGUUGCACAGCCUUGACAAUAUCAUCUUUGAUUAGACCCCAAUUCCGCUGAAAAAACCUCAUAGGAAAGCCAUUUGGCCCUAGUGCUUUUAACGGUCCCAUUUGAAAAAAGGCAUCACUUAUUUCUUUUUCCGUAAAAGGUUUGCAUAAAUCAUCAUUCAUGUUAUCAGUCACACGGGGCUUGACUAAUGAGAUAAUGUGGGAUGGAUUGACCGAAGCAUCACAAGAAUAAAGUUGUUUAAAAAAUGAGUUUGUGAUACCUUUCAUUUCCUCCAGAUUUUCCGUGAGACAACCAUCAUCCUUCCUAAGAGCCGAAAUAGAAUAUUUUUUUUGCUCUCCAGGAAGCUUUUCGCUGAAAAUAUUUUGUAUUACGAUAUCCCCCUUUAAUCUUGUCCAGACGAGAUCUCUGCUUCCACAAUAUUUCUUCCCUGAUAAGAAGUUCAUCCAUCUCCCCUAGAAUUUUCUUUCUUUCCAACACAGCAGAAUGAUUAGUCCUAUUUAACAAAAUGUCUAGUCUCUUACGAGCCCAGUCAAGUUUCUUAGGCAGAUACCCAAUAUGCACCCGACUCCAUCCAUGAAGAGAUUUCAUUAAUUUUUCUAAAUUAUUAGCAACAUCUUUCGGACCCUUUAUAUUUGAUCCUCUAUUCCAACAAUCAUUAAUCUGUUCAUCCAAAACACGACCUUCCCUCUCCCAGUAAGAUUCAUAUUUCAACUCUCUAGCAAACCUCCCCUCCCGAGCAUUACCCAUCAACUCAAUUAAAAUGGGGCAAUGAUCAAAUUUGGAGCUAAUAAUAUGGGAGACCUUACAUUGAGGGAAAAUAGAAGACCAAAGAGGGCAUGCCACUGCACACUCAAGACGUACCUUAACAUUCUUGUUGCCCUCUUGCAUAUCUAUAAUACCUAAAUAGUUCAUCCCCACUAUCAUAUUUCUCUUGACAUGCAACCUAUCCACCUCAUCACACAUGCCCCACAUGCCACCUCAACAAAUCUGCAUAUAUCUCAACACUUUUUUCUCGUCCCUUGGCCACCGAAGUUAAUGCAAUCGCUUUCUCUUCCGUCUCCCGUAAGCGAAUUACUGCUCUUCCACACGGUUACUCCCGAAUCACAAAAUCCCAUCACAUCUGCCCCUUCCUUAUCCCGUCUUCACUGCAUCUUCAAGGAUCCCUCCAUCUCUCCUUAUCGCGUCGUCGGCUGCCUCGUGGCACACCGCGCCUCCGCCCUUACCUGUUCCUGCUGGGACUCUCCACACGUACGUGGUCGCCCCUGUCGUCCUCAACCUCCAAUAUGGCGUUCAUUGUUCGCCUCUCGCGAUGGACUCUCUGCUAGGGCGGCAUCUUGCAGUCUGACUGCAAGCACUACCAACUCUGUAUCCUUUUUUUUGGGAAAACUUCUCUCUAUCUAGGGCUGAUGUCCAGUAUGAUUCAUUGUCGAUUGCCAAGGUACUCAUCUUUCUAUUCCAGCGAUCAUUCCCAGGGCUCUUCUCCAUGUAAGGGCAUCAAUUGAUUCAGAUAGAACCUAACCAAUUUUGUUUGGAUUUUAUUUUGGUGGAUUUUGCAGCGCAUGAGGCUGCUGAUGACAAGCGGAUGAGAUAUUUUAGGGGAAACACCUAGAUACAAACCAGUGGAUAGGUUAGUGUCUUAUUGGAAUUGCUGUUUUUCUGUUGAUUUAACAUGCACAUAUGCUUGGGUAUGGUACUGCUAUCGCUCAAAAUAUGGAGAGCAACCCAUGAUUCGGGUUAUGUUAUUCAUGAACGUUUUUAUUUACCGGGUUAUACCAGCUAUGGUGCCCUUGAUACGCAUAUAUCCAACCAGAUGGGCAAUGUUUGGUUUUUUGCACGAUAAGUACCUCUUUUGUCUCUGGUUAUUUACAAUCUAUAUCCUAGCAUUAACAUAUACAGUUUCUAGAUUAUAUUGUUCUAAUCUGUUGUCUCCUAUCUUGCAUCCUGAUCUGACACUUCAUAUUGCAGUCCAAUGGAUGUGAAUAAUGAUAUAUCUCCUCAAGGAUUAAGCAGGCAAUAUUUCUAUCCUAUUGUUGCUCAUUUCCGUGUUUCUUUUGCGGGGCUCAUUUAUGCGUUUAGGUGUUUGUUGGAUUAGGAAAAAGUUCUGUUAAUUUUUUUCAAGAUGCAGUUUGCAGAAAUUUAUGCAAAGAAAGGCAACGUUCGGCUUAAAGAAAUAUUUACACCUCAAACUUCUUUAUGAUUUGAGUUAAACAACAUUUGGAAGUCCAACUAUGAUAAACAUAUUCUUGAACCAAGCGCUAGAAAAUGUGACCAGCAGAAGUUAAAGAGAGACACUCGGUAUCUUGCUUUACUGAGUCGGGUGGGAUUUCUCUUUAACUAUUGAAGAUCAAUGCUUCCAUGAUUUCUAACCAAGCGAUUCAAGAAACUCUAGAAACAGCAAUUAUUUGAGCAUACUAGGGCAAUUAGAUAUCUCAGUGCUAGAGAAGAAUUUAAUUAUGUGCUUGCAUUUCAACAAAUCGUAUAGAAGAUGUCUAUUAUGUUUAUUUUGUUUGUCAUCUACCAUUGCUUUUUUAUAGUAAACUUGGAGUCAUUUAAAUUUAUACAACAUGCAUGUUUGAUUAAGCAAUUUCAUCAAGAUGUCAACUUCUGUGUUGUCACAUAUAAACCUUCAAUUUGCCCUUGGCCAGCAUGUUACUCAACAUCUUCUAUUUUCUGUUGAAGCAGGGAGUGGAAUAUACAACGACACAUAUUUGGCUUAGCUGCAAUAAUUUAAAUUUAUACAUCAUGCAUAUCUGAUUGAGCAAUUUCAUCAAGAUGUCAACUUCUGUUUUCGCACUGGCAAACCUUCAAUUUGCCCUCGGCAAGCACGUUACUCAACAUCUUCUAUUUUUUGUGAAGAAGGGAGUGGAAUAUAUAACAACACAUAUUUGGCCUAGGUUAACUUGGUCUCAGAAUCGAUAAAUAAAGUCAUAAACCAGUGUCUUCUCUAUAGCCUCAACCCUCUAGAGGCCUAAAAAUAUAUUGUCUCCAGUGCACGCGGAUGUUUGCUGGCUAAUGAUCCCAUAGUGAUUAUAUUGAAGUGUUGGCCAUUGUUAUCUCUUAUGACGAAUUGUAGUCUGAAAAAAAUACUAUGGGGUAAGCUAUUUACUCACAAAUCACUUUGGAACAUUUUCAGUUGUCAUCUCCCAUCUUCUACUACUACUCUUAGACGUCAUUCAAAAAUCUGAUCCGUUUAAUAUCACUUAACUUAUUUAUACGUGUUACUAUGGACAUAUGCUUUUGUAGAAAAGCUCAAAAGACAUAAUUUGUUUCGUACGAUUGUAAGUUCAUAAUUUUCAAACCUUUUCACUUGCGGCAUGUGAAAUCCUUGACUCCCACAACCGUGAUAUGUUUGUAUUUCCUUUUGCCAGUAUUGCUACAUAGUCAUUUCAAUCAUUUGGUGUAUUUCCAUUCCCUUUUAUUUAACUGUCAUUCUACUAAAACAACAAACUAUUACUACUAUUGGAUAUUUACACUGCAUAGAUUUAUUUAUCAAGUUACUUCAACUUCAUGUGCCAAUUUUUUCCGCAGCAACGCGCGGGGUAUCUUCUAGUUAUUACAUGUCCACGGAGCACCUUGAAAGCCCAAAUCAAAUAAAUUGCACUCCGACAGAACUUCACGAAAGUUAGCCAUGAGUCUAGGAGAUCUCUUAUGUCGAGAGAAAUGUUCAUUUUGCCACAUAGCUUCGUUAAAAUCCCCCACCAUAAACCAAGGUCCAACACCAAGAGGUUUAAUCCGCCUCAAAAGAUCCCACAUAACAUACCUCUGGCUCGCCUUAGGCUCUCCAUAAAUAAAUGUGCACCUGCACUUUGUACCAUCACCCUUGUUGACGUACAUGUCCAUAAAAUGUUCACCAUAUUUGUUUAGCUCACAAGAAUAUGCUCCAUCCCAAAACACGACUAGACCUCCACCUUUACCAUGGCCAGAAACAGUAAACACAUUAUUCAUACCCAACCGGUACCGCAAAAGCUCAACAUACUCUUUAUUUUUCUAGUUUCCGAAAGAAAGAUAACAUUGGGACGGUGCGUCUUAGUCAGACACACAAGCUCCUGAACCGUACGAGGUUGUCCCAGCCCUCGACAGUUCCAACUGAGGAUUUUCAUGGCUCCUGACGGGCGUCAUCAAACGCGCCCGUCAGUUGACCGGCAGCUCCAGGGCCGGUUGCUUCCUUAGGAGUGCCACCUUCCUCCUUUUCCUCUCCUCCUCUCCUGAAGAUCUUCCUCUCCCCCAUCUAUCUCUUUAGUUACAUGAACCAUAGCCCCAUCGACACCUACUACAGCCUCAACCCUCUCACCACACACUCUUUUACAAGUUACAGAGAUGUCAUUUUCACUCUUAUAUUCUAAACUCUCAGAGUUAUUGCUAUUCAUAGUAAAAACUAAGCCUUGAUCUUCAGAACGACGCCUCUUACUUCCCGCCGUGCUCUCUAGGAUGGCAGCAUAGGCGACCUUACGACUAGAUAACUCGCUGCCACUAUUUGGGGGAGUGGGAACCCCAAACUUGACAUGCUUGGCACACACACCAUGAACUGCAGCACGCUCCACUUGCUCCUCUCUGUACAUUCUUUUCCAACGACCCCAUUUUGAUUCAGCUCCAUUUUCGUCAAAGUCCAGCCGGGAAGCACUCCUGGCCAAACCAGCAAGGACGCUUGUUGAGCCACCAUCAGCCGGCAACACCUUUGCCGCAACCAGAGUUAGAGCACCCUGGUCAGCCUCCUUUGCCGCAGUGUACCUGGCGCCAUCAGCCGCACCAAGCAUCACCGACUUGUUCUGGUUUACAUCACCUGCAACAUGUUUGUGAGCCAACAUAGCAGCAGCAGAGCAAGUCUCAGUGUCAGUAGCAUCUUUGGCCAAGUGUUGCCCGCAUGCAUCAGCUAAAGCAUCUGGUUGCAUGUACCCAGAUACACUUCCACCCAGCAGCACAACUGGACGGUCUUCCGACUGCGUCCCAGCAAAAGAGGAUCAGCCAGCUGUCAUACUGGGAUCAGUCAGCGUGAGCCGCCCCACCUGGGCGGCCCCGACCCCAGUACACGCUCGUCCUCUUGACCAGCUUGAGGGGAUACGUCCAUGCUCCUGGCUUCUUGACCGCCUGUCGCCGGAGCCAGCAAGGGCGAGGCCGCCACCGACAGCUUCUGUACCGCCGUAGCCACGGCAGUGACUACCUUUUCCGGCAGCUUGACCAGCUCCGGAUUGUCGUUGUCCUGAAGAUCCCAGUCGUCCCAGCGACCUCCCAAGCUGAGGUGCCGCCGACCAGGGUCGCCCGAAGCUUGCAUGGUGCUCUAGAAAGCCGGCGCCUUGAUGUCGUUGGAGAACUCAGGCUUUCAAAGUUCCUUAGGGAUGGUACAAAAUCUGGCAGUGGUAUGCCCCAACAACCCACAACAAAAGCAAAAUUUUGGCAAUUUUUCAUACUUAACAUCAUAUAGGAUCUCUACUGUACUGUCGAUCGGGGUCGUGUCGAUGGUCUUCCUCAGGGGCUCAUCAACGAGAUGCUCGACCGAGACACGGAUAUGCUCAUCGACGAUCUUCUUGUUUCGGUGGGCCACCGCGAGGACCUUUCCGAGCUUGCCGCCCAGGAUGUAGCCCAUCUCCACCGUCUUGAUCGGUACUGGAAGGCCCCAGAUUUGUGCCCAUAGCUUGAUGGAGUCGAGGUGCACAUCGGCCGGAUUGCCAUCUUCGCCGAAAGCCGCUAGGAUCACAGCAUCAUUUCUAAAAUGCCAUGGCCCAGCGUGCAGAACGUGAUGUCGAUCCCCGCCCUCCGCGAAGGUGAUGAUGAAACAGCGGUCGUCGCUCAUGACGCGUUGUGCCACGACCUCUCCUCGGAGCCGCCAUGGCCCCCGAAGCUCGUUGACGACCGCCUUGGGGUCGACCGGGUACGGCGAGAGAACCCGGGCGACCACCAGCUUGCCCGCCACCGCACGCAGCACCGCUUCCAUGUCGAUGACGAUCGGCUUGUCGUCCAUCCUCGAGAACAUGACUGCUUUGCUCUUUCCGCUCCUCCUGAGCGGGGGAGGCGCCGCCGCCGCCGCAGUGAACUCAAAGGCGGCAUUCGACAUGGCGGUCAGAGCCAAGCCCGACGGCCCGCCCACCGUAGCUUUCCCCUUCUCCAUCAGAGGAGUUCCUGGGGCGGCCUCGAUGAUUGUCGAAGAAGGCAGCUCCUCUCCCCUUGCCUCACAGACCUCGGAACCGUCCGAAGAGACAUCACCAACGAUCGAGGGGGGAGCAGUAGUGCUUAUAGUUGGCAUGGAAGGAGCCGCCGCUCCCUCCGGACCGCUGCCCGUCUCAGUGCUCGACGCCAUCUUCCCCUGACACAGAGAAACAGAGCAAACAGGAGGCACCGAAGACACUAGCAGUAACUGAGAAAAUUGAUAUUGCCUCCGCUGAUUCCCACCCUUCAAAUAAUCCUCUCCUCCCCCAAAUUUCGCCCCAGAAUCACCGAAAUUAAAACUCAAAUCAAACUGAAAUUGAGACUCCUCCCUACACGGAUUCACCAGAUAAUCAAUUUUAUGCGAAACUGCCAAAUUAUCUCCUUUACUCGCCGAAUCAGUAACUGUUUUGGCGGAAUUUGGGGUCGGGAACGUUGGACCCAUCGUUGCUCCCUUCUUCUCCUUCAAAUCCCCCUUGAAAUCAUCCUUGCCCAACUCCGAAUUGAUGAACUGAUCUACUUUGACCCGCAUCUACCUCAAGCACCUCUUUGGAUCUCACGCACGUCGCAGGAUUUCCAUCCCCCCGCCGUCGUAAGGUGCUCCACUCCUCGCCGGAGUAGCCACCCACCUUCCACCGAUCCUCCCGCUGGGGCAAGCCCAGCGCCAGGUCCGGCACCAUCGCCGCCAUGGGCGGCACCAGCGAGUCACCUAGGCUGUCGCCAGAGCGAGGGCGUUACUUUUCAGAGCGAGGGCGUUACCUUUCAGUGCAACAAUUUCAUUCUUAACAUAAGGAACUAUAGCAAGUUCAUCUCCAUAAACAUAAUUCACAUUGGCAUCUUGGCCACAAGCAUAGUAAGCAUCAAGUUCAUCAAAAAGGGAUAUCUCAAAAGAAUCAACGGGGUCAUAGAAGUUAGCAUAGCAUUCAUCCUACGGUAAGAAUGAAGGAACAUUAAACAAUGUAUGAGUUGGAGGGUUACUCUCAUUAGAAGGCGGGCACGGGUGAUCAAUCCGGUCUUCCUUCGCUUGUUCUUCGCUCUCCUCAUCAUCUUUUUCAUCCAAUGAGCUCACGGUUUCAUCAAUUCCUUCUUCCAUAGACUCCUCCAAAAUAUUAGUCUCUUCUUGCACAGCGGAGACUUUCUCAAUAAAUGCAUCAAUAUCGGAAUUGUAUUUAUAAUUAUCAUAGCAAUAUUUAAGGAUAGCAAAAUUUCCAGGUCUAUAAACUGAAUCAUCAAAAUCUUCAAACUUUUCAAACAAAGAUUCAAUUUCAUAAGCACCCUUAAAAGCAACAAAUUCUUCUAUUCGUUCCACAUCAUAGUAAUCAUAUAUACCAUUAGCAUAAGAAGACACGGUUUCAUUAUCAUUAAAUUCACAUGAAAAAGGAAGAUGUGGAGCAUUCAUCCUAGAGCAACAAGUAUAAUCAUAUCUCUGGCAUAAAUCCCAAGCAUACCAUUGCAACAUUUCAAUUUGAUCCCAUAAAAGUUUUCCCUUUUGAGUCAAGCUAUAAUUCCUAAAGUAUUCACGUUGAUCCAACGUUACUCCCAUUAUCAAGUUGAAUGGGGUUUUCUUAGGAUUAUCAAAGUAGUGCAUAAUAUUUUUCACAUAACGAGCAUCGAGGGUUUUAGGAGGUUCCCCAUCUCCAUGAGUAGCAAGUAUCACUAAUUUUUUUGGUGUUUCGUGUUCCAUAUCCAUAACUAAAGAUAGAGAACAACUUAGAACAAGAGAUAAAAACUACUUAGUGAUAAAGCAAACAAGCACACACGAGAAUAUUCACCCCACGCUAUUGCUCCCCGACAACGGCGCCAGAAAAAGGUCUUGAUAACCCACAAGUAUAGGGGAUCAAUUGUAGCCUCUUUCGAUAAGUAAAAGUGUCGAACCCAACGAGGAGCUAAAGGUAGAACAAAUAUUCCGUCAAGUUCUAUCGACCACCGAUACAACUCUACGCACGUUUGACGUUUGCUUUACCGAAACAAGUAUGAAACUAUUUUGCAAGGAUAAAACUAUGAGUACUUUGCGAGAAUAAAACUACGUAUAAAUUGCAAGAUAAUAAAAGAGGAUAGCUUUUGCCAAUAAGAAAGUCGUUUGUCCAUAGGCAAUCGAUAACAAGUACCGGUAAUCAUUCUUGUAAUUUUAUAUGAGGGAGAGGCAUGAGCUAACAUACUUUCUCUACUUGGAUCAUAUGCACUUAUGAUUGGAACUCUAGCAAGCAUCCACAACUACUAAAGAUCAUUAAGGUCGUGAAAUCCAACCAUAGCAUUAAGUAUCAAGUCCUCUUUACUCCCAUACACAAUAACCCACCUAUCCGCGUUUAAGUUUCUGUCACUCUCGCAACACUGACAAUAAGCAAAUCAUGAACAUAUUGCAACACCCUAUAGCGGGGGGGGGGGGCUCACGUUUGCACGAGACGGAGGGCACCGUAGGACAGCACUGAUACGUCUCCAACGUAUCUAUAAUUUUUUAUUGUUCCAUGCUAUUAUAUUAUCUAUUUUGGAUGUUUAAUGGGCUUUAAUAUGCUCUUUUAUAUUAUUAUUGGGACUAACCUAUUAACCGGAGGCCCAGUGCUAGUUGUUGUUUUUUUCCUAUUUCAGUGUUUCGCAGAAAAGAAAUAUCAAACAGAAUCCAAACAGAACGAAACCUUCGCGAGGAUCUUUCUUGGAACAAACGCAAUCCAGGAGACUUGGAGUGGAAGCCAGAGACGCAACGAGGCGGCCACGAGGCAGGAGGGCGCGCCCCCCACCCUCGUGGGCCCCUCGUAGCUCCACCGACCUACUUCUUUCGCCUAUAUAUACUCUUAUACCUUGAAAACAUCCAGGGGAGCCACGAAACCACUUUUCCACCGCCGCAACCUUCUGUACCCGUGAGAUCCCAUCUUGGGGCCUUUUCCGGUGAUCUGCCGGAGGGGGAUUCGAUCACGGAGGGCUUCUACAUCAACACCAUAGCCUCUCUGAUGAUGUGUGAGUAGUUUACCACAGACCUUCGGGUCCAUAGUUAUUAGCUAGAUGGCUUCUUCUCUCUCUUUGGUUCUCAAUACAAAGUUCUCCUCGAUGUUCUUGGAGAUCUAUUCGAUGUAAUACUUUUUGCAGUGUGUUUGUCGAGAUCCGAUGAAUUGUGGGUUUAUGAUCAAGAUUAUCUAUGAACAAUAUUUGAUUCUUCUCUGAAUUCUUAUAUGCAUGAUUUGAUAUCUUUGCAAGUCUCUUCGAAUUAUCGGUUUAGUUUGGCCUACUAGAUUGAUCUUUCUUGCAAUGGAAUAAGUGCUUAGCUUUGGUUUCAAUCUUGCGGUGUCCUUUCCCAGUGACAGCAGGGGCAGCAAGGCACAUAUUGUAUUGUUGCCAUCGAGGAUAAAAAGAUGGGGUUUAUAUCAUAUUGCUUGAGUUUAUCCCUCUAGAUCAUGUCAUCUUGCCUAAUGUGUUACUCUGUUCUUAUGAACUUAAUACUCUAGAUGCAUGUUGGAUAGCGGUCGAUGUGUGGAGUAAUAGUAGUAGAUGCAGAAUCGUUUCGGUCUACUUGACACGGACGUGAUGCCUAUGUUCAUGAUCAUGCCUAGAUAUUCUCAUAACUAUGCGCUUUUCUAUCAAUUGCUCGGCCGUAAUUUGUUCACCCACCGUAAUAUAUGCUAUCAUGAGAGAAGCCACUAGUGAAACCUAUGCCCCCCGGGUCUAUUUUACAUCAUAUUAGUUUAUCGUCAACUUGCCAAUUUCUAUCGUCGUUUAUUUUUGCAAUCUUUACUUUUCAAUCUAUACAACAAAAAUACCAAAAAUAUUUAUCUUAUUAUCUUUAUCAGAUCUCACUUUUGCAAGUGGCCGUGAAGGGAUUGACAACCCCUUUAUCGUGUUGGUUGCAAGGUUCUUGAUUGUUUGUGCAGGUACUAGGCGAUUUGUGUGUAGUCUCCUACUGGAUUGAUACCUUGGUUCUCAAAACCUGAGGGAAAUACUUACGCUACUUUGCUGCAUCACCCUUUCCUCUUCAAGGGAAAACCAACGCAUGCUCAAGAGGUAGCAAGCGCCAUAAAUAAAAUAUACAAUCAUACCAACCAAGAUCACAAUUAACCCAUAGGACAAAACGGAUCUACUCAAACAUCAUAGGAUAACCAUAGAUCAUUGGGAAAUAAUAUAUGGAGUUGAGCACCAUGUUAAGUAGAGAUUACAGCGAGGAGAAGAGGUGUUACACCGCUGCAUAGAGGGGGAGAAAGUUGGUGUUGACGGUAGCAAGAUUGUUGAUGAAGAUCGCCGUCACGAUCCUAGCCCCGACGGCACUCCGGCGCCACCGGGAGAGAGACGGGGAGAGAGCCCCCCUCCUUCUUCUUCUUCCUUGGCCUCCCCCCUAGAUGGGAGGAGGGUUGCCCCUCUGGUCCAUGGUCUCCAUGGUGGCGGAGGAGUGGGAGCCCCUCCGAGAUUGGAUCUCCCUCUCUAUUCUCUUCUGUUUCGCGCUCCCCAGAUCUGGGCGAAAACCGUUUCUUAUAUUCCCGGAGAUCCAUAACUCCGAUUGCGCUGAGAUUUUUACAUGAUUUUUUUGGAUAUAAGCUUCCUUGCGUCCGAAGUAGAGGUCCAACCGACGUACGAGGUGGGCACAACCCACCACCGNNNNNNNNNNNNNNNNNNNNNNNNNNNNNNNNNNNNNNNNNNNNNNNNNNNNNNNNNNNNNNNNNNNNNNNNNNNNNNNNNNNNNNNNNNNNNNNNNNNNNNNNNNNNNNNNNNNNNNNNNNNNNNNNNNNNNNNNNNNNNNNNNNNNNNNNNNNNNNNNNNNNNNNNNNNNNNNNNNNNNNNNNNNNNNNNNNNNNNNNNNNNNAAAAUCACAAAUAUUCCAAAAUAAUUCUCCGUGAAAUUUUAUUGCAUUUGUACUUCGUUUGAUAUGGAUACUCUGCGAUACAAAAAAUAUGCAGAAAACAGGAACUGGCACUGGGCACUGGAUCAAUAGGUUAGUCCAAUAGAUCAUAUAAAAAGUUGCCAAAAGUAUGUGAAAGUGGUAUAAUAUUGGCAUGAAAAAAUCAAAAAUUAUAGAUAUGACGGAGACGUAUCACUUGAUAUCUUCUAUAAUGGACUAACCGAUGCUUCUAGGGACUUCCAAGAUAGUUGUGCUGGUUGUGUUUUCAGGGAACAAACUGUUGGGCAAGCUGAAGAAUUAUUGAAUAACAUAUUGAAAAAUUAUGAUGAUUGGACUAUUCCUGAACCACCGGCUAAACCCACUCCGAAGAAGAGGGGUAUAUUAUAUCUCAGUCCUGAAGAUAUGCAAGAGGCAAAGAAAUCUAUGAAGGAAAAAGGUAUUAAAGCUGAAGGUGUUAAAAAUUUACCUCCUAAUGAAGAAAUACAUGGGCUGAAUACACCACCAAUGCCUAAGGUGGUACAGGUAAAUUCUCUUAUGAAGUUCAAUGAAAAGGAUAAUUCUCACAAUAUGCAUCCUAGCCAAUGCCUUUAUGAGUUUAAAAAUUAUAUUACAAAACAAGAUCACUUCAAUGCAAAUGUUAUGAAACAAUUGAAAUAUAAUUCUGAUAUGAUUACUCGCUUGAGUGACUUAUUAUUUACAAUAUCAAAUGAUGUUAGAGGUGUUGGAAAACGUGCUUCUAUGGUUCAAACUCAGUUAGAACAAGUUGCUAAAUCACAAAGAGAAUUGCUUGAUGAAAUGAAUCAUAAUAUGCAUGACUUUGUUGUUAGAGUUGCAACUAGAGGAGGUAAAAUGACUCAGGAACCACUUUAUCCUGAGGGACACCCAAAAAGAAUAGAACAAGAUUCACAAAGAUAUAACACUAGUGCACCUAGUCCUUCUAAAAAGAAAAAGAAGAAGAAAAAUGAUAGGACUUUGCACACUUCUAGUGAACCUGAAAUAGAAAAACCUCCUGAUAAUGAAAAUGAAACUUCUAUCUCUGAUGCUGAAACUCAAUCUAGUAAUGAACACUCACCAAGUGAUAAUGAAAAAUAUAACGAUGAGGUUCAUGAAGACACUCAACCAAAUGAAAAAGAACCAGAUAAUGAUGUUGAGAUAGAACCACCUGUUGAUCUUGAUAACCCACAACCUAAGAAUAAAAGAUAUGAUAAAAGAGACUUUGUGGCUAGGAAACACGGUAAAAAAAGAACUGUGGGUUCAAAAACCUAUGCCUUUUCCACCCAAGUCAACUAAAAAGAAAGAUGAUGAAGAAUUUGAAUGCUUUGCUCAGAUGCUGAGGCCAGUCUUUUUGCGUACUCGCUUGACUGAUAUCUUCACAAAUAAGGGAAAAAUACCGGAAGCUGAAAUAUCCACUAUGCUUGCUAAUUAUACUUUUAAAGAUGGAGUACCUAGAAAACUUGGAGAUCCGGGAAUACCAACUAUACCUUGCUCCAUCAAAAAGAACUAUGUGAAAACUGCUUUGUGUGAUUUAGGAGCUGGUGUUAGUGUUAUGCCUUUCUCUUUAUAUAAAAGACUUGACUUGAAUAAACUCACACCUGCUGAAAUAUUUUUGCAAAUGGCUGACAAAUCAACUGCCAUACCUAUCUAUAUCUGUGAGGAUGUGCCCAUUGUUGUUGCUAAUGUUACUAUUUUGACUGACUUUGUUAUACUUGAGAUGCCCGAGGACGACAACAUGUCGAUUAUCCUUGGUAGACCCUUCUUGAAUACUGCAGGGCCUGUUAUUGAUUGUAAUAAAAGCAAGGUCACUUUUCAUAUUAAUGGUAAUGAGCAUACGGUGCACUUUCCGAAGAAACAAUUCGAAGUGAAUGGUAUAAAUGUUAUUGAAAAAUAUCCGACAAUCACUAUUUGAAGUUUUCAAAUACCUCUAUCUACUGUCAAAAAGAAAUAUGAAAUGCUUAUUGUUGGGGACAUACAUAUCCCCAUUGAGGUAACUUAGUGAUUUACGAAAGUUCUUCGGUUUCAUGCUAAUUGAAAGUGGUUGUUAAUAAGACUUGAUCAACCAUAUUAGUGAAUCCUUUUUGAGCGGUAUGAAGUUGAUGAAUUUAGUAAGCACUACCUUCUGUCGUUACUUUUUAUUCUCUGUUUUUAUUAGUUAAAUAAAAUAAAAUGCAUGUUUUGUAUGUUUUCUGAAUUUCCCGUGCAAUAAAAAAAUGACCCAAAAAUAAAAGUUCUCAGAAUGCCCUGAAAAAUUGAACAUGAUUUGUUUUGAAUAUUUCUGAAUUUUUGGUGCAAAUAAUACCAGAGGGAGGUGCACACAACCCACCUGGGUGCGCCAGGACCCCCAGGCGCGCCCUGGUGGGUUGUGGUCCCCACGUGGGCCCCCUCACUUACCUCUUUAGCCCACAUCAUCAGUUACCUCCAGAAAAAAAAACUCCAUUGCUCUCUCUCUCCCGUGUUCUUGAGCUCAAACCCGCGGAUUUCGAUCUCUUUGCUCGAAGCUCUGUUUCUGAAACUGUUUCGGGGGAUUCUUGCUUCGUAUGUGACUCCACCAUUUGUCCAAUUAGUUUUUGUUUUAGUGGUUUACACUUUGAAUAAUUAGCUACUCUUGGUGCUGCUGUAGAUGUGCUUGCAUGUUGAAUUCUUAGUGUUCUAAGUAGUUUGAAUGCUUGCUAUGACCUCUAUCUAUCCCAAUGAGUAGUUGCUAUCAAUUUCAUAAAGUUUGGUUGACAAUUUUUUGUCACCCCAAAUUUUUUAUUUUUAGAAAAUUGUACGUGGACAUGAAUAUCUUCACGAAGUUUGGCUCUAAGAAGAACUCCAAGGGUGUUAUUGGGGAGUCUUCUGACAGUGAUCUCCACCCUCGAAGGUUGGCGGAGGUACGGCCGUGCGAAUGGCUGCACACCCCGUUCCUGGAAGAGGUUGGAAUCCUUCAGGAGUUCACGCAAUAUGUUGCUAAUGCCGGCCUCACCGACUUCAUCGCAGAUGAGUGUGACCAGCACCAAGUCCUCACAAACAUCUUUGUUCAAUGCUUUACUUUCUUGCCUAGAAAUAAUCCUCCUGAAGUGAGCUUUGAUUUAUAUGCUGAAAACCAUCAGAUACCACUUACUGAGUUUUGUGACAUAUGCAUGAUCCCUUCUGAUGGGAGCUUGGCUGAGCCUAGGCCGGCUGGGUUUGAGGACUUUUAUUGUACUUUGACUUUGGGAGAUGAGAGAGGCGUGUCAGCCACCACGGCUGUUAGCUUACACUUUCCUGAUGUACAUUAUUUUGCUUUAUUUGUUGCUAAGUGUCUGCUUGCUAGAAAGAAAGUAGGUGCGCUCAGCGCACCAGACUUUGCUGUUUUACGCCAGGCACUGGAGGGUGAUAACACUUAUAGCUUGGGAGCUAUUGUGGCUCAUCGCCUGCAUCUUAAUAAAUCCCAAGGGGAAAUACAUGGUGGGAUUUUUGCUACUCGUCUGGCGGCUCAGUUCAAUGUUGAGAUACGCCCUCAUGAUUACCCUCUGACCAAGGUUUACCUAGACCGUGCAGCCAUGGAACUGUUGGAAAUAUGCCCUAGAGGCAAUAAGAAAUUGGUUAUUAUUAUAUUUCUUUGUUCAUGAUAAUCGUUUAUUAUCCAUGCUAGAAUUGUAUUGAUAGGAAACUCAGAUACAUGUGUGGAUACAUAGACAACACCAUGUCCCUAGUAAGCCUCUAGUUGACUAGCUCGUUGAUCAAUAGAUGGUUACGGUUUCCUGACCAUGGACAUUGGAUGUCGUUGAUAACGAGAUCACAUCAUUAGGAGAAUGAUGUGAUUGACAAGACCCAAUCCUAAGCCUAGCACAAGAUCGUGUAGUUCGUUUGCUCAGAGCUUUUCUAAUGUCAAGUAUCAUUUCCUUAGACCAUGAGAUUGUGCAACUCCCGGAUACCGUAGGAAUGCUUUUGGUGUACCAAACGUCACAACGUAACUGGGUGGCUAUAAAGGUGCACUACAGGUAUCUCCGAAAGUGUCUGUUGGGUUGGCACGAAUCGAGACUGGGAUUUGUCACUCCGUGUAAACGGAGAGGUAUCUCUGGGCCCACUCGGUAGGACAUCAUCAUAAUGUGCACAAUGUGACCAAGGAGUUGAUCACGGGAUGAUGUGAGUUACGGAACGAGUAAAGAGACUUGCCGGUAACGAGAUUGAACAAGGUAUCGGGAUACCGACGAUCGAAUCUCGGGCAAGUAACAUACCGAUAGACAAAGGGAAUUGUAUACGGGAUUGAUUGAAUCCCCGACAUCGUGGUUCAUCCGAUGAGAUCAUCGUGGAACAUGUGGGAGCCAACAUGGGUAUCCAGAUCCCGCUGUUGGUUAUUGGCCGGAGAACGUCUCGGUCAUGUCUGCAUGGUUCCCGAACCCGUAGGGUCUACACACUUAAGGUUCGAUAACGCUAGGGUUAUAGGGAAUAGAUAUACGUGGUUACCGAAUGUUGUUCGGAGUCCCGGAUGAGAUCCCGGACGUCACGAGGAGUUCCGGAAUGGUCCGGAGGUAAAGAUUUAUAUAUGGGAAGUCCUGUUUUGGUCACCGGAAAAGUUUCGGGUGCUAUCGGUAAUGUACCGGGACCACCGGGAGGGUCCCGGGGGUCCACCAGGUGGGGCCACCAGCCCCAGAAGGCUGCGUGGGCCAAGUGUGGGAGGGGCCAGCUCCAGGUGGGCUGGUGCGCCCGCCACCAAGGCCCAAGGCGCAGGGAGAGUGGGAGGGGGCAAACCCUAGGUCCAGAUGGGCCUUAAGGCCCACCCUAGUGGUGCCCCCCUCUCUUUUCCCCUUGGCCGCACCCUAGAUGGGUUUUGGGGGCUGCCGCCACCCCUGGGGAGGGAACCCUAGAUGGGGGCGCAGCCCCUCCCCUUCCCCUAUAUAUACUUGAGGUAUUUGGGGCUGCAAACACACGAGAUGAUCUCUCUCUUGGCGCAGCCCUACCUCUCUCCCUCCUCCUCUCCCGCGGUGCUUGGCGAAGCCCUGCAGGAUUGCCACGCUCCUCCAUCACCACCACGCCGUCGUGCUGCUGCUGGACGGAGUCUUCCCCAACCUCUCCCUCUCUCCUUGCUAGAUCAAGGCGUGGGAGACGUCACCGGGCUGCACGUGUGUUGAACGCGGAGGCACCGUUCUUCGGUGCUUAGAUCGGAAUCAACCGCGAUCUGAAUCGCUACGAGUACGACUCCUUCAUCCACGUUCUUGCAACGCUUCCGCAUCGCGAUCUACAAGGGUAUGUAGAUGCACUCCCCUUCCCCUCGUUGCUAGAUUACUCCAUAGAUUGAUCUUGGUGUUGCGUAGAAAAUUUUGAAUUUCCGCUACGUUCCCCAACAGGAACACCAUCACUUUCUUGCACAUGAUCGUCCUGAUAUUGCCAUUCCUUAUAACCUGCUGUUUAGCGUUAAAACUCAUGAUGUUAUUCCAUUGCCUGCACCUGCUUUGUUUGAUUCUGCUGCCAGGGGCGGAUACCGGAUUAUGCCUGCAGACAUCAUCGCCUACCGGAACGCUCAGGCUACUGCGGAGGCAGCACAGGAGGAGCCUCAGAAGUGGGAUGAGUGGAUGUUUGCUCCUCAGCACCCCUACUACCCUCCAGGCUACUGAUUAAUUUCCAACUUAGGCCAAAAGCCUAAGCUUGGGGGAGUAUGUGUUUCUCACCGACAUUAUAUUCAUGCUCAUUCUUAUCAUUCUAUUUAUCGGUGCUCACACAUUUUCAUUGUAUCAUCCAUGCUUAGAUUUAUUUUCUUGCUUUCUUCUUGUGUGUUUGAAAACUUUAGAAAAACCAAAAAAAUUAGUUGUAGUAAUUUACUUUGUAUGCAUGCUUAGUAGUAGUAUUAAAAAGAAAACCCAAAAAGAUUUCCUUGUUCUUCUUUUGCUUGUUGGGAGCUUUCCCGUGUAAAUAUUUUUCUCGUUUUUGCUUUCUACUUGCUUGUUGAAGAAAACCAAAAAAUCCAAAAAAAAUCAGUGUGUUUCUCUGUAUUUCUUUUCUUUUUAUUCGAGUUGUACCAAGGAGAAGACCGCGAUGAAAAUGUUGAGUGGCUCUCACAUGAAUAACUGUUGAACUAAUAAGAGCACAUUUUACCUUGUCUUCUCUUGUUGAAUAAAAUGUUUGCAGAUUCCAGCUUAGUCCACGACACUCUUCCACUAUUAUUAUUUUCAUAUCAUUCGGUCGUGCAAGUGAAAGGCAAUAAUGACGAUAUUCGAUGAACUGGCCGUGGCAGAGAGAAACUGGUAUGAACUCGACUUGUUCUAUUUGUGUAAAUAUGUUUAACCUAGUAUCCAUGAUUCAGCCCAUUACGAUUAACCAUGUUUGCAAUGGCAAUUAGAGAUUAUAGUUUCUCAUGCCAUGCAUAAGUAGCUGGGAGUUGAUAAUGAUUUAGCUUGGAUAUCAACAUAGCGUUAAAAUGAGUGUGAUGUAGUAUGAUGAUAUGGUAUCCUCCUCUGAAUGUUCGAGUGGCUAGACUUGGCACAUGUUCAUACAUGUAGUUGAAUCAAAACCAACAUAGCCUCUUUGAUAUUUAUGUUCGUGGUGUCCAUAUCCUACUCAUGCUAGUGUCCAAUGUUACUUAUGCAUAAUGCAUGGUUAUGAUCGUUGUUGCUCUCUAGCUGGCCGCUUCUCAAUCUAAAUUGCUAGCCUUCGCCUGUACUAAGUGGGAAUUCUGCUUGUACAUCAAAAACCUUGAACCCAAAGUUAUUCCAGAUGAGUCCACCAUACCUACCUAUAUACGGUAUUACCCUGCCGUCCUAAGUAAAUUUGCAUGUGCCACCUCUAAAAACUUCAAAAAUUAUCCUUUUGUGUGCCUGGAUCGUUCAUGGAACGACAGGAGGUGGUCGGUAUCUUCCAUGCUAAGCGGGUUAUUCUCAGGUCGAGUGUUUAUUCACUCGCCAUCGCACGAGAAAAGGGUGGUAAUAGGGAUUCCCACUCCCGAACUCAAAAUGAAAAUAAUUAAACAAAACUCCCCCGAGAGUGUUGUUGGUAUGGACAGCACCCGUUGUUUCAGACAAGGUGUGGAAUGUGACUGUUGGUGGAGGGGGAGUAAACCUUUACUUUUAUCGCUUGGGAACCUCCACUAGCAUGCUUAGCAUGGAAGAUGUUGAAAACUGAUGGUCGUGAAGUGAAUAAGAAAGGUGCAUGUCUCAAAAUAAUCAUUUGUCUCUGUUUUAAAAAUUGAGCUGUGGCACCUCUACAAAUCUAUGCUUCCCUCUGCGAAGGGACUAUCUAUUUACUUUUAUGUUGUGUCACCACCUUCUGAAACAAGCGCCAGAAACUGAGUAGAGCAGAGUUGUCAUGAUUUAUGCAUUGUGUGUAGCUAAUGUUGGGUGCAUCAUGACUGGAUGUUUUCUACCAUGAAUUACAAUGUUUAGUCGCUGCUUGAACUUGGAGGUGCUCUGCAUUUAUGUUUUGCGGUCUCAUAAAGGGCUAGAGAGAUACCACUAUUGUCAUAUUAUAUCAUGGUUGUUUUGACAACGUGGUGCUAUAUGAGAUAUCUUAUUAUUGCUCACUAGUUGAUUAUGUCAUUGAUAUGAGUGAUUAUAAUCUUUAAGAGUUAUUGUCGACAUGGUUAGUUAUAAUGAUUGGCUGAAAACAUGGGUGCUGUUUAACCUUAUUUAUGCAAACAAGAGCAAAAGAGUUCGUAAAAGUUUUUCUUUCUCACUUUUAGUUUAUCAACUGAAUUGCUUGAGGACAAGCAAAGGUUUAAGCUUGGGGGAGUUGAUAUGUCUCCAACGUAUCUACUUUUUCUCACGCUUUUCCUCUUGUUUUGGACUCUAAUUUGCAUGAUUUGUAUGAAACUAACCCCGGACUGACGUUGUUUUCAGCAGAACUACCAUGGUGUUGUUUUUGUGCAGAAAUAAAAGUUCUCGGAAUGGAACGAAACUUUGCGAGGAUUUUUUAUAUUAAUAAUAAGAAUUUCUAGAGCCAAGACCUGCCGGAGAGGGGCACCUGGGUGGGCAAAACCUACCAGGGUGUGCCCCCCUCUUCUGGCGCGCCCAGGUGGAUUAUACCCACCUGGUGGCCCCACAGACGAUCCCCCUGAUACUAUAAAAUGGCAUACUUCUAGAAAAAAAUAAGGGAGAAAGAAUUAUCGUGAUCCACGAGACGGAGCCACCGCCAAGCCCUGUUCUUCCUCGAGAGGGCAGAUCUGGAGUCCGUUUGGGGCUCCGGAGAGGGGGAUCUUCGUUCUUCGUCAUCACCAACCCUUCUCCAUCGCCAAUUCCAUGAUGCACCCCACCGGGAGUGAGUAAUUCCUUCGUAGGCUCGCUGGUCGGUGAGGAGUUGGCUGAUAUUCAUCAUGUAAUCGAGUUAGUUUUGUUAGGGCUUGAUCCCUAGUAUCCACUAUGUUCUUAGAUUGAUGUUGCUAUGACUUUGCUAUGCAUACUGCUUGUCACUUUGGGCCCGGGUGCCAUGAACUCAGAUCUGAACCGUUUAUGAAUUCAUCGUUAUAUCCAUGUUUUAGAUCCGAUCUUGCAAGUUAUAGUCACCUACUACGUGUUAUGAUCUGGUAACCCCGGAGUGACAAUAACCAGGACUUCUUCCGGUGAUUACCGUAGUUUGAGGAGUUCAUGUAUUCACUAUGUGUUAAUGCUUUGUUCCGGUUCUCUAUUAAAAGGAGGCCUUAAUAUCCCUUAGUUUCCAGUAUUGACCCCGCUGCCACGGGAGGGUAGGACAAAAGAUGUCAUGCAAGUUCUUUUAAUAAAGCACGUAUGACUAUUUACGGAAUACAUGCCUACAUUAUAUCGAUGAACUGGAGCUAGUGCCGUAUCGCCCUAGGUUAUAACUAUCACAUGAUGAAUAUCAUCCAACAAGUCAGCGAUCCAAUGCCUACAAAUUUAUCUUAUAUUGUUACUGCUAAGUUAUUACUGCUAUCAUCACUGUUACACUUGCUAUAAAAUUAUCGCUAUCACCGUUACUGUUACCGUUGCUACUGUUACUAUUAUCAAAACUAUCAAACUACUUUGCUACUGAUUAGUUGCUGCAAAUAAUUAAUCUCCAGGUGUGGUUGAAUUGACAACUUAGCUGGUAAUACCUUCAAAUAUUCUUUGGCUCCCCUUGUGUCGAAUCUAUAAAUUUGGGUUGAAUACUCUACCCUCGAAAACUAUUGUGAUCCCCUAUACUUGUGGGUUAUCAGCGCCAUGAAGAGGCGUAUGCUCGAGUACUCUCAAUUCUCGAGGUGUGCUCGACCAAGCUGUAGGCGUGCGUGCUCAAGACGAAGGUGUUGGGUGUCAUGGCACGCCUUAUGGGUAUGAAGCUUGUGUUGAUUUUGGGGCCACAAUUGCCAUUUCUACCUCGCCAUUGACAUCGAUGCUUGAUGAUUUGCAAAGCUUGUAACCUACCACUACAUGGGAGAAAACCACCAGACUUAAAGGAGAUGAGAGUAUUGGGUUUAGAUAUAUUAAGGUCUUCAAUCAAGCGUCACUUACAAGGCAGGCAUAGCGCCUACUUCAAUUUCCAAACAAUUUGUGUGCUAGAAUUAUGAAGGCUAAAUAUUUCCCUUGUGGGCGUCUGCUAGACACAACCUUUCAUCAAAAUAUGUUGCCAACUUGGCAAGGCAUUCUGCAUGGCUUGUACUUGUUGAAGGAAGGUAUCAUUUGGAGAUUUUUUUCCUGUGAGAAGGUUCUUGUUUGCAUAGAUAAAUUGGACCCCCAUGAGUCCUCUUUGAAAUUUUAGGUAAAAGGAACAAAACUCUGUUGAUGUGGGUAUCUGAAUUGUUAUUGUGUCGUCCCCUGUGAUGGAAUGAAAACUUUAUUGGACACAUUAAUACGUCUCCAACGUAUCUACUUUUCCUAACGCCUUUCCUCUUGUUUUGGACUCUAAUUUGCAUGAUUUGAAUGAAACUAACCCCGGACUGACGCUGUUUUCAGCAGAACUACCAUGGUGUUGUUUUUGUGCAGAAAUAAAAGUUCUCGGAAUGGAACGAAACUUUGCGAGGAAUUUGUAUAUCAAUAAAGAGAAUUUCUGGAGCCAGGACCCACCAGAGGUGGGCACCUGGGUGGGCACAACCCACUAGGGCGCCCCCCUCCUGGCGCGCCCAGGUGGGUUGUCCCCACCUGGUGGCCCCGCAGACCCUGAAACUGACGCUAUAAAAUCCUAUUUUUCCAGAAAAAAUCAGGGAGAAAGAAUUAUCGCGAUCCACGAGAUAGAGCCGCCGUCACCUCAUGUUCUUCAUCGGGAGGCCAGAUCUGGAGUCCGCUUGGGGCUCCGGAGAGGGGGGGUCUUCGUUCUUCGUCAUCACCAACCCUUCUCCAUCGCCAAUUCCAUGAUGCUCCCUACCAGGAGUGAGUAAUUCCUUCGUAGGCUCGCUGGUCGGUGAGGAGUUGGAUGAGAUUCAUCAUGUAAUCGAGUUAGUUUUGUUAGGGCCUAAUCCCUAGUAUCCACUAUGUUCUAAGAUUGAUGUUGCUAUGACUUUGCCAUGCUUAAUGCUUGUCACUUUGGGCCCGGGUGCCAUGAAUUCAGAUCUGAUCCGUUUAUGUUAUCACCAUUAUAUCCAUGUUCUAGAUCCGAUCUUGCAGGUUAUAGUCACCUACUACGUGUUAUGAUCCGGCAACCCCAGAGUGAAAAUAGUCGGGACAACUCCCGGUGAUGACCGUAGUUUGAGGAGUUCAUGUAUUCAUCGUGUGUUAAUGCUUUGUUUCGGUUCUCUAUUAAAAGGAGGCCUUAAUAUCCCUUAGUUUCCAAUAGUACCCCGCUGCCACGGGAGGGUAGACAAAAGAUGGCAUGCAAGUUCUUUCCAUAAGCACGUAUGACUAUUUACGGAAUACAUGCCUACAUUAUAUUGAUGAACUGGAGCUAGUGUCGUAUCGCCCUAGGUUAUAAUUGUCUCAUGAUGAAUAUCAUCCAACGAGUCACCGAUCCAAUGCCUACAAAUUUAUCCUAUAUUGAUCUUGCUAAGUUACUACUGCUGCUGUUACUGUUGAACUUGUUACAAAACUACUGCUAUCACUGUUACUGUUAUUGUUACUGUUGUCACUAUUAUCAAAACUAUCAAACUACUUUGCUACUGAUCACUUUGCUGUAGAUAAUUAAUCUCCAGGUGUGGUUGAAUUGACAACUCAGCUGCUAAUACCCUCAAAUGUUCUUUGGCUCCCCUUGUGUCGAAUCUAUAAAUUUGGGUUGAAUACUCUACCCUCGAAAACGGUUGCGAUCCCCUAUACUUGUGGGUUAUCAAGACCUUUUUUUGGCGCCGUUGCCGGGGAGCAUAGCUAUAUUUGUUGAGUCACUUGGGAUUAUUAUCAAUUUAUCACUAUGAAGAAUCUGAAGGAUGCUAAGACUAAGAUUUAUCCCUCUAAGACGAGGGGAUGUAAGGAACUGCCAUCCAGUUUUUCUUUAGAUUCACCUUCUGUUAUAAGUAAACUUGCAACACCAACACAUGCUAUCAAUUCUGAUAUGUCGCAAGUUAUUGAUGAUGCUACUUCUACUAUGAAUGAUGCUUACGAUGAUGCUAGUACCAUGCUUGAUAAUGAUGAUGUGCCACUUGGUGAAUUUCUUGAUAAACAAAUUGCUAGAGUUAUACAACAUGAUGUUGUUGAAUCUGAUGAUGAGCUUGAAACUGAAUCUCCUGAAACACCUGCUAGAACUAGCCUUCCUAGAUAUGAAUUGCCUAAGGUACCGGAAGGUUAUGUUAUGAAUGAGGAGACAACUAGAGAUAUUCUUGCUUGUAAGGAUAGAGAUGAUCUAGAGAAAUUACUAUGCAAGUAUAAAGAAAAAUCUCUGAAUGCUAGAAUGCAAUAUGAUCCUAAGUUUGCUACCUCACCUAUCUUUAUUGUUGAUAAGGAUUAUGAAUUCUCUGUCGACCCAGAGUUAAUUACUUUGGUUGAAUCUGAUCCUUUCCAUGGUUAUGAAACUGAAACUAUUGUGGCACAUCUUACUAAGUUGAAUGACAUAGCCACCCUUUUUACUCAUGAUGAGAAGACUCGCUAUUACUUUAUUCUCAAACUAUUUUUGUUCUCAUUAAAGAGUGAUGCUAAAGCUUGGUACAACACUCUUGCUCCUGGUUGUGUGCGUAGUCCCCAGGAUAUGAUUUAUUACUUCUCUGAAAAAUAUUUCCCUGCUAAUAAGAAACAAGCUGCCUUACAGGAAAUAAUUGAAUUUGUGCAAACUAAAGAAGAGAGUCUCCCACAAGCUUGCGGGAGGCUUUUCCAAUUACUUAAUUUUUUGACCGAUCCUCCUCUUAAGAAAAAUGAAAUACUUGAUAUCUUCUAUAAUGGACUAACCGAUGCUUCUAGGGAUUUCCUAGAUAGUUGUGCUAGUUGUGUUUUCAGGGAACGGACUGUUGGGCAAGCUGAAGAAAUAUUGAAUAAUAUAUUGAAAAAUUAUGAUGAUUGGACUCUUCCUGAACAACCGGUUAAACCCACUCAGAAGAAGAGGGGUAUAUUAUAUCUCAGUCCUGAAGAUAUGCAAGAGGCAAAGAAAUCUAUGAAGGAAAAAGGUAUUAAAGCUUAGGAUGUCAAAAAAUUACCUCCUAUUGAAGAAAUACACGGGCUUAAUACACCACCACUGCCUAAGGUGGUAGAGGUAAAUUCUCUAAUGAAGUUCAAUGAUGAUGACAAUCCUCACAAUAUGCAUCCUAGCCAAUGCCUUUAUGAGUUUGAAAAUUGCAUUAGAAAACAAGAUCACUUCAAUGCAAAUGUUAUAAAACAAUUGAAAUACAAUGCUGAUAUGAUUGCUUGCUUGAGUGACUUGUUAUUUAGAAUCUCAAAUGAUGUUAGAGGUGUUGGAAAGCAUGCUUCUAUGGUUCAAACUCAGCUAGAACAAGUUGCUAAAUCUUGAAGAGAAUUGCUUGAUGAAAUAAAUAAUAAUAAACAUGACUUUGCUAUUAGAGUAGCAACUAGAGGAAGUAAAAUGACUUAGGAACCACUUUAUCCUAAGGGAUACUCAAAAUAAUUGAACAAGAUUCUCAAAGAGAUAGCACUGAUGCACCUAGUCCUUCUAGAAAGAAAAAGAAGAAGAAAAUGGUAGGACUUUGCAUGCUUCUAGUGAACCUAAAACAGAAAAACCUCCUGAUAACGAUAAUGAAACUCCUAUCUCUGAUGCUGAAACUCAGUCUGGUAAUGAACACUCACCUUUUGAUAAUGAAAAAGAUAAUGAUGAGGUUCAUGAAGAUGCUCAACCAAAUAAUAAAGAACCAGACAAUGAUGUUGAGAUAGAACCACCUGUUGAUCUUGAUAACCCACAACCUAAGAAUAAAGAUAUGAUAAAAGAGACUUCAUUGCUAGAAAACAUGGUAAAGAAAGAGAACCAUGGGUUCAAAAACCUAUGCCUUUUCCACCCAAGUCAACUAAAAAGAAAGACGAUGAAGAAUUUGAACGCUUUGCUGAAAUGCUGAGGCUAGUCUUCUUGCUUACUCGCUUGACUGGUAUCUUGAAAAUGCCUCCUUAUGCAAAGUACAUGAAAGACAUUAUCACAAAUAAGAGAAAAAUACCAGAAGCUGAAAUAUCCACUAUGCUUGCUAAUUAUACUUUUAAAGAUGGAGUACCUAAAAAACUUGGAGAUCCGGGAAUACCAACUAUACCUUGCUCUAUCAAAAAGAAUUAUGUGAAAACUGCUUUAUGUGAUUUAGGAGCUGGUGUUAGUGUUAUGCCUUUCUCUUUAUAUAAAAGACUUGAUUUGAAUAAACUCACACCUACUGAAAUAUCUUUGCAAAUGGCUGACAAAUCAACUGCCAUACCUAUCGGUAUCUGUGAGGAUGUGCCCGUUGUUGUUGCUAAUGUUACUAUUUUGACUGACUUUGUUAUACUUGAGAUGCCUGAGGACGACAAUAUGUCGAUUAUCCUUGGUAGACCAUUCUUGAAUACUGCAGGGGCUGUUAUUGAUUGCAAUAAAAGUAAGGUCACUCUUCACAUCAAUGGUAAUGAGCAUACGGUGCACUUUCCAAAGAAACAAUUCCAAGUGAAUGGUAUUAAUGUUAUUGAAAAAUCCCCGACAAUCACUAUUGGAAGUUUUCAAAUACCUCUACCUACUGUCAAAAAGAAAUAUGAAAUGCUUAUUAUUGGGGCAUUCAUAUCCCCGUUGAGGUAACUUAGUGAUUUACGAUAGUUCUUCGGUUUCAUGAUUUACGAUAGUUCUUCGGUUUCAUGCUAAUCGAAAGUGGUUGUUAAUAAGACUUGAUCAACCUUAUUAAUGGAUCAUUUUUUAGCGAUAUGAAGUUGAUGAAUUUAGUAAGCACUACCUUUUGUCCCUACUUUUUGUUUUCUAUCUUUAUUAGUUAAAUAAAAUAAAUGCCAUGUUUUGUCUGUUUUCUGAAUUUCUCGUGCAAUAAAAAAUGACCCAAAAAUAAAAGUUCUCAGAAUGCUCUGAAAAUUUAAUACGGUUUUUUCUGAAUAUUUAAGAAUUACUGGUGCAAAUAAUAUCAGAGGGAGGAGCACGAGGUGGGCACAACCCACCUGGGCGCACCAGGAUCCCCAGGCGCACCCUGGUGGGUUGUGGUCCCCACGUGGGCCCCCUCACUUAUCCCUUCACACCACAUCAUAACUUAUCUCCAGAAAAAAAUCUCCAUUACUCUCUCUCCCAUGUUCUUUCUCUCAAACCCGCGGAUUUCGGUCUCUUUGCUCGAAGCUCUGUUUCCGAAAUUGUUUCGGGGGAUUGUCGCUUGGUAUGUGACUCCACCGUUUGUCCAAUUAGUUUUUGUUUUAGUGGUUUAUAUUUUGAAUAAUUAGCUGCUCUUGGUGCUGCUGUAGAUGAGCUUGCAUGUUGAAUUCUUAGAGUUCUAAGUAGUUUGAAUGCUUGAUAUGGCUUCUAUGUAUCCCUAUGAGUAGUUGAUAUCAAUCUUAUAAAGUUUUGUUGAUAAAUUGUGUCACUCAAAAAUUUUCAGAAAAUUGUACGCGAACAUGAUGAAUCUAUUUGGAAGGAGUUCUUCGAGGAGGAGAUCCUCGGGGGCAUCUUCUAGUGACAACUCCGCUCGCCUGUCUUAUGCCGAACCAAGUGAAAGUUCCAUUCGAGAUGUAGCCACCAAAACAUUUGCGAUGUUUAUAUGAUGCGUGUGGGCAUUAAGGAGGAAUUUGAGCAAUAUGUUCACAAUGCCGGUCUCGGUCCCUACAUUUCAGAUAAGUGCGAACAACACCACACUCUCACUGAAUCAUUUGUCAAAGGAUUUAAAUUCCAUCCCCGUGAGUCUAGGGUGUCAUUUAAGCUUUAUGAAAAUCCAUUUACCAUCUCACUAGAGAGUUUUCCUCACCACUGCAAACUCCCAUUCUAGGGUUCGCUUGAGGAACCGCCAAGGGCUGAGUACCAAUCAUUUUUUACUAGUCUUUGUUACGGUGAGACGAGGGGAGUGACACAAGGUAGAAUAAAGAGCAUUCAUUUUCCUGCAAUUCGGUACUUUGCAUUAUUUAACGGGAAAUGUAUAGUAGGCAAGCAAGAUUGUAGAAUUCUUUGUGCUCCAGACUUGAGCCUCAUAUGCACCGCUCUCACCGGUGAUAGGAGUUAUAAUCUUGGGGCUAUUGUUGCACGCAGACUGUAGCAUAACGCCAACAAUGGCUAUUUCUAUGGUGGAAUAUAUGCCACGCGUUUAGCACGAGGGCUGGGUGUUUCACCUUUGCCCUUUGACCCUAUCCUACCCAUGCAGUAUGUAGACUUUGAUGCUUUAAAAAGUCAUAAGAUCCUCAAAGGAAAAAUUCAUAACUUCACUUACAAUCUGUUGUUUAACCAAACAUUUGUUGUGCACACAUAUUUGCCUGCGCCUGCUCUUUUUUACUAUCACAGCAAAGGAAGAUAUUUUGUUCUUGAGAGCGAGGCCGGAGCUCACAACGCAACAGUGGAGGCAGCACGGCAGACCGAGGCAUCCGCACCGGGAGCCUCUGUGAGCUACCACGCCGACUACUAUCUAGAUUAUUGACUGUGUACCAAGUUAGGCCAAAAGCCUAAGCUUGGGGGAGUACGUGUUUCUCACCGACAUUACAUUCAUGUCCACUUAUUCCAUUUGUCGGUGUUCACACUUUUUCAUUGUAUCAUCCAUGUUAAAUUUAUUUUCUUGCUUUCUUCUUGUGUGUUUGAAAAAUCUUAGAAAAACCAAAAAAAAUUAGUUAUAGUUAGUUUACCUUCUAUGCAUGCUUAGUUGUAAUACUAAAAAGAAAACCCAAAAAGAUUUCCUUGUUCUUCUUUUGCUUGUUGGGGGCUUUCCCGUGUAAAUAGUUUUUCUCGUUUUUUCUUUUCCCUUUUAUUUCCUUAUUCGAGAAAACCAAAAACUCCAAAAAUAUUUUAGUGUGUUUCUCUAAAUUUCUUUUCUUUUUAUUCGAGUUGUACCGAGGAGAAGAUCACGAUGAAAAUGUUGAGUGGCUCUCAUAUGAAUAAUUGUUGAUCUAAUAAAUAACCCAUUUUACCUUGUCUUCUCCUGUUAAAUAAAUUGUUUGCAGAUUCCAGCUUAGUCCACGGCACUCUUGCACUAUUAUUAUUUUCACAUCGUUCGGUUGUGCAAGUGAAAGGCAAUAAUGAUGAUAUUCGAUGAACUGGCCGUGGCAGAGAGAAACGGGUAUGAACUCGACUUGUUCUGUUUGUGUAAAUAUGUUUAACCUAGUAUCCAUGAUUCAGCCCAUUAUGAUUAAACAUGUUUGCAAUGACAAUUAGAGAUUAUAGUUUCUCAUGCCAUGCAUAAGUAGCUGGGAGUGGAUAAUGAUUUAUCCUGGAUAUCAACAUUGCGUUAAAAUGAUUGUGAUGUAGUAUGAUGAUAUGGUAUCCUCCACUGAAUGUUCGAGUGGCUUGACUUGGCACAUGUUCAUGCAUUAGUUGAAUCAAAACCAACAUAGCCUCUAUGAUAUUUAUGUUCAUGGUGUUCAUAUCCUACUCAUGCUAGUGUCCAAUGUUACGUAUGCAUAAUGCAUGUUCAUGACCGUUGUUGCUCUCUAGCUGGUCGCUUCUCAAUCUAAAUUGCUAGCCUUCGCCUGUACUAAGUGGGAAUUCUGCUUGUGCAUCAAAAACCUUGAACCCAAAAGUUAUUCCAGAUGAGUCCACCAUACCUACCUAUAUACGGUAUUACCCUGCCGUCCUAAGUAAAUUCGCAUGUGCCACCUCUAAAAACUUCUAAUAAAUGUCCUUUUUGUGCCUGGAUCGUUCAUGGAACGACAAGAGGUGGUCGGUAUCUUCCAUGCUAAGCGGGUUAUUCUCAGGUCGAGUGUUUAUUCACUCGCCAUCGCACGAGAAAAGGGCGGUAAUAGGGAUGCCCGGUCCCAAACUGCAAAUAGAAAAAGCUUACAAAUAAUCAAACAAAAACUCCCAAUGGAGUCAAAACCUUUACUUUUAUCGCUUGGGAACCGCCACUAGCGUGCUUAGCAUGGAAGAUAUUGAUAACAGAUGGUCGUGAAGUAAAUGAGAAGGGUGCAUGUCUCAAAAUAUCGUUUACCUAUGUUUUAAAAACUUGAGCUCUGGCACCUCUGCAAAUCAUUGCUUCCCUCUGCGAAGGGGCUAUCUAUUUACUUUUAUGUUGUGUCAUCACCUUCUAACACAAGCGCCAGAACCUGAGAGCACUGCUGUCAUGACUUAUGCAUCGUGUGUAGCUAAUGUUGGAUGCAUCAUGACUGGAUCUUUUCUAUCAUGAAUUACAAUGUUUAGUCGCUGCUUGAACUUUGGAGGUGCUCUGCAUUUAUGUUUUGCGGUCUCAGAAAGGGCUAGCGAGAUACCACUAUUGUCAUAUUAUAUCAUGGUUGUUUUGAUAACAUGUUGCUAUCUGAGAUAUCUUAUUAUUGCUCGCUAGCUAAUAAUGUCAUUGAUAUGAGCUAAUAUAAUCUUUAAGAGUUAUUGUCGGCAUGGUUAGUUAUAAUGUUGGCUAAAAACCUAGGUGUUGUUUAAGAUUAUUUAUGCAAACAAGAGCAAAAGAGUUUGUAAAAGUUUUUCUUUUUCACUUUCAGUUUAUCAACUGAAUUGCUUGAGGACAAGCAAAGGUUUAAGCUUGGGGGAGUUGAUAUGUCUCCAACGUAUCUACUUUUUCUAACGCUCGUCCUCUUGUUUUGGACUCUAAUUUGCAUGAUUUGAAUGCAACUAACCCCGGACUGAUGUUGUUUUCAGCAGAACUACCAUGGUGUUGUUUUUGUGCAGAAAUAAAAGUUCUCGGAAUGGAACGAAACUUUGCGAGGAAUUUUUAUAUCAAUAAAGAGAAUUUCUGGAGUCAAGACCCACCAGAGGGGGGCACCUGGGUGGGCACAACCCACCAGGGCGCCCCCUCCUAGCGCGCCCACGUGGGUUGUCCCCACCAAGUGGCCCCGCAGACCCUGAAACCGAUGCUAUAAAAUCCUAUUUUUCCAAAAAAAAAUUAGGAAGAAAGAAUUAUCGCGAUCCACGAGACGGAGCCGCCGUCACCUCCUGUUCUUCAUCGGGAAGCCAGAUCUGGAGUCCGUUUGGGGCUCCGGAGAGGGGGAUCUUCGUUCUUCGUCAUCACCAACCCUUCUCCAUCGCCAAUUCCAUGACGCUCCCCACCGGGAGUGAGUAAUUCCUUCGUAGGCUCGCUGGUCGGUGAGGAGUUGGAUGAGAUACAUCAUGUAAUCGAGUUAGUUUUGUUAGGGUCUGAUCCCUAGUAUCCACUAUGUUCUAAGAUUGAUGUUGCUAUGACUUUGUCAUGCUUAAUGCUUGUCACUUUGGGCCCGGGUGCCAUGAAUUCAGAUCUGAUCCGUUUAUGUUAUCACCAUUAUAUCCAUGUUCUAGAUCCGAUCUUGCAAGUUAUAGUCACCUACUACGUGUUAUGAUCCGGCAACCCCAGAGUGACAAUAGUCGGGACAACUCCUGGUGAUGACCGUAGUUUGAGGAGUUCAUGUAUUCAUCGUGUGUUAAUGCUUUGUUUCGGUUCUCUAUUAAAAGGAGGCCUUAAUAUCCCUUAGUUUCCAAUAGGACCCCGCUGCCACGGAGGGUAGGACAAAAGAUGUCAUGCAAGUUCUUUCCAUAAGCACGUAUGACUAUUUAUGGAAUACAUGCCUACAUUAUAUUGAUGAACCAGAGCUAGUGUCGUAUCGCCCUAGGUUAUAACUAUCUCAUGAUGAAUAUCAUCCAACGAGUCACCGAUCCAAUGCCUACGAAUUUAUCCUCUAUUGAUCUUGCUAAGUUACUACUGAUGCUGUUACUGUUGAACUUGUUACAAAACUACUGCUAUCACUGUUACUGUUACUGUUACUGCUGUCACUAUUAUCAAAACUAUCAAACUACUUUGCUACUAAUCACUUUGCUGCAGAUAAUUAAUCUCCAGGUGUGGUUGAAUUGACAACUCAGCUGCUAAUACCCUCAAAUAUUCUUUGGCUCCCCUUGUGUCGAAUCUAUAAAUUUGGACUGAAUACUCUACCCCCGAAAACUAUUGCGAUCCCCUAUACUUGUGGGUUAUCACACAUCUACCCUCAUUAUGUGGAGGCAACCUAAAUAUCCAUUUGUCAUCCACUGGAGGGGGUCAUUGUGUCUUCGAACGAGUUUUUCACUGUAAGAAGUGUGUACGAAAUGGCGAUGCAACAUAGUAAUGGCAUGCAAUAGAGGUUAAUAUAGUAUGGUGCCACAAGGAGAUAGAAAUAUCUAGAAGUUAAUUUGGCAAUCUCACACGCUUCAAAAAUUGAAAGUUUUUUCUUGGAGAGUGAUGAUGAAUAGUCUUGAGAUGUAUGCUGAUAGAGUUCACCAUCAUUUGGUGUUAUUCUUACAUGUGGCAUAUGCAAUUGUGAAGAUAAGGAUGCUUUCCACACUCUUGUCAAAUGCCCCAAGGUACACACCCUUAGGUCUGAUCUUCGAGAAGUUUGGCCUCUUCCUGGUGAGGAUUUGUUUGCUAAUACUAGACCAAAGUGGUUGCUCCUUUUUGCUAGAAAUUCUGAAUAUUGAUCAUAGAGCUAAGGUUUUGUUCAUGCUCCAGAGAUCGUGGCCUCUAAGAAACGACCUAAUAUUCGGUGAAGGUAAGGCACCUGUCCUAGAUUUGUCACCUUUAUCCAAGUUUAUGUGGCUAGUUUCUUGGAUGUGGUAGUGUAGGAAAUCAAAAUGGCAAAAGUAAAGAAUCUAUGGGAACAGAUUAGUUUUCAUACGCAAGCAUGAACAACUAUAGUUUGGAAAAGCCAUCAAGCUGGAUGUAGUAUGAUUAAUGUUGACAUUGGCUUCGAUCCUUGCUCAGCGUCAGGAACUAUUUGCUAGGUAGUGACAGAGAUAUCUGGCAGGGUCUUGAAAUCAGCAAGGAUAUUGUCCCAACUUGUUCCACGAUGGAAAAGGCGGAGCUUCAGGCGUGCAUCAUGGGGAUCCAUAGGGUAUUGAUUCCUAUCCACCCUACAUUUUCAAAGCUCGCUGCCUUUACAUAUAUUAAGAAUUGCCUUAACUCCUCAUAUAUGGGCAAAUCGUCUUACAUGAAUUUUGAACAUGAUGACGUUGGAUUCGUUGAAGAAGUCAAUGAAUUUCAAGAUUGUUCAUAUUUAAUAGAGAUACUAAUGUUAUGGCUCAUGGUUUUGCUUAAUUUAGUAAGAGUGGUUCUUGUAUGGGUGUGUGCGUUGGCGUGGUUACUUCUUGCAUGUUGGAGUUGGCCAAGAAUGAUUGUAAAACCUUAUCCAAAAAGGUGCAUUGAAUGUCAUGAUGGUUGACAUGACAACCUUCAUCAUUGCAUAUCGGCUUUCAAUUAUGAAGGAGCUGGUAUGAUUAUAAUUUUGAAUGACGGCGUAGUUGUGGGGAAAGGAACAAAUGAGAACCCUAUGGGCAUCACCCUCAGAGCGUAAGCUUCUAUUGUAGAACAUAACUUCACCCGAUGCAACUUUUUAUUAGAAAAGACCAUAUGUCUGGCUUUAGUGAAUUUAAGCCCUUAGAGGUUUACAACAUAGGUUCAUGAUGGCGGGAUCUCAUAACCUGGGUAAAACAUCUCUCGAGUGAAAUCUCAUAACUAGAUCAUCCACGUGCACCUUGCCUUACCAAAAUUCCCCAAAUCAUGUGUAUUGCCAUGAAAUCCCCACAACAGUUCAAAUGCAAAAAAACAGAAAUCUAGCUCAAAAGCCAUGAAAGAACACAUACCUCGAUACAAACUCUGAGCAGGGUCCUCGGCUCGAUAGCUGCAGUACACACACCCCAACUCCAAAUGAGCCUUGACUGCGAGGCACUUCAGUUUCCAGACCGCUCCUCAUUGAGCGCCACAACAUGGAUCCCAAGUCACCGAGAAAGAGCCUCAAGGGUCAAUGAGUCUUGGGUCUUGCUCGGCGGCCUCCAAAGCUGUAGAAAAAAUAGCCUUUUAUAUAGGCAGUCAUUGAAGUGUAUUCUAAUCCCCUAGGUGAAUUUUGGUAAUCAGUGCCAACAUAUCUCAAGGUACUAAUGAUUCAUAAAGUAUCUUUCAUAUUAGCUCCCAAAUGAUGCAUCAAAAUAAGAUGAUUGGUGCCCACUCAAAAUCCCAUUAAGACAAGUGUUAGCCAAACUAAGGACUUGAAUUUUAUUUUAGUAAUCCAAGAUCAUAUUGAGUCCAUAGAUACGAGAUGCUAUCAAAAAGGAUAGAACUUGUUAAGCUGAGUUUCUUUCUCUAUGUGUUGACAGAUCGAACUCAAAAGCCCUAAAAAUAGCCUUUGGUUUCUCCACUGUAUCUACCAUUUUUUCUACUUUUUCGCUUAGGACCAUACGAACUAUUUUUUUAGAUAUAGUCAUUGCAAACGAUAGAUGAGCUCCCGAACACCUCCGUCCGGAACCUCUACAGCGUUUGUGCACUCCUUUGCACACAGUACGGAUUUUCGAGCGGACUUGGUUGAAAUUUCCGAACGACAUCCAGUAGUGUGUGCUAAGUGAGUCAUUGGUCAGUCAAAGCCUCUAAAUGACUUUAAGUUGGACCUUUUGAGCUUUUGAAAGUUUCUGCCUUUAGUGUUGUUUGGAGAUUACGAGCUAAACCUCCGGAGCUUCCUAGCUAUGCUAAAAAGGUGUGUAACAGUCAUAUUUCUGUUUCCGCCAAUUUAUACUCUCACCUAUUGUAGCGACCCGACCUCAGACGGUCAAGUCUCUGUGCUUAAGUGUCAUCCCUGGAUCGGUAUGCUGACACACACAGUACUCGAGGAUUUAUAACAGAGGUAAAUCACAUAUAUAAAGUAACGUAAAUACUAUUACCUCAAUCCAAAUAGCGGAAGUAACAACAAGGUUGUGGAUUCCCAUCAACACCAACGACAAAGUUGAGUGUAGAAAUCGUAACCCUAACGUAGCACUUACUCGUCGUAAGAUUCCUGCAACAUGAGACGUUGCAGCCAUGUAGGUCGGUACAUUGAAUGUACUGGCAAUUUCACACUGUAGAGCAAUACUGAAUAAUGGCUAUCACUACAUGCAUAUUUGGCUGGUGGAGGCUCUAAGUUUAUUUUUUUGCAUAAAGCCAAUUUUUCCCUACAACAAAGGAAUAUAUUUUAUUUAACUAUCAUGGUAGUUGAUAAACAUUGAGAAUGGUAACCCCAUCUCAAUCCCAAUAUAGUAAUCAUUAACCCAAACAAAUUAAUUAAGUAAAGUGUUGAGAUCAACAUGAUAAUUCAAGAACCAGAUACUCAAGAUGUCCAUAACCGGGGACACGGUUAAUCAUGAUUAGUUUGUACACUCUGCAAAGGUUUGCGCACUUUUCCCCACAAGACUCGAUCUCCUCCGUUGGAUUUCUCGCACUACAUGGUGUUUGAGAAACGGAUGACCGAGACACAGUCUUUCAGAAGCAUUAACUCUUUACUCUGGGUAGACAGUUACACCUACUUUCCCCUACAUCUGCUAGCCUACCACUGAAAGAGGUCACACAACAUACUCAACUAUGUCAGAGCCCAUAAUGGCUUGUGGCUGCACACAGAAGUUUCUAGCAUGAAUAAUCUUAUGAUCCCUUUGAGCCUGGGUGGCAUUCCAUAGGAUGAUCACACAGGUUCCCCGGGAUCUCCUAGGACAACACUGCUAUAUCCCCAGGUGUCCAGGCAAGCCACUGGUAUAUCCCCAGGGUGCCCCAACCAAUCCACCCAGAUGUGUAUUAAAGUAGCCACCUUAAGUUUCCCUUAGAAAAUAUUACUCUCGCAACUUUCAUGAAUUCUCUCAAACCAAUCCACGUCUACAAGCAUAGCAUAGCAGUAUAAGCAUAACGUAGAAGUAACUCCCAGGGGUUUGAUAUAAAGGACAAUAGGUUCUACCUCAUCAACUACUUCUCAAAACCCACAUAUUAAAUAGAUCCUACUCAUGCAAUGUUUGAGGGUGAAACUAAUGCAUAAAAACUGGGUAUGAAAGGGAUAUGAUCAAAGGGUGAACUUGCCUUGUACUGUUGAUGAAGAUGAUUCGCACUCAUAACUCCUGAUAGUUCUACUCGUCACACUCCGGUCAAUCUAUCGUGAGCAAGCAAUUGCAUACAUAAGCACUCAUGCAAAAGAAUCGAAGAAAAGAUCUCGGAAAACUUCGAAAACAGGCAAAUAACUCUUGCAACAUAAAACAAUUUCUAACAGUACCAAAAUUGGGUGAAUUUGUUCUUAUCAGAAAGUUUAGAUCAAGAGCUUCGAAUAGCAAAAAGAAUCAAUUAAAUCGGAAUUAUAAAACUCGAGUUAUGAACAGAAGAAGUUCAAAUACAAAUCUGUUUGAAUUCGAAUUUUAAACUUUUCAAAAAUAUGUUUAAGUUGUUUUACUGGAUAGAGGGGAUCGUAACGAAGAAGUUGGAGUUGGUUUCGUUGGAUUUGGAUAAACGGUGUAAAAGUUGUGAGUGUUUGAAAACCAUGGGCUAUUCUGUAAGAAAACAAAUUGCAACCGGGUCCCUGGCUACGUGGCAGAAUCCUAUUGGCUGAAACCGUUCGCUUCGGAGGCUUUAACGAACGAACGUUCGGUAAGUAAAGAAAAACGAUUCGAAUAAAAAAUAAAAAUAAAAAACUAAUCUAAUCAUAUCCAUCUAACCUAGAUCGGACGGACGAGGAGCAGCGGCGGCUUACCACAGUGGUGGGCGUCGACGUCACCGGAGAAGGAGACGGCAGCGGCGUCGGGGUCGACGAGGUGGCUGCUCCGGCGGUCCUCUGGCGUGGCCGCGGGGUCAGGGAGAAGCGGCGCGAGGUUUCGAAGCCGAUGGUGGUGGCGGAGUCGGGCGUAGGCGGCGGUGGAGCGCGGGGCAACGGCGGCAGAUCUCGGCGGAGCUCGCAACUUCGGCGAGGUUUUGCGGCAUAGGGGCGGUGGUGGCUGCGGUUUGAGGAGGAAAACGGGGCCGGGGUCGAGUGUUUAUAAAGGAGGCGAGGCGUGGGCGAGGGGCAAGGCGAAGAGGAGAGUCCAGGGCGGACUCGGCGUCGGCCGACGUCGGCGUACAGGAGCGGGACCCCUGCUGCCUUGCGGGAGGAGGAAGAAGACGCGGGGCCCGCCUGUCGGCGUCCGUGGGAGAGAGAGGGGGAACGGGCGACCAGGGCGGAGGCGGUUCACGCGAGGGAGAGAGGCCAUGGGCCGAUUCGGCUUGCUGGGCCGGGGGCGGAGAGAGAGAGAGAGCUGGGCUGGGCUUCCGCCUCGCACUGUUCGAAGAUGUUUUUUUUACAGACACAACAGAAAUAUAAUAAAACCAAAUAAAAUAAAAUGCAACCUAGGCAUAUUAUAUAUCAAAAUUUUCAUAAAAAGAUUGUCUACAACUUGAACAUUUUUUUAGCGUCAAAUAAAAUCCGCAAAAUUUUAAAUAAAUCAAACAGUGCUAUAGCUAUAAUAAACCCAAUAAAAAUCAUUUUAAAAAUACCAAAAUGAUUUCAAAUUUAUUUCUCUCCAAUUUUCUGAUGUAAGGAAUCAUUUUACCCUAAUUUCCAUAUAUUUUAUUUUUGGAGAAAAAUAAUUUGAAUAAAAACCAAAUAACUCCAAAUUGAAAAUAACUUUCAAAGGGACUUUAAAUUGGAUUUCUUUUAAACUUCCAACUCAUAUUUCAUAUUUUGAAGAAAUCAUUUUAUCUUCUCUCAUGAAAAUCAUUGAGUUGCUUAAAGUUUCUGAAUUUGAAAUAUUUCCAAAUGGAAUUCAAAUCUUUUCAAAACCCUUUUCAUUUAUUUAAAUGGAAGAAGUCAUGUCAUCUUCUCUCUAGGGUUUUAUGAUGAAAUAAAUUUGAAUUCAUGGAGAUCUUAAAUGCAAAAAUGAAAGUUUGGGAAAGUCCUUUUAUUCCCUCUCAUUUAACUUUCAAAAAGUUUCAAAUUUCACUCACUUUCAGUCAAUCAAUCACACAACAAUCAAACAAACAAUCAAAACUAUUUAUUUAUAUAACAUUCCAAAAUUUAGAAUUUUGGGAUGUUACACCUAUCCCACGAAUUGAUGCAGAGGUCGGAGUCUUCCCCUUUCUCGAAAGAAAAAUAAAACUAUCCUACCAGUUCACUGGAAGCAACACUCUUUCAAAUCAUAUUUUCUAAGAGAGGAUACUAAGAUCCUUCAUGUGGGAAACUUUUGGUCUAUGAGUGUAUAUACCCCUUAUAUGGGAAAAUUAGUAAUUAAAUAAAAAGUCAAAUUCUGAACAUAUUUUUGAAAUAAAGUUGACCUUCCAUUGUACUUGUAAGAAAAAUUCCACACACAAAAAACCUGUUGACUUCUUCCCGAAAAAACAAAAAUUCUGGCUAAAAUAGUGUGAAUAGCGACCUAUAAAUAAUAGCAAAUAAAUUUUAUUUUUUUGCCCAAGUCAACACUGGAUUUUUGUUCACGAAAAUUUAUAUACUAGUGCAAAAGAAAGUCAGGUUUAUUUCAGAAAAACUUAUAAACUUUUUUCACUUUUUUGUAAUUAUUAAUUUUUAUUGCUCAUAUAGGGUGUAUAUGGGUAUUUUCCAGAUCAUUCACCGCUAUUGGUCCAUUCUGCAGCAGCAGUGUAACGUUCAUGAAAGGAUCCAAAUCACCCUGCAAAAACAAAUGAUUGGAUGUAAAAAUAAAAAACAGGAUUAGAAAAGUCGCAACCUGCUCUCCAAUCCCCAUGACAGCUCCUUCGGCAGAUGGCGGAAAGGAUAUCAGCAGACACUCACUCCUCACCGCAAUCCACACCUAAAUAAACAUUUGCCUCCCUUCUCCUUCUUCCACACUUUGAAUUCACGCUGCGCCCGGCUUCCUCCCAUGCAUACGAAGCAGCAGUGCUCCCAUUACUUCCCAAUUACUCCUCUCGCUCCCACCCUCUUCUACCUUCUUCCCUUCAAUUGUCAUUCUCAGUCCAUCACUCGAGCCUAGCACUAGCACUAGCAUCAUUUUCACCAACCUUCUACCCGUGCUCGGUAAUCUUCUCCCCGCGUUUCUUGGCUCGCCGCGGAAUUUCCAUCGCACCAACCACCGGCUGCACCAUAUCUUUCUUUUUCUCUCGCCUCACCGUAAUCCUGAAUUUUCAUCACGCCGACACCGACCGAGCCAUCCACCGCCCUCCACUUUCCCAGCGAGCAAAUCCAAUCUUCGCAACCACAUUGCUGCGGCCCUUCUUCCCUUUUGCACCCGAUCACCCACCCCGAUCAACUUCCUCUUCCUCCCCGCUCCCUUUCCCGUGCCGCCGUGUCCAGCAUCUGGCCGUUUGCGAGGCAGAGUCCGAUGAUCUUUGCGGCUUGAUUGCUCCGGGCGCGGCCAGAGAUCCAGCAAUCCGAGGGGAGCAAGAAGCUGCAGAGUGGUGGUACCUUUGCUCGGGCAGCUCCCUCCCAUAAAUGUCGGAGUCGGAGCUGUCCCGGAGCACGGUGCUGUUCGGGCUGCGCUUGUGGGUGCUCCUCGCCAUCGCCGUCGGCGCCGCCUCCGUGCUGCUCCUUGUCCUCCUCUCCGUCCUCUGCUUCCUCGGCUCACGCCGGCGCCGGCCAACCACCCCCGCCCACCACCUCCCCACGUCCGCGCCUCCGAGUAAGGAUGCCAGGAAGGUCAACGCGCCCGAGGGCAUCCAGGAAGCCCCCUCCCACGCCGCCGCCGCGAAGAUGCCGCUGGCGCGGGUGCUCCAGUCCCCCAUAACGCCGCCGCCAUCGGUCAAGGAGCAGCGCGUGACGUACCCGGAGCAGCCCCCGCACCACAGCCACCGGAGCAGCGGGAUGCCGUCGUCGCAGGGCAGCACCUGCGAGAGCGGGGACGGCGCGGCCCCGGCGCACCACGCGCCGAAGGCGGCGCCGGAGGUGUCGCGCCUCGGCUGGGGCCACUGGUACACGCUCGAGGAGCUGGAGACGGCGACGGAGAUGUUCGCCGACGAGAACGUGAUCGGCGAGGGCGGGUACGGGAUCGUGUACCACGGCGUGCUCGAGGACGGCACGCAGGUCGGUGUCAAGAACUUGCUUAACAACAGGUAUUUUACAGCAACUUACUAUUCAUGGAACUCGCUCUGAAAAUUUUACAGUAACUUGAAAUUGUCAUCUCGGAUGAAGGUGUUGCCAACGUUGAAAUAUCAUAUCUGUCACUAUUUGUGAAUUGCAUUGGCUAUGGAUCACUCGAGAACACCCUCGCCGAUUUGAAUUUGAAUUUGAAUUUGUGGGUGCUCCAAAUUGAAAAGCCUCUAUAUGAGCUGCAGCUUAGGUUCAGUAAUUUCAGGUAUGUUCGUAGCCAGUAGCUUCAAUGCGGCUGGUGGCGCUGCGCGCGGCCGUUGCCCACGUGAUCAGUGUCGCCUGCUGGAUUGCGUUCAUCUCCUCGUCGGCUCUGGUGCCGGUGGCACCGCCACGGCUUGUGGACAUCGGCUGGGAGGAGUAAGUGCAGAUGGCGAGGUGGUGCGAGCGAGAGCGCACUGCAACUGCUCGAUGAAAUGCCUAUGGGGGAGAGAGAUAUGAUGACAAGGACAGAGGGUAGAGAGAGAUAUUGCCAGGUGUCAGGUGUGCGAUGACCUGUCAACCCCAUGCUUAGUCAGCACGCUUUGGCUAGGUUGAGGGACAAAAAAUGUCCGGUUUAAAAAGUUGAAGUGCAAGUUUCCCGGAUUUGGGGUUAAGGAACAAAACCCAAACUUGUCGAUUAGUUGACGGACUAAAAAUAGGUUUUUCUUCAAUGUAUAUGUUCAACUUUUUAGGACCGGCUUGGAUUGGUCAAUGUUUAGUGUGUUACUCAAACUAAUGAAAAUUUUGUUUUCUUGACUUGUUAGGGGGCAGGCGGAGAAAGAAUUCAAGGUUGAGGUCGAAGCAAUUGGGCGUGUUCGGCACAAGAACCUGGUGCGCCUUCUAGGAUAUUGUGCCGAGGGGAAUCAAAGGUAUUAUCUUGUUGUUCGUGCACGUUAUUUGAUUACUUUGGUGAGUUGUAGAAUCAACAAUUAUGGAUCGUGGCGAUGUAAGUGUUGCUCAUUCUGUUAUUUUUAGGAUGCUUGUGUACGAGUAUGUUGAUAACGGCAACUUGGAACAAUGGCUCCACGGGGACGUUGGACCUGUAAGCCCCCUUACAUGGGAACAUAGGAUGAAGAUCAUACUAGGGACAGCAAAAGGGUGCGUGUUGCUCAGAUUGGAUAACUCUUAUUAUUGGUGACAUUUUGCCUAGUCACGUAAACAUCUCACACUAUGUAGUGUAGGUUAUUGUAUUUGCAUGAGGGGCUUGAACCAAAGGUGGUUCACCGGGACGUCAAGGCAAGCAACAUCCUUCUUGAUAAGCACUGGAAUGCUAAGCUCUCCGAUUUCGGACUUGCGAAACUCUUAGGCUCAGAGCGAAGUUACGUAACUACACGAGUUAUGGGAACUUUCGGGUUAGUUUCUCUGCAUUGCCUGCACCUAUGGUGAUAUUGUAAUGUGGGAUGAAUUAGUGGUUACUAAUUUGUUGUUGAUCAUUGCAGGUACGUUGCUCCAGAGUAUGCGGGGACUGGGAUGUUAAAUGAAACAAGCGAUGUAUAUAGUUUUGGGAUCCUUGUCAUGGAAAUAAUAUCUGGUAGAGUACCAGUGGAUUAUAACAGGCCACCUGGAGAGGUUAGCUAUUGAUGUGUCUUUGUAUAUCCUUAUGAGCUUGUUAAUGCAUUUUUUACUGGAACUUGUUAGCUGCAUUUAUUUCUAUAAUUAAACAUUUUCAGGCAAAUUUAGUUGAUUGGCUAAAGACAAUGGUGAGCACCCGGAACUCUGAGGGGGUUGUGGAUCCAAAGAUGCCCCAGAAGCCUGCCUCUAGAGCAGUGAAGAAAGCUUUGCUCGUGGCGUUGCGAUGUGUGGACCCUGAUGCUUCCAAGAGGCCAAAGAUUGGACAGAUCAUUCACAUGCUUGAAGUUGAGGAUUUCCCCUACAACAGAGAUGUAGGUCAAUAAAGUCAUACAUUCCUAAUCUGGAUUUUCAUUUGAUUUGGACAUUCAUGAUCGUAAAGACAAUGAAACAUAUGAAUAAGAAAACAUCAUCUUAUUGCUAAUUUCAGGAACGUCGAGGCGGUAGAGCUCCAACGAAGGCAAGGUUGCCCGGGAAACCGACUAACGGAAUAGAUGAUGGCGAAAUUGACAACAGUGGGGACCAUGACCAACCUUUCAGAUGGAAAAAUACAGUGGCCUAGGCAUUUGUUCAGUUACCAAAUCAUGUGGAACCCCAUGUUGUAAAUAGGGGCAAUACCUGGUGAAGCCGCAAACUGUCAUUAUUUUAGUGUCAGCCAUGGAGGACAUCACAUCAUAUGUAUAUGUCAUCAAAGGAACGCGGCAGCGGUAGUAGUAAUCCUUGAUUAUUUAUCCAAUUGGAGAUGUUUUUACAUGAUAAUGUUGUGAUCCUUUUAAGUUAACAACAGAAUGUUAAAGCCCUCAGACGGCCUUUGGUUAAAAACUGGCCAGCGUUUGUGACUUGCACUGACGCUGACACCAUUUAAAGAAGCUUCACAUUUAAAGAAGUUUGACUUAAGACAAUACCAAACUUUCACUUAAUUUGGAACUGUGGGGGUACUUAGUACUGGAGAUCAAAGAAGAACAACCAAAAUGUGAAGCUGGUUGUUCAGUGAUGGCGUCUACAUCUAAUCCGGGUUUCUUUUUCCUUCUGUUGCCUUCUUGUUUGAACAUGUGAGGAACUUUGGCCAAUGUGGUUAAAAAAUGUGAUUAUUCGUGUGCCCGUGUACAAAUAACCAUAAGAUAUUUCUCGUUUGAAGGGCAUGAUCAUUUCUAGAGUUACUUCUAAAUUAGUUCAUUUGUAGAAUUUCAUAUUUUUGGAGUUUAUAAAGUCAGUACACCCACUGUUCUAAAUUAAUUGGAGUUGUAGAUAUGUCUGAAGUCAAACUUGUUUAACUUUGACCAAUGGUACAUGAAAAUAUCCUGAAAUCUACAAAUCUAAUAUCAAAAAUACGAAAAUAUAUUUUAUAAAGAACCUAAUGAAACUAAUCUGAUUUUGUAGAUGUUAAUUUUUCUGUAAACUUGAUCACAUUUAAAGAAGUUUGAAUUAAGACAAAACCAAACCUUCAAUUAAUUUGGAAAUGGGGGAGUAUUUGGUGCCGGAGAUAAAAAACGAAGACCAAAAUGUGAAGCUAGUUGUUCAGGGAUGGCAUCUACAUCUAAUCCGGUAUUUUCCUUUUGUUGCCUUCUUGUUGGCACAUGUGAGGAACUUUGACCAAUAUGGUUAAGACGUCGAUGUACAAAAUUAAAAGAAAUAGAUGGUGCCUGCCUGGCAUCCAUGUCAGGGCUAUAAUUCUCAGAACACAAAAGCUCUUUCCAGCUGAAACAAAAUGUUAGCUGAUAUGUCGUGACCGUGACUGGAGCUUUUCUUAAUGCAGCACGCAUGAAGUAUGCACAUGCAGUUAAGCAUCAUCGUUUGACAAACCUGCAAACUGCCAGCAACAACCAAAUUGGCAUGUUCAGAAGUUGAAGCUUAAGAAAGAAUAUCAAACCAAUAAUGCAGAGAGCCUAGCCAGCACGAUGAGUACAGCUUGGCCAAGAUGCAAACGAGAGAGAGGGAGAGAGAGAUGCAAUGCUACAGUGAAUACAACAAAGUACAGAAAGAAUGAAAAAGAAAUCUUCUUCCACUGUGCUGCACAAGCUGUUAUCUGUACCGUCUUUUGUUACAAGAUUUAUUUUUUAUUUUUUUACGGAAAUGAUCGGAUCUAUUGUAAAAGUUCACGGAAAUACAACUCAAACAUACUAAAAACUACAUCGAGAUUCCAAGACAACCGAACGAUCACUACUGCCGUCAGAACGAGCCGUCGAUGCGUCGUUCCCCUACCGUAGCCGGCUUGACCUUAUCGAUGACAACCAGUAAGUCUUCAUGCACGUGCCCAUAAGGACCAUCAUCCUAGAGCCGCAUUCGUCGCUGUUUAGCCCUUGCAUAGAUCUGAAUCACCUGACACCAAAUCUCACCACAUGACAAGAAACCCUAACCUCACAGCCUGAAGGAGACGGCGGGAAUCUACGCCGGAGCUCCGUCGACUACGUCCAAAUGGACGAACUCGAGGAGGAUCGAAACCCGGAAGACAAACUCAAAGAAGAUGCACCGUCAUCCACCCGAGUGCCGCACCUGCGAGAACUAAAAAACCCUAACUUAAACUACUAACCGAAACAGAGGCAACGAGAUUCUCCUCCCCGCCAUCGGAUCGGCAAGCAGAGGGGAGGCGAAACCACGGGCUCGCCGGUGAAGUCUGGAGGAAAAAGUUUGCCCUGGCCACCUAGGGUUAGGGGAGGAAACGAGAGGAAGUCACGUUUGUGCGCAAAGAAAUACUUUUCUGUUACAAGAUUAUGUGGAGAGUGCAAGGAACUUGAAGAUCGUAUUUAUCUGUUUGAGCUACUCUCUCGACUAUAUUAUUUUUAAACACUUUCGCCCUGCUUUAUGGAUAAAGCAUCAACCAUCUCCGUACACCAUUUUUUUUAAAUACGUUUUCGCUCCGCUUUAUAGAUAAAGCAUCAACCAUGUUCAUACACCAAGUUAGCCAAGUACAGGAAAAAUAAAUAAGAGAUUUGUUGGGGCAACAACACAAGACAUGCCCAAAAGAGAAAAAGGGAAAGCAAUACAUGAAUCCUCAUAAACGAGGAAUCAACUGCUAGGAGGCUCGGCGAGCUGACAGUCGAGCACCUGAACAUUAUCCAACAUGUUACCUAGUCGGUCUCUGUCCCACCGCCUAUAUAGCAGGGACUAUUAAUAUUCUUCCCCGUGUUUGGCUACUAGAUGAAGCUCUAGUUUCCCUCCGAAAGGAUGAAUUAAUAACACUUUUGAGCUUAGAUUUGAGCUUGUCCAUAUUCUGAAAUUUUUCAACGUAUCAUUACAAAGUGAGAUUUGUUCUUAAUAAAUGCGGGAAACAGCUCCACUAAGCUUAUAGUGACUAUAUCAUGCAUCAUAACUACUCCAGAAAAUUUCAAAUCAUCAUGCAAACUCGUUUUCUUGUUUAACAACAGUAGAAAACAUAGCAUGAUAUACGACACUGAUCAAAAUUCUAAUAGGAUGAGUGGAGGAGAAACAUACCAUUGAGUAAUCCCCCAAAGUUUCAACACAUAUACUUGGUGAGAGAGGAAGAUAAACAAUGUGCAUCAAGAAGAGCUUGGAAACUUAAAAAAAAAUGUCAUUCUUGAGGAAGGUGGAAGAAACCUCCCAUGCCCAAGCCCUUGUGUGGGUGGCUAGUGGGCCCCACACAACUCUACCAGGCGGCCACUCCUCGACCGUAACGAUCUGGCCCCAUCGUGUGGGCCUUUUGGAGGUCCUGGAUGGGCCUCCACGUGCCACCGGUGCUCAUUUAUUUAUUUGUGCACUAAAAUGGUUUUUGAUCAUUUUUUACAUUUUAUUUUGACCACUUUUUAUUAUUUAAUAAAGGUGCUUAAUGACAGUAAAAACUCUACUUGAAAGCUUUAACUAAAAUAAAAGGUACAUGUAGGUCAGAUGGGGAAAUAUUGAAAACUUUUGACUUUGUAAUCACCAAGGAUUCUAUUAGGGAGGGUGAUCAAGCAUUUUUAGCAAUUAUUCAUGGAUUACGAAAUCAGUUAUAUGCUUGUGUUACCUCCACUUGAGCAUGGUUCCAACCAUAAUUAUUCGAUACAGGGUGCAUUUGAAAUUGGGAACUUCCAAUAUGAAUGAUCGUCACCCACUUUGACGGAGGACAAUAUUUAUUUUCAUUGAUUUUGGCAUUCCUUGGGAAAUAAACAGUGUGUUCACUUCCUUCAUUAUUAAAAGUAACUUUUGCUUGAGUGAAAUCAGUAAAAUCCCAUGUAGUGUUUAAAAUGGUCUUGCAGGAAUAAAGAGAGAAGGGUACUACAUGAGCUAUUUAAACACUACAUGGUCUUGUAGUAACAUUCAACUUUUGCAUAGGCAAAAAAUUACAUGGGAUUUUAAAAUGGUCUUGCAGUAAAAUCCCAUGUAGUGCAAUCAGCAAUUUCUUUAGCAAUAACAUUCAGCUUUUGCAUAGGCAAAUAGUCAUGAGCAAUUUCUUCCAAGUUGAUUAUGCUUCUAGGUGGAAAAUAAUUGAACCAUAUCUUAGCAUCACCUCAAAGUGAAAAAGUAAAUAACUUAGGCGUGUAAUGGUGAAGGUACAUGCCUUUCUUAGCAAAAAAGAUUUCAAAUUCCUCAAGCUUCACUAUAUGAUCGUAAGGAUUUUCAUACUCCCUACCGUUGAACCCAUUUGAUUCAACAAUAUAUAUCAGGUUCAACAGAGAAUCCACUAGCAUUAUCUUUAAAAUAUAUGGUAGAAGCGCACAAUUCAUUGUCGGGGAUAAACAUCUCCCAUAAAGCUCUCCUUCUAAAUAGUCCAAUUCUAGCAUCAAGAUCAUUAUUAGUUUCACAAUUCACAAAAGAUGUAGCAAAGUUUUAAUCAUACACAAUGGGUGUACGUGGAGUGUUUGGUUCCCUAAGUUGUGAAGUGGAUGCAUUAGCAGCCUCAUCAAGUUAUUUUGCUCUAUAAAUGUACAUAUCUAAAAAUUCUCCAAAGAACCCAUAUAAGCAAUAUCAAGUAUAAGAUCAUCACUAACAUGUUGGAUUGUGUAUCAGGUGCACAUAGACGUGUGGGUGGUGUGACUAGUUAAUUUAAAACUAAUGAUGAAUCAAGAACAUGUUCUGGUUUUGAAGGCACAAUUUUUACCUUCGAGUCUUGAGUUGUUCCCAUGAUGGAAAAUGAAUUCAGUAAACAAGUAAUUCCCAAGUUGACUUAUACAUACAUCUAUAACACUAUGCUCCCUAGUUUUAAAGUGACCACAUUCAAUUGAGGUCUUCAAUUGAAAUUGGGUCACCUGAUUUUGACUGGGUCAACAAUUUUUUAAAGUUCUCUCAUUCAAUUCGUUUAUACUAUAGGCUAUGCUUCCUAAUUUUUAAGGUCUCACUAUUAAUUGAGGUGUUGAAUUUAUAAUUGGGUCACCCGAUUUUGACCGGGUCAACAAUUUCUCAAGAAGCUCUCUCAUUCAAUUCUUUUAAUUCCCUAUGUUCCCUAAUUUUGAUGCUCUUUCAUGCAAUUAAGGUAUUCAACUUUUGGAUUAAGUAUAUGAUUUUGACCGGGCCAACAAUUUUUCAAGUCAAUCAGCAGCAACCGGCCUAUAAAAACACAUCAAUUCCGCGCACCCUCCCACCACCUAGAAAAAAGAAGCACCACCAUGUGAUGUUGUAGCACCAAUAUAGUACAUGCAACCACUGACGCAGAAAUUUCCCCACAUAAACAUACGUUGGUUAGCGGAUAACACGGAACCACAUCACGAAAGACCCAUCAAAUCACCGCAUUAUAAAAAAAACACAAAUCCAUCAUCUCCCCACCGGUCAAACUAAAUAUUCCAUCAGUUCCAAAAUACAAGGGGUAUUACUUUUUGGAAAGUUAAUUUUCUUUAACUUUGACCAGUUCAGAGCAAAAAAACCGCAUCCACAUUAUUAAACAAAAAAGUACGGAAAUUUAUUUCAAGAUGAAUCUAAUCAUACUGAUUUGAUAUUAUAGAUUCUGAUUUAUUUAUCUACAAAUUUGAUCAAACUUAAAAGGUUUGACUUUUUAAAAAAAAGUAAUACACCUUAUGUUUUGAAACCGAGUGAGUAACUUUUUUUAAGAAACCCAAUAACACCAAUGGUGCAGCAAAGCACACCCAACCCUUCUAGUACAUAGAUCUACGCUACCUGACAACGACACCAGAAAGUGCUUGAUAUCCCCCAAGUGCAAAGGAUCACAUUACUCUCCAUUGAGAAGCAUUACAACCCUAAUUUAUAUUUGACAUGGUUGGAGCCAGAGAAUACUUAUAAUUUUUAGCAGUUGAGUUGUCAAUUCCACAAUCAUCUGGAAACAAUAUUUGAUCAAGAAUUUUUUUAGUAUAAAAUGCCCGCAGUAAUUGUGAUUGUUGCAUGUUUUAUACAAAAGUAAAUGAAAGCAGCAAAUACCUAGCGGUUGCCAAGUAUCAAGUAUCUUAAAGAGAAAGCCAAUUAUAUGAAAAAAUAGGCACAUGGUUGGUUAAUGGGAGGUUGAGUGUAUCCAAUGUAAAAAAUGUUUGCGUAAUGUAAAAGAAAUGUUCCGUACCAUUAAAAAAUGUACGUGACAUUUUAUGGAAAUAUUCUCAUGCUUUGAAAAAAAUUCAUGAAUCUCUUGAAAAUUUAUAUAAAAUGUAAAAAAAAUUCAUAGGUUAAAAAAUGUCUAUUUUCACUAUAAAAAUGUAUAUGACAUUUUAAGGAAAUAAUCACGUGUUUGCAAAAAAAUGUCUAUGAAAAUUUUCCAAAAUGUUUAUACAAUCAAAAAAUGUUUGCAUAGUUUAGCAAAAAUGUUUAUUGCCAUUUAGAAAAGUGUACAAUGUGUAUUUGGCAAAAUUAUUACCAUGAAUUCAAAAAAGUGUUCAAAACAUGUAUUUUUAUAAAAGUUUACAUCAUGUAUUUGAAAAAUGUCCAUCGUGUAUCAUAAAAAUGUUCCAUGGGUGCUCUAAAAUAUACAUAUGUGCUGAGAAAAAAGUGGAUAUGUUUUGAAAAAUAAAACCGAUAAAAACCUACAAAAAACAAAAAAACCAGAGUAAACAAAGAAAAUCAAGAAAGAAACAAAAAAAAGACAAAGUAUAUACGAUGAAAGAGAAACCAAAAACCAAGGAGAAAACAAAGAAAACCAAAGCAAAAUGAAGAAAAAAACUAAGAAAACCAGUGAAAAUAAAUAAAACCAAAGAAAUUAAAAAAUACAACGCACAUCGAACUAUCCGUACUACUGGGCCGGCCCACUAGACGUCGCCCAUAGGCGAUUUCUACCAGGAAUCGGUACAAACAACAUAUAGCCCUGACAGUAAUAAAGCACUCCGGUGAACUAGGAAAACCAAUGACAACAACAAAGACACUAACAAAGUCCCAAAAGAGUUGAGGUCGACCACCACCACACCCUGUAGGCGUAGCGGGGUGCCUCGCACUAAGGGCAUCUCCAACGCUAGGCGCUAAGAGAGGGGGCUAGAAAAAUGGUCCUAGCCGAUCGGAUGACACACGGAUUGCUAUUUUCUACCAAUGUUUAGCGCCGAUGGUUAGCGCCCAGCGUUGGGAUAGAUGACGCUUGGUGCUUUAAAAAAAUUCUGGUAUUUAUUUUUUUCUGUUUAAGCGCCCAGAUAAGCGCUCUUGCCCUAAGCGGCACAUAGCCGCGCACAGUAGGGUGCAGUAAACAGUUUUUACACCUUUUUAGAUGAAAUAGUUUUUGCAUUGUACACACAAUUUUCCAAGAAGAGUGUCCUAAUUUCGAAACCCAGAGCAUAGAUACAUUCCCGGGCCGUAUUUUUGCAUUAGUUUUGCGCCAUCAAAGCAGGCCCUUAGACUUCCUCUCCUGGCCUCAUGUUCCAAGCCCACGUCUCUUCACCAAGAGAAAAAAAAGGCUCCAAGCCGCCCCAAUGCGGCUCUAAAAACCUCCUCUUCCCCUGUACCCUAGAGCUGCCGCCGCGCCGUAGCUUAGCGUCACCGCCGACGCCUCAACCCCCAACCCUCAACCGGCCAACCCCUCCGCCUCUCGCUCGCGGGCGCCGCCGCCAUCGCCGUUGCCGCUCAAGCUCGUCGCCUCCCUGCCAUCCCAGCCCCGUCCGCAAUUUUUGCCGUUGGUCUCUGAGGUAUGAGCUCGUGUCAUCCAUGUUUAGUUAAACCCCUGACCUCGAGAAAUGCUGGGUGUGCGGGCGCUUACCCGGUGCGCCAUCUAGAUCCGCCCCUGCCCCUGCUUAGCGUAUCUUGCCGGAAUUGAUUCGUUUCGCUUUUAUGUUCCCGGUCCGUUUGUUCUGGCAAUUUUCUGUGUAUUUUUAAUUAUAAAUGUUUGAUGCGGUGAAGUGCUAAUUUCUGUAUAUGGCUGGGGGGAAUUAAAUUGAGAACUUUCUGAGACACUCCACUCAGUUCGCGUACGAAAGCGCCCACUGUUCACUGUUGGGACACAUAAUCUGUUUUUGGUACUGUUGUGGUUUAGAGUUUGUUCUUACUGGUACCGUGGUAUUGGAAUCUUUCAAGCUGGCUAAAUCCACACCAUUCUUGACAUUUUAAGUGGCAAUUCUGGUGUAGCGCUGCUCCUAGCAAUGUUUUCUUUCCUCUUAGGGGGUUAAUUAAAUGUUUCUGAUGUUAUCCUGCUGCAAUUGACUCAUGUUCCUGAUCUGAUAAGGUAGGCUGUAUCGAAGAAAUGGAAGAGGUGGAGAAUUCCAGCAAGCGUAAAGCACCCGAGCUGAGCUCGGAGGACAAUUCCUCCGCUGCCGUUCUGGACGAGCAGCAGUCGCUGCCUGGCUUGACUGCCAAGCGUCCGAACCUUGCCCGGUCGUGCAUCCAUGAGGUCACUGUCCCCAACGGCUACGAUAUGUCCAAGGAUGAGGCCGUACAUGGGACCCUUUCAAACCCUGCGUUUAAUGGGGAGAUGGCCAAGACAUACCCGUUUCAGCUCGACCCCUUCCAGAGCAUCUCCAUCGCGUGCCUGGAGCGGAACGAAUCUGUCUUGGUCUCGGCUCACACCUCUGCGGGGAAGACGGCCAUCGCUGAGUACGCCAUUGCAAUGUCGUUCAGAGACAAGCAGAGGGUUAUAUACACCUCUCCGUUGAAGGCUCUGAGUAAUCAGAAGUACAGGGAGCUUACUCAGGAGUUCUCUGAUGUUGGAUUGAUGACUGGCGAUGUCACGCUUCAGCCAAAUGCUACUUGCCUGGUCAUGACAACAGAAAUCCUGAGGGCGAUGCUUUAUAGGGGCUCCGAGGUGAUCAAGGAAGUUGGUUGGGUUAUAUUUGAUGAGAUCCACUACAUGAAGGAUCGUGAGAGAGGCGUUGUGUGGGAAGAGAGUAUAGUUUUCCUGCCCCCUGCCAUCAAGAUGGUCUUUCUUUCUGCUACCAUGUCAAAUGCAACCGAGUUCGCUGAGUGGAUAUGCAAUCUGCACAAGCAGCCUUGUCAUGUGGUGUACACAGACUUCAGGCCAACACCGCUACAGCACUAUGUGUUCCCAAUAGGUGGGUCUGGUCUCUACCUUGUAGUGGAUGAAAAUGGUCAGUUCAGGGAGGAUAAUUUUCUAAAGCUGCAAGACACAUUUGCAAAGCAACCUAGUCAACCAGAUGGGAGGAAGGGCGGUGGGCCUAAAGCCAGUGGCCGAAUCGCAAAAGGUGGAAAUGCUUCUGGAACAUCUGACAUAUACAGAAUUGUCAAGGUAGGCAGUCACUGCAUACUGUAUGCAAGAUAAUUUCUGGACUUAUUGUGCUUUCUAAAUUUAUCAACAAUAGAUGGUUACACUUUCUUCAGCUUGCAUGGAUAUUUUGUAAUUCACCACUCACUGGGUUAGGAAACUAGGCCGCAAUUACGUCUUACUUUUCAGUAUUCACUGUUUAGUUGUUGAUGUUUUAUACCUAGUUCAAUUCUUUCCACUCAUAUCCUCGCUUAAUUUCGAUUGAAUUAUAAUUCUGCAGAUGAUUAUGGACCGCAAGUUUCAACCAGUCAUAAUUUUCAGCUUUAGUAGAAGAGAAUGUGAGCACCAUGCCAUGUCGAUGUCAAAACUUGAUUUCAAUACUCAGGAAGAAAAGGAUAACAUCGAGCAGGUUUUCCGUAGUGCUAUUUUCUGUUUAAGUGAGGAAGAUAGAGGGUUACCUGCUAUAGAGUUGAUGUUGCCUCUUCUUAAACGAGGUAUUGCAGUACACCAUUCUGGACUGCUUCCAUUAAUUAAAGAGCUGGUGGAAUUGCUCUUCCAAGAAGGUCUUGUGAAAGCUCUGUUUGCUACUGAGACGGUGUGCCCUUUAACCCUGAUUACCCGCUUGGCCUUAUACUUAUUUUGUCCCUUUACAUGUAGUAUAACUUGGAAUUACAUUCCUCAAAUGGACUUCUAUUCUUUGUUUUUGAACUACGGAAAGUCAGAGAACUAUUGUCUUAUACUUUCUGGAAUGCAUCUUACACUCUUUAGGAGCACCAUUUGAUUGAUAAUGAUUGUUAUUUCCUCAGUUUGCCAUGGGCCUGAACAUGCCUGCAAAAACAGUUGUCUUCACAUCUGUCAAGAAAUGGGACGGUGAUAGUAACCGCUAUAUUGCUUCUGGAGAAUAUAUACAGGUAAAUAUUUUGUAUAUGAAGAGAAGUCGGGCAUAUGGAUAGAUUUAUUAGGUUGAUUGAAUUUUGUACAAGCCCUUCUCACUAUAUUUUUGUAUGCAUUUGUAGAUGAGUGGACGAGCUGGUCGACGUGGCAUGGAUGCACGUGGUAUUUGUGUUAUAAUGAUUGAUGAGAAGGUAAGGCUGUGCAGUCUUCUGUUGCAACUAUCUUUGUUUUAUUUAAUAAAUUUUAUAAAGCACUAUGAUCAUGCAAGAAGCUUUGUUUUCUCUUUGUUGACUGAACAAGCCUAAUGAACUCUUCAUUUAAUACAAUGAUUUGAUCAAAUGCAUCCCUAUCCAGAUUCUGCAGUUGUCUUUUUGGGUUGAUUAAGCAUAAUGAAAUGUGACAACUGAUAACUGCUUUAUUUUUGUCUGAUGCAAAUGGUUUCUAUUUCACUUCUAGUCAUGGUUCUCAUUGCAAUAGAUGUUUAUCAGUUUUGAUAUUUAAAGUUUUAAACUAUAACAGUUUCAUCGUUAUUCGUAUGCAGUGAGUUAAGAUGUGUUUUAAGACUUUACAUUUGAAAGAUAUAUGACCUGUUCCAACCUCUCACCUCUGAGUAGUUGUGUUGAGUGUCAUUUUGUGCUGUUGAAGUUGUCCACCCAAGAGAUGGCGUUCCAUGUUCAUAUUUGGAUUUAAUUCUCAUAUUGAUAUUCACUUAGCUUGCAGUUGCAGUAGUUAUGCAAAUUUAAUUUGUUCUGACUUCUUAGUGGUUGUGUUAACAUUCACUUUGCGCUAUUGGAGCUGUCCUUCAAGACACUUAUUUCAUCCUAUAUUCAUGCUUGAAUUGCCUUCCAUAUCAAGACACUAUAUCAAGAUUUGUUUUGUAAGCCGUGGUUCUUAUGCAACUUAAAUACACUGAGCUUUUGUGGCGUGCUCAUGCGCUUCCUUUAGUCAGACUUUUGCUUGGUCUUAAUAUGAGUUAAAUUUACAGAUGGAAAUGAGUGUUAUCAAGGACAUGGUGUUAGGUAAACCAGCGCCUCUCAUCAGUACUUUUCGACUGAGCUACUACACUAUUCUGAAUUUACUGAGUCGUGCGGAGGGCCAAUUUACUGCCGAACAUGUGAUCCGGAAUUCAUUCCACCAGUUUCAGUAUGAAAAGGUUUGUAUCAGGACCUCUUAUAGAUGCCUCUCCUGACAUUUCCUUGGCAAUGUCAAAUAUUAGCUUCCCUUGCUCUUCAGGCAUUACCGGAAGUCAUUCAGAAGAUUACAAAGUUGGAAAAUGAAGCUACAUUGCUGGACUCUUCCGGAGAGGUAUGCUAUUUUAAUUGUAGUAAUACAUAACUGUUCUUCUGCUUGACUAACGUCUUAACACUUCUCUGUACAGAAUGAUCUUGCCGAGUAUCACAAGUUAGGGCUUGAUAUAUCUGAACUUGAAAAGAAAAUCAUGUCUGAGAUGAUUAGACCAGAGAGAGCUUUGUUAUAUUUGGUCCCUGGAAGGCUGGUACGUAACUCUAUUUCUCAUAGGUUCUGUUCUUUCUUGAGGAUGAGAUAUACAUGUUCAUUAAUGCUUGAUAUAUUUGAACUUGACAGCACUACAGCAGGAAUGCUGUAUCUAGUUAUGUUCACCAUUUUAUUUUAUUUGUUGAACCGCAGCUUUGUUUUGACUAUGAUGUUGGUUUUAUAAAAUUUGCACAAAUUCCCUUGCACUCAGAGCAAUUUGCUUCAUGGCAGGUUAAAGUCAGAGAUGGCUCAACAGACUGGGGGUGGGGUGUGGUCGUAAAUGUUGUGAAGAAACCUCCAGCAUCUAGUACUCUCCCCCCUGCAUUAAGUGCACCUCGCAAUAACUAUAUAGUGGAUACCUUGCUUCAUUGUUCUUCAAGUUCAAGUGAGAAUGGAGCCAAUGGACCACGUUCAAAGCCAUGCCCACCUCGCCAAGGGGAGAAGGGAGAAAUGCAUGUGGUGAGUUGAAGCACAUGAUCAAGGGUUUUAAUUGGUGGCAUAUCUUUUCAGUUCACUGGACUCGCGUUAUGAUGGUCAUUUAUCCCAAAACUAUUUUUGACUAAUGCUGAGGUUUAUGCAGGUGCCUGUACCAUUACCUUUAUUAUCUGGUCUAAGCAGCGUUAGAAUCAGCAUUCCAACUGAUCUACGACCACCUGAAGCGAGGCAAAACAUACUCUUUGCAGUUCAAGAACUAGGAAAACGUUACCCCCAAGGGCUUCCAAAGCUACAUCCAAUUACGGUGAAAAUUCUUUUUACAUGAUGCCGCUUUUUAAUCUUGUUAAUGUUGCACUGCAAGUGACAUUUCUGUCUAGAGAGCGGAAAUUCCAAAAAAAGAAACGCUGCAAAAUAUCUCAUCAGGAUUUAGAUGGACAUUUUUUUGGCACUUAGCAUGCCACUCACCCAUGCAUGAUACACAGGCAGAGAACACAGAUGCAAUAGCUCAAAUAACAAUAUCCGUUGAUGUCUUCUUGUGCUCUACCUUCUGUUGUCAUUUUUUUUUCUGUCGUAUUUAGCUGGUCCAGUUCCUGGGAGCAUAUUUUCUUAUCAUCUGGCAUUGUAAAGUGAUCUCUUUGAUAUUCUGAUAUAAUCUGAUACAAUUAAUAGGACAUGGGUAUUGAAGAAACUGAAUUAGUUGACUUGGUUCAUAAACUUGAUGGCCUCGAGCAGAAAUUAUGUUCUCAUCCACUUAAUAAGGUAUGCCUUGUCAUCACCUUUCAAUUAAGAAAUGUCCAGUCCUUUUGUACUGUGACCCACUUAUUUUUUGCUAUUUUUGUGUCUUAGUCUGAUCAAAGUGAGCAGCAACUGUCAUGGUACCAAAGAAAGGCUGAACUGAACCAUGAAAUUCAACAACUAAAGUCAAAGAUGCGGGAUUCACAGGUUGGUUAGUUCUUUGUAUACUUGAUCGUUCGUACAGAGCUAAAUGUGUUCUUACGCUUUUCUCCUCCAUUCAGCUGCAAAAAUUUAGGGAUGAACUAAAGAACCGGUCUCGCGUUCUGAAGAUGCUUGGUCACAUUGACACGGAUGGUGUUCUCCAGCUAAAGGGACGUGCUGCCUGUUUAAUAGACACUGGGGAUGAGCUGCUUAUCACUGAACUUAUGUUCAACGGUACUUGCUUAAUAUGAUACCAUGUUCAGUUUCUUUUUUGUACUUUAUAUUCAGGAUUUCAUUAAUAUGCUGUACGUGACUAGGUACAUUUAAUGAACUUGAUCACCAUCAAGUUGCUUCUGUUGUUAGCUGCUUUGUACCGUGUGAGAAGUCAAGUGAGCAAAUACGCCUGAGAAAUGAACUUUCUAAGCCAAUGAUGCAACUCUCGGAGGCUGCCAGAAAAAUAGCUGAGGUGCAUACAUACUUGUUGUAUCACCACUAUUUACUAUCUCACUAGUCCUUAUACUUGUAGUGGGAUCUCUGAUUUCUCAUUCUUGUUUUAGGUACAACGAGAAUGCAAAUUGGACGUAAAUGUGGAGGAAUACGUUGAAUCAACUUGUAAACCCUAUCUGAUGGAUGUCAUAUACUGCUGGUCAAAGGUUGGUCAGACUAUGCAUGUGCAGUUUGUGAUGUCAUACAUUUUUUGUCUUUUUGGAAAUUUCCAGCCAUUGAUAAAAUCUUAUUUCCAGUUGUGACAUUUGAUCAUUAUCAUGCCUAAUCACCCCAUCAGAUGCAAUGUUACUCUACAUGGUUAAUUCUGUUGCAGUUUCUUUACCUCUAUAUCGAUUCCUGAUUAUCAUGUUCACACAGGGCGCGACCUUUGGAGAGGUGAUAGAAAUGACUGACAUUUUUGAAGGAAGCAUCAUACGGCUAGUUAGGAGGCUGGAUGAAUUUCUAAAUCAGGUAUGUGUUGCGUAUGCUACGCCCUACCAGUACCUGCUCUCUCCAUUCGCAGAUGCAUGUUGUUUGGGACAUUGAUAUGGUCUCCAACAUACAUCUUUGACUGUUACUUUAUACAUGUAUAUGCUUGUAAAAAAUAUGGAAAUUUUCAUUUUGUGAAGUUAUUUUUCAUGAAAAAUCUAAAAGUAUUAUUUUCCCUACCAAUGUCAAUAUUUAUAAUUAUUUUAACAGUCAAAGCUAUACAAGUUUGACUGCAUGCUUUGUAAGACGACACAUACUCUAUUUAGGAAAGGAAGCAGUAAAUCACUUGGACAAUCAGAAUGUCUGGCAUUGAAUGUCCUGUUUGGAUCAAUGUGCAAGUGAAUCAAAAAUUGUCUGCCUUUGAAUAUCCCCUUCGGAUCAAUGUGCAUCCGUGUCGAGGAAGUUUAAUACUGUGACAUUGCCGAAUAUGACGUACAAGUUGAAGUCUAGCCGAAAUCAUUCCAUGACUCAAUUACUCACCAAAAAAAAAGCUAAACCAACUAAAAUUGUCGUACUCGUACUGCCUGAUUUCAUAGCUUGCUUGGCGUGGUAAGUAGCUGGUAUUUAUUUGGAUGUAGUGGUUGACUUGUGUUGCCUCUGUACAAGGAAAUGUAGCCACAUACCUAUGUUGCUUCUGUGGAGGUUGACUAUGUUGCCUCCGUAGAGGUUGACUAUAGUAAUUGUGACUGGCAUCCACAUUCUUCUAUGCCUUUUUCUGCAUGCCUACCACUUCAUUUUCCUGUUCCCAAGUCUGUACAUAGUCAACAGAAGUAGACGUGCAUUGUUUUACUUCUCGAACCUAACUGACUGUGUGACUCUGUUUAUACCAGCUAAAAGCUGCUGCUGAAGCCGUUGGGGAGGUAAACCUUGAGAAGAAGUUUGGGUUGGCGAGCGAGAGCUUGCGCCGGGGUAUCAUGUUUGCCAACUCAUUGUACCUGUGAUCAGUGGAGCUCCAGCAGUUGUACCAUACGGGGUAUAUGUUAGCAUAUCAAAUGUAGCUGUCUUGUAUUUUGUCUUUGACAUGGCAUGGAGAUGUAGCCCUCAUCUGUCGCAGCGUAGGAUGUAACCUUCUACUUUAGUAAACCCUUAGGCCGCAACCGUUUCAUCAGAAGAUUAGAAGCAAUCUGCUAUACAUCAACAUUUUUACAAGUGGUCCGAUGCCUGAAAUGGCACCAAGUUAUAUUAUACCUGUCUCAUUUUAGACAUUAUUAUGUGAUGCUGUGGUUAGCAGGUUUUGGAUGUGUUGUCAUCAAGCAAUCCUCUUUACAUCGCCGUGGCAUGUGUUAUGGAGUCUAGUUAGCUACUGAAAGAUUAUGCCCUGAAGACACUUCAGGGAGUUCUUUUUUUAUGCAUUUAGAAACGAGUUAUUCGAAAAUUACUGCAUUGCUGAAUGAAUGUGAUAUAUCAGUCCAUAGCGUUAUGUUCAUAACAAACAUGAAUGAGUCUAGUUAUUGAAGUAAGAGAUCGCCAUAUUUUUUGAAAAUGCAGCAGAUGUUGUUAUAGCAGAAUUGUUGAAUUACUGGUCCUUGCGUGUGCAGUUUGAAAUGUUAAAUUAAAUUUUAUUUGCAAGUUAAAGAAAUGCAUGAUCAAACUGUGACCUUGUCAUUGUAUUGUACAGCUAUACAAUAUAAGUAAUUUUGCCCCCCACACUCUCACAAGCCCUUUAAUUUAAGAAUGCCUUAAUGUUUCAAACAUUCCAAGCUGAACUGGCCUUCAGAGGUGAGUGACGACACUAAAGCGGUUUAAGAAACAACAGCAAACAAAUAUUAUAUGUCAGGAACUUUGUACAUAGCCAAACUUCUCAAAUGAUCGCCUCCAGAAUUACGAACUGGCUACAUAAUCUAGUUUCUGACGAUGUUCAAUACCAUCAUGCUGCCAAUAUCUGGAGCAUCUACAUAUUGCCAUGACACAGUACAGUUCAACCAGAUACACUACACUAGUUCAUCCACUGGAUUUAAGAAAUAUCUACAAAGGCCAGAGUCCGCCGUGCAGCUCCUAGAAUUCCAGCAGAAUCUUGAUCCCUUGAAGCACUGCAGUUCAUACCAAGUUAGACCAUGGACAGAUUAGCGACGGGCUCUGCUACACAAACCACAUGACAGCAUAUGUUCAUCAUAAAGUUCAGUAUCUAGCCAAGAAGAUGCUAUGCACGGAAACUAAUAGACUUCGUAUGGAAAAUGCUUAUGAUUUUAUGAAAAACAUGAUAGUGAAUAAUGAUCACUAUUGACGAGCACAAGAUUUAUCCUAACAGCAUUUUUGGGUGUUUGUAUGCUGCAUUAAUGAAUCAUUGUACCAUGUCAGCUUGCGCUUAAACCAGCAAUGUUCUUACCUUGUACUAGAUCAUAAGCAGUUAGAUAUUCUCCAAGGCAAAAUCCCUCCAUACGUCCCCUUGUGCUGGCUGGCUUUCCUGAUCUGUUUGGUAUGAAAUAAUUCCUAUCAAGAAUUGCAAUAUUAUACCAGCUGUUGAGUAUUGACCAUAAAGAUAGGAAAGAUUUUACAUUUCAAAUUUCUAAAAGAUACCAUAAUAGUGUAAGGCAUUCGACUUCAACCAUUUGUAUUGCUCAAAAAUGUAAUACAGUGGUACUUAUGCCUAGCAAUCAAGCAGACAUUCAUAUUACAAAAAUUGAGUUCAAGGUGUUUUUACGCUCCAAGUUUCGUCAAAGAGUAAAGAUGCAAGCAUACAGUCAACAUUUCAUCACGGGGAGACAAUUUGAAAUUGCAUUAGAAAUAAUAUUACUUGAUCAAUUGAAAUAGGUUAUAAAGAAAAUUUGCUAACAGAAACCAUGAACUCCAGUCGGGCUUGGGCCAAGCGUUUGAUCGUGGUUAAUAGUUUACUGCUAAAUAAAUCAACAAACUUAAACAUCCAUGUUAAACGCCAAUGUGAGUGCAAUAAGGCAGCCCAGAAAAUCCUGGUGUGAGAGUAGAUGGUUACAAGUGAUAAAUAAUUCAAUCUUAACUCCACACUCAAUUGCAUAGAGCGCUAGAACUAACAGCAUUUUUAUGAUGUGGCUCUAGUGAAAAAAGGCAGCUCACUUCUGUUAUAUAUUUCCCCGUUCCAAAAUAAGUGAUGUGGUUUUAGUUCAAAUUUCAAGGAAAUCCACGUCACUUGUUUUUGAAUGGAGGGAGUAGAUAUAAGACGUUUUUUGUCACUGUCAUGGACUUCAAAAACGUCUUACUCAAAAGUUACAGAGGGAGUAUCAUGCUGCUAUUGGGAUUUGGGAAUCUAAGGGCGCACACCAGCAAGAGCGGAACAGUAGCGUAUCACUGGUGUAAUGGAAGUUUCAUCAGUAAGAUGCCCUACAACAGACACAUUUCCCUAACAAGCAGCCACAGCAUGAUGCAACCCCAUGACCUAAUGCCUUCAAUUUGUUUGGGAAGCUAUGGGCUAAUGGCAGUUCUAGGAGUCUAGUUGCACAAAUUAAACCUAGCAUCGCAAUCUGGGAGCUCGGUGGCUGUGCCUACUGCCUAACCUAGAACACCAUCAAUCAACUGUCCAAGCGCAAGCGGGGUUCGCAUCCCGGAUGCAGAUCGGGAUUGAUUGAUUCAAAACUCAUCACCACAGGCCACGGACUGCGCAGGAGAAGGCGAUAGAGAGGGAGGCGGAGCGCGGGCGUACUUGCGGGCGCUGGGUCCUCGGUGUCCUCGGUCUUCACGGCCAUCGCCGGCGGCACGGGGAUAUCUGCAACACCAAUGGGUGAGCGGAUCGAUUUGGUCUACUCGGUUAGGUCGCCGGGCGCGGAAAGGGAGGGGAGGGCGCGCGUACCGUCGGCGGGGAGGGUGUCGCGCAUCCACUGCUCGUCGACGAUGUCGAUGAGGAUGCCCAGGCUCAGGCUCUGGUCGCCCAUCUUCUCCUCCGCCGCGUCGUCUCCUCUGCUCUCCCGUCGGCCGCCGCUACCUGGCCACCGGAGCCGUGUCGUUCGGUCGGAAUGGGGGCCUGCAGUUUCGACCAAACGAAGGGGCUUUAUUUAGCCGGCCCGUGUGGUUUUGGGCCGGAAUUCGGCUCAGACUGGGAACUGGCUAGUGGCCUAGCCCCGUAUUUUCGCGAUCCCCACUUGUGAAAAAAUAAUUGAAUACGCCCCUUUGAUUCAUACGAUUUUUUCUUCAUAUGGUGAUAAUUUUUUUUUGCGAAGAAUAUGGUGAUAAUUUUGAUUUGCGUGACUAGAAAUUUUGUAAAAUCCUUAUGAUUCAUUUCCACUCUGUUUUGGAGAAAACUCUUCAUCCACUCAAACUAUGGUAAUAUUUCUUUAUUUUUCAUGUGCCGACAAAACACUCUUUGGUCAUUAUUCAUGUAGUUUUCUAAUCCUAUAGAAUCCCACUUCAAUUACAUAGUACUUUCUUUUAUCUAUAAUGUAUUUUGGGAAUCAUUUGAUUCAACAGGUCAUAAAUGUUUGCUCUCUAAUCAAAGGGAGUGAAUGCAUGAUACCCAUCCAAUCCAGAGGAGCAGUGGGAGGGAAGCCGGCGCGGGGUGGGGAGAAAGAGGGGCCGAAAAUAAGCGGGAAAGGGUAGAAUUGGAGGAGGGUACCCGACUAUUACAAGCUCAAGAAUACAUAUAGCGGGAAAAAAAUAAUCUAAGUGGCAAGAAAGACACUUGGUGGCUGAUCUGAGACCGGUCGAGGUAACACUUUUGGCUUUGGACUUAAAAGGGGAUGUUUGAACAAGGCGAUGACACCCGCCUCAAGAAAUGUUCAUGGUAGGAUGAGACCAGAAAGCCUACAAUGGGGUGAAAAUGAAACACAACAUAAGGAGAGCUUGAGAGUAGCAAAAUGGGAAAGGAUAAUGGCGGAGGCAACUAUUCAGCGGGAUUGAAGUAGAUAACGAGCUGGGGGACAAGACUAACGUACCACGAACGCCAGAGAGGUAUCACCUAGCUUCAGCUUCAAGAAAAAAAGAAAAAAGGGAAGAAAAAACAGCGCUCCAAACGGACUUGAAAUGUUUGAUUAAAUUCAUGGUUUUGCAUUUCAAAGGAAGCACAGUGUUUUUUUAUAUCUUUUUAGAAUGCAUCGUGUUCCCAACCCUUUUACUUCUUGUCCCGUUUGGCGUACUCUGUACACCGUCGACGUGCACUCCUCUCUCCUUCCUUGCCGGUGAACUCGUCGGCGGUGAGGACGAGGUCACAGAGAAGGAAGACGGAGACGAUCGUACGCACCACUCAGCAGUGACAGUGACUGACGCGUCCAUACCCACCUCUCGGCAAGAAGAGCAGGGAAGACGACUGACCAGCGCCGUGCGUGCGUGUGCGAUCUCCUUUCUCCCCCUCCUAAAAACUCGAUCUUUCUUCCUCCUAAAACUAAAAAAUUACUCCGGCGCCGACACACACCACGCAACGCAAAGGAAGGAAGACAGCCGAGCACGACAGUGCCACCCCACCGCACUCCCUUUCUCUCCCCCACUCCAACUCCACCUGCAACAUCGCAUCCCCAUUCCCAUUCCUACCUCUCCCACUCUCACUCCCCCUCCCGNNNNNNNNNNNNNNNNNNNNNNNNNNNNNNNNNNNNNNNNNNNNNNNNNNNNNNNNNNNNNNNNNNNNNNNNNNNNNNNNNNNNNNNNNNNNNNNNNNNNNNNNNNNNNNNNNNNNNNNNNNNNNNNNNNNNNNNNNNNNNNNNNNNNNNNNNNNNNNNNNNNNNNNNNNNNNNNNNNNNNNNNNNNNNNNNNNNNNNNNNNNNNNNNNNNNNNNNNNNNNNNNNNNNNNNNNNNNNNNNNNNNNNNNNNNNNNNNNNNNNNNNNNNNNNNNNNNNNNNNNNNNNNNNNNNNNNNNNNNNNNNNNNNNNNNNNNNNNNNNNNNNNNNNNNNNNNNNNNNNNNNNNNNNNNNNNNNNNNNNNNNNNNNNNNNNNNNNNNNNNNNNNNNNNNNNNNNNNNNNNNNNNNNNNNNNNNNNNNNNNNNNNNNNNNGGAGGACCACGACGAGGACGCCCCCCUUGUCCGCGACCCGUCCCCCUCCUCCUCCCGCCACCCCUCCCGCGCCUCCGCCUCCGCCGUCGGCGAGGUGCCCGUCUCGCAGUCGCUCAUCAAGGCGGCCAGCAACGUGUGCUUCUCCUUCUUCGUGCUCGCCGUGCUCGCCGUCACCGUCGUCGCCGUCACCUACCAGCCGCCCGACCCCUGGCUCCAGUCCUCCGCCGCCAUCACCACCUCCCUCGCCCGCGUCCUCCCCAACUCCUCCUUCCUCCAGCCCGACGACUCGCUCCUCCCCACUGGCGAGGACUUCCCCUCCCCCUCCGCUGCCCCCGGCGCCGCCGCCGCCGCCCAGCGCGACGCCGCCGACCAGGCCCUCACCUCGGCGGGCGGCAACGCCACCGCGGGGACCUGCGACCCGGACGCCCCGCUCAACUGCACCGACCCGCGCGUGCUCGCCGCCGUCAAGGCCUUCAACGCCAAGGCCUUCUUCCGCAGGUCCAUCGUCUUCCUCAGCUACGAGGCGCCCGUGCGCGGCCCCAAGCCCGGCCAGUGCGACGUGGCCUGGCGCUUCCGGAACCGCCGCGAGAAGUCCUGGCGCCGGUACAGGGACUACCGCCGCUUCGAGCUCACCCCCGGCGACGGAUGCGCGCUCGACAUCACCAAGGUCGGCAAGUUCAGGUCCGGGAAGAACGCGGCUCGCCCGCCCCGCCCCAAGGGUCCCAAGAAACCGCGCGUCGCGGCGCCGCCGGUGGAUGCGGAGAUCAACGACACGAUCCCCCUCGUCGGGUCGGAGGCAGAGUUCAGGAGAGGCAAGUACCUCUACUACAUGAGAGGCGGUGACCACUGCAAGAGCAUGAACCAGUUCAUUUGGAGCUUCCUGUGCGGGCUCGGCGAGGCCAAGUUCCUGAACCGGACGUUCGUGAUGGAUUUGAACAUGUGCUUGUCCGGGGCUCACACAGAGGACGGCAAGGAUGUGGAUGGCAAGGACUUUAGGUACUAUUUUGAUUUCGAGCACCUCAAGGAGUCGGUGUCUCUGGUGGAGGAAGGGAAUUUCUUGAAGGAUUGGCGGCGCUGGGACAAGAAGAAGGGCCCGGGCCGGAUCUCGGUGCGCAAGGUGCCCACAUACAAGGUGACCCCAAUGCAGCUGAAGAGGGACAAGAGCAACAUCAUUUGGAGGCAGUUUGAUGGGCAUGAGCCCGAGAACUACUGGUACAGGGUCUGCGAGGGGCGAGCUGCCAAGGUCAUCCAGAGGCCUUGGUAUGCCAUUUGGAAGUCCAAGAGGCUGAUGAACAUUGUAACUGAGAUUGCAGGCAGGAUGGAUUGGGACUACGAUGGUUUGCAUGUGGUCCGAGGGUGGAAGGCAAUGAACAAGAAGAUGUAUCCGAACUUGGACGCGGACACAUCACCCGACGCGAUCGUAGAUAAGGUGACCAAGCUUAUCAAGCCGUGGCGGAACCUCUACAUCGCAACCAAUGAGCCAUUCUACAACUACUUCGACAAGCUCAGGUCACACUACCAUGUGCAUUUGCUUGAUGAUUAUAAGGAGCUUUGGUCGAAUACGAGCGAGUGGUACAACAAGACGACAGCAAUCAAUAAUGGGAAGGACGUGCCGUUCGAUGCGUACAUGAAGGUGAUUGUGGACACUGAGGUAUUCUACAGAUCAAAGGCAAAGGUUGAAACGUUUAACAACCUGACGAGAGAUUGCAAAGAUGGAAUCAACACGUGCAAUUUGUGACACAUGGGUUCAUGGUGUGAUAAUUACCGGUGUCCAUAUACUCCUACUGGCUGGCGCAAUGGAACUUGGGCGGACUUCAUCCAGGGUUUGUCAUAUUAGGCAUAAUAUCUUGAUGCCGCUUGUCAGUCAUAGCAUGCUCAGUUGAUUGCAUUACAUGUGCAUCUAAAUUAUGUGCCCUCCAUUCUUUUUGUAUAAUUUACCACUGUGCUCAAACCUGCAAAAUCCAAAAUAGUAACACUCAGUGAGCAUUUUGCAGUGCCUCUACUUCUUAGUGUCUGGACUUCUGCAGUAUCUCUGAGUCCCCAUUAAUUAGCUUGGGGUUUCUCUUCAUUUAUUGUAUGUUUCCAUAUGUGUGUUGCUAAAUAUUCUCUAGUCGGAAAUGAACUUUCAGAAAAUUAUACAUUUUACUGUCAAAAGUCAGAACAGAGGUCACUAUGGCCAUCAGAUUACCAUGUAUGCCGUGUUCGUUGUCAUAAGUAACUUACUUACCUUGAAUGAUGCUUGCUCUGUGAGAAUUGCAGACUAUCAGUUGUGUUUCUCUUGUGUAUAAAUGGUAACAUGUUGGAAGCUGUGACAUAAUAUUGGAAGCUAUGACAUAACAGUGAACUUCUAGAAUAGUGCGUUUGCAGUUGUCAGCUGCCCAGUGUUAAGUUGUGGACAUUCAUGCGAUGUAGAGAAAAGAGAGGAGACCAGGCCAGUCUAGUCCAAAUGAAUUAACAUAUGUUGUAUCCUAUUGCAUGAUACUCCCUCCGUCCCAAAAUGUAAGAUGUUUUUUUGACACUAUCAUAGUAUCAAAAAACGUCUUACAUUUCGGGACGGAGGGAGUACAUUGGUGCAUAUUUGAGGUUAUGUAAUUUCAUUAUGUUCGUUUGAGUAUUUGUCACAGUGGGUUUUCUUUUUUGUUUUUGUUAAAAAUGAACAUCACAUCAGUAUUAUUAUAAUCAGAUUUCACAGUGGAAACCAAUCAAUCUAAGUCAUUAGUUCAGACUUUGCCCUCAAGAAAGAUGGUAGGUGGCAUAAGUCCUUCACAAUCGGUCGUCACACUAGUAGUUAAGUUUGAUCAGCUGUUGUUUUCAGUGUGUUUGUUAUCACCUCUUUGAGUGGCCGUACUUCAAGGAAUGUUUCAACUGGCUGUUUUCGACUUGAGGAUGUUGAGUAUUGAAGCCAUUCUGCGCAUUUAUCUCAGGCUGCUUUUUUGGACAUGUUGGCCUACCUUUCUGAGCUUGAUGAAUUCACAAUGAUGCUUAUGAUUAAAUUUAUUUCUGCGCAUUCAUCUCAGGCUGCUUAUUUUGGAUAUGUUGGCUGACCUUUCUGAGCUUGCUGAAUUCAUAAUGAUGGUUAUGGUUAAAUUUGUACCAUCAUGCAUGUAUGGUUCAGAGGUCUUAUAUUUACUGCCUACUUACUAUUACUUCCACUACCUCUGGUAGACGGACUGAUCAGUGAUAUUUGAACUGCAAAAACAUCUUUAUAUUGAGUUACAGAGGUAGUAGGAAGUAAGCAAGUAAGCAGCUUGCUGUGGCCAACAAACCAGAGACAUAUAUUGUUGGAGGAAUGUUAAGGUGCCACACAGCAGGCUACAUAAACCUGCUGCCCUGCCCUGAAAUUGACAGUGGCAUGCAUACAAAGAUGAGAGAAUUCCUUAUUUAACACUGUCCAAAAAAUUUAUUCCCUAUUUGACACUGAAAAAAUAUUUCUUCCCUAUCUAACACAUCCUUUAAAUUUUAUUCCCAAUAUAACACUUCCAUCCAUUUUUUGUGCAAACAGUGUUAAAUGGCACAUGAAAUGACAAUUCUGCCCUUGAACGUCUAUUCAAUCAUUUUCUUUAUAUUAGACUUAGGUUUCCUAGUUCUAAUCAAGUCUCUCGUCGUGCAUAACGUGUAUAUAAGCACCGCCAAGACUUCUUUGUACGAUAGAAAAAAAGAUUGAGAAGUACUGUAUAAUAAAAAUGCAGGAGCGACAUGACCAGCAAAUCUCUCUGCCAUGUUUGUUCUAUUCGCCAAGCUAGCACAAGCAAGACUCAAGGCUCAAGUACGUCCAUACAUACGCGGCUAGAGAUGAUCACGUUUUGCUUCUAGGGAAAAAAUAAUCAAGCUGCAUGUGUUUGAGCUAGCAUUGCACGUACGUGCGCUGCUUGGGUGAAUGGAUCUGGCAUUCUAAGAGCAUCUCCAGCCGUUGCCCCCUCCCUUCCAGGACGCAUAAAAAUCGCCCCUGGGGGCGAGCCGGCGAUACAAUCGGCGCCGGGGGCGGUUUUGCGCCCAGUCGUCGCCCCCAGGCGUCGAAAUUGGCCCACUUUUCAGCCCAAUUUCGGCGAAUAAAAGGCCCAUAUGGGCGAGAAUAUGCCCAUAUUCGGCGUGGUUCGCCGUGUCUCCGCGUUCAAUUGUCAACACAAUUUUUCUUAUCACAUAUUUCAUCACAGAAAAAUCAAAUACUUCAGCAAAAUAGUACAACAACAAAUAGUUCAAUACAAAUUAUAUAGUUCAACAAAUAAAAACUCAUAUUUCAUCACACGGCGUCCCCCUUGAGCCUCCAUAGGUGCUCAAUCAGAUCUUUCUGCAGUUGAUGAUGCACCUGUGGGUUUCGGAUCUCCUGACGCAUACUGAGAUAGGCAGUCCAGGUUGCCGGUAGCUGGUGAUCGACUUCGGCUAGAGGACCCUGCCUGUAGUAUGGUUCAGUGUCAAACAAUGGGUCUUCUUGCUCGCUCUCGAUGAUCAUGUUGUGCAAGAUGACACAGCAAGUCAUAAUCUCCCACAUUUGAUCUUUGGACCAGGUCUGAGCGGGGUACCGGACAACAGCAAAUCGAGAUUGGAGCACACCAAAUGCCCGCUCGACAUCCUUCCUGCAAGCCUCCUGAAUCUUCGCAAACCAGGAUUUCUUGCCUCCUGCCACAGGGUUUGAGAUCGUCUUCACAAAUGUCGACCAUCUCGGAUAGACGCCAUCAGCUAGAUAGUACCCCUUGUUGUAGUGCCGCCCAUUGAUCUCGAAGUUCACCGGAGGAGAAUGACCUUCAACAAGCUUGGCAAAGACAGGAGAGCACUGCAGCACGUUGAUGUCAUUGUGAGUUCCUGGCAUACCAAAGAAGGAGUGCCAAAUCCAGAGGUCCUGUGUGGCCACCGCCUCAAGUACCACACUGCAACCGCCUUUGGCGCCUUUGUACAUCCCCUGCCAAGCAAAUGGGCAAUUCUUCCAUUUCCAAUGCAUGCAGUCGAUGCUUCCAAGCAUCCCAGGGAAUCCUCUUGCUGUAUUCCGUGCUAGGAUCCGAGAAGUGUCUUCCGCAUUGGGUGUUCUCAAGUAUUGUGGUCCAAACACUGCCACCACUGCCCGACAGAACUUGUAGAAACACUCUAUGCUGGUGGACUCGGCCAUGCGCCCAUAGUCGUCGAGUGAAUCACCGGGAGCUCCGUAUGCAAGCAUCCUCAUCGUUGUCGUGCACUUCUGGAUGGAGGUGAAUCCAAGGGCGCCGGUGCAAUCCAUCUUGCACUUGAAGUAGUUGUCAAACUCCCGGAUGGAAUUCACAGUCCUGAGGAAGAGCUUUCGGCUCAUCCGAUAACGGCGCCGAAAUGUUUUCUCGCCGUGAAGUGGAGCAUCGGCGAAGUAGUCGGAGUAGAGCAUGCAGUAGCCUUCGAGACGAUGCCGGUUCUUUGCUUUCACCCGCCCCGGCGCCGACCCACCUCGCCGCGGCUUUUCAUUGCUCGCCAGCAGCUGGGCGAGGGCGGCGAGCACCAUGAGAUGCUCUUCUUCCUGGACGUCGGCCUCGGCUUCCUCCUCCAGCAGCGCGGCGAGCGCUUCCUCGUCAUCCGAGUCCAUCGCCGAGGCAGGCAAAUCGCCGAACACCUUGCGCCCGGUGGGCGUGUACCCGCCGCUAAACUGCCCCUCCGCGGCCGGAAACGCCCAGCUGCUGUUGGAGGGGCUGCCGCGGCGAAGCUCUGCUAUUUUUCCGGUGGGGAAUGGCUAUCUAGCGGUGAAGGCCGGCGGGUGGCGCCGGGAUAUAGCUAGUGGCGGCCGAGGGCGCGGGGGGUGGGAGACGAGUCGGGGAAGAAAACCUUGACUUUUCCCCUAACGGUGUGGGCCAGCCGCGCUUUUCCCUUGCGCCGGAGCCCCCAAUUGCCCCCCAGUGCGCCGGGUUCAGCCUGUGACCGCCGGGCGGAAAAAACGGCCGAAUCGGCGAUUUUCGGCGUCCUGGGGCCGCGACUGGGGCGUUUUUUGGCGCCGGCGCCCAAAAAAUGGCCUAGGGGGCCCUGUUGGGGGCGCGGCUGGAGAUGCUUUAAAACCAACACUACACCACGGCCUCGCGCAACACUCGUCCGCUCCCAUCCACUGCGCCUUGAUUGUUGUUGGCUCAGACCCGGUGUCGAGUACUUUCCAGCGACAAUGAUGAACGACGACUAAACGAACCAACAUUGACUGGCUUGGUUCCUGCCCCAAGUCGGCUCAACCCGACGAGAUACUUUACAUCGAGACACACCUUACAGUGCAAAGCUGACCUCAGCUUGCUGAUCUAGUGAUCUCCAAGCCUAAACACAUACCGACCUAUGUACAACCCGCAAAAAAUAAAAAAUAAACACGUACGUACACAACAACCUUUGGCUGGAUACUCAAACGCACGCACGCAUUGGAGACUUCGGCUGAUUGCCACACGUACGUAUCGUGCGUUGUGAUUUUACUUGGUCUACAAAGUUUACGUAAAUAUAGCAGCAGCUAGGACACGAACCACGUACAUACAACUACAACUUGGUGAUUGAACGUGUACAAACGGGACACUAACCACGUACGUCGUGGUUAUUUCAAACUGUCCCCGCCACCCUGCCUCGAGGAAUUUUUGCAGCCGGAACCAGGGGUAAACUUGUCUUUCACGUUUCAUUUAACACCGUUAGGUCAAAAAAUGAACCAAAGUGUUAUAUUGGAAACAAAAUUUAAAGUUGGUGUUAGAUAGGGAAAAAACAUUUUUCCAGUGUUAAAUAAGGAAACAAAAUUUAAAAUAGUGUUAAAUAAGGAAUUCUUUCUACAAAGUUUGGACAUCAUACAAACCAAACCAAAGCAUCUUCAAUUUCUUCAUCUAUAUUAGAUUAAGCUAUGCAGGAAGCAAUUUGUACAAGUUCCGCCCGUUUCGACAGCAGCUUGUUUGGAGGUUGGUUUCAUAUGGUACCCAUCCCAAAUUUCUCCUGCCAAAAUUGACCACAAAGUUAUCAAAAUGUGCUUACAGCUAGUUUGUGCGUACGUUCUUGGAUACCUAUACCUAUUAGAGAAUAAUCCCGUAUUCCUCUUCUCUGUUUUUUCUUCAGAAAAUCUAGUGACCAGAUACUUUGGAGAGCCAUCUGUAUCAACUAGGACGUGCUUGUGUUCUCGAGUCAUGAGUAGCGGAAUUUUGUCGCGGACAUUGCAAACAUUUGAAUCCUCGUUGAGUAUGUGUUUUCGGAACUAGAUAUUGUCCUGAAGAUUAUCAAUGAAUAUGAAUGUGAAUGAUCUUGCACGUGAUCUUCUCAUGGAGCAUCAGAGCAUUUGUCAAAUAUUUCUCGCAAAAAAAGAGAGCAUUUAUCAAAUAGAAAAUAUCACCGAUUGUCUUGGUUCAACUGUUCAAGUAUACAAAGCCGGCCCCAACAGCGAAGGUCCGUCCCGCUGGGUGACGGUUAGCGUAUCGCUCCGGUGAUUGCGGAGGCGAUUAGGGUUUCGUGGGUUCUUGCUCGCUGUUCUGUGUCCAGAUCGAGUCCCCGUCACCGUAACUGAGACUGCCGGCGCGUCUACUCUCCGUCGUGUGCCCAGUCUUCAAUCCAUCCACCUUCCCCCAGCCUUCCGUGUGUUUCCUGGGGCGCACGGUCGUAAAACACUUCUAACCCUAGGCGGCGGCGUUCUGGUGGAGGUGCGGAGGAUGGAAGGAGUGGCCGGCAUGAUGCGGAGUCUGAAGCUGUCGGAGGAGGAAAGGAAGGGGGUCAAGAUCCGGCUGUCUGCGAAGGAGAAGGGGAAGGGAGUUGAACCCCAAGCAGUGGGGAAGGUGCUAUCGGAGAAACUUGCCAAUCAAGAUGCGAUCAGCCUGUCUUUAGGGAAGGUGUGGUGUCCGAUCAAAGGAACUGAUUGCAGGGAGGUGGGAGACAAUCUGUUUGUAUUUACGUUCAAACAGGAAUCGGGGAGAAGAAAGGCCAUUGAAGAUGGCCCGUGGAUGUUUGAUAAAGAUCUAGUGAUAGUGGAGGAGUAUGAUCCAGGGAAGAGAUUCGAAGAUUAUGAGUUCAAUGAUAUUCCAAUCUGGGUGAGGAUCUUUAACCUCCCGAUGGGGAUGAUGAACGAGGAGUCGGCGGAGGAAAUAGGGAAUAUCAUUGGGCGGUUCGUGGAGGCAGAUGCAGGGAUGGACGGGAAAGCAAUAGCAAAGUAUAUGCGAGUGAAGAUUAGAAUGAAGAUAGACAAGCCUAUUAUGAGGGGAAUUACACUGGAUGAGGAGAGUAUGAAGCAGAGGAGAAAGAAAAAUAUGAACAUAGAUGGGAAGGAGGAAGAGGAGGAUGAAGGGCUUUGGUGCCGGUUCGAGUACGAGUUCCUGCCCGACUUUUGUUAUAGCUGCGGGAUGAUUGGUCAUGGAGAGAAAGACUGUUCCACACAGCUGAAGAGAGGGGAAAACCCCCAGUUUGGGCGAUGGCUAAAGGCGGAUGUGGGUAGAAGGAGGGGCUAUGAUGAUGAAGACUGGAGUUGGAAGGGUAAUGGGAGGAAUGGCGGGAGCCACGGAAGCUUGGGGUUUAGUCGCUCGAACGGACGAUCGGGGAGUGGUAGUGAUGGCCCGACAUGGAGGAAGGAUGGAUCGCGUAACAGGGGAGGGACGAAUAGUUGGACAGAGAAAGGAGAAGAAGUGACCAGCCCAGCAAAAACAGCAAAGGAACCACCGAAGAAGGGGAUACAGAAGAAACUAGACAUGAGUGCAGAGGUCCCGUACAGGAACAACGUUGGUGAUGACAAGGAGGGCGCUGAAGGAAAACAACUGGUGGCCGCUGGGCAGGUAGAUAAGGUAGGAACUGGUCCGGUGCCUCACUCAUCGGAUAUGAUCUCAGCGGAUGGAGGGGAGACGGAGAAGGGGGCAACUCGGCAAGUUAAGAAGCAGGAUGGUGGUUCGGGAGAGGGAGGACAGCAGCCCACCAAGGGUAGUGGAAGGAAGUAUAAGAAGGUGGAGAGACGCAAAACGGGAGGGCAGAAGAGCAGUGUAGAAAGGGAGCAAGUCUUGGGGAGGAAGAGAGGGCAUGUGCAGGAGAGGGAAGAAGAGGAUGAAGCCAAGAAGGGGAGGGUGGAGGAGAAAGAACUCAAGGAAGGAGACGUAGCAGUGGAGCUUGGAGGUACUACAACAGUUAGCACAUCGGCCGGCUGUCCAAGCAGCCCCGCCGGGCACAUUGAAAAUCAUCAGUUGGAACUGCCGGGGACUCGGGAAUGGCCCGGCAGUUCGCUCCCUCCUCGAGAUGGGGAGGGUGGAGGAUGAUGGGAAUCGUAGCAUAAUUUUAAAAUUUUCCUACGCUCACCAAGAUCCAUCUAUGGAGUAUACUAGCAACGAGGGGAAAGGAGUGCAUCUACAUACCCUUGUAGAUCGCGAGCGGAAGCGUUCCAAUGAACGUUGUUGACGGAGUCGUACUCGCCGUGAUUCAAAUCACCGAUGACCGAGUGCCGAACGGACGACACCUCAGCGUUCAACACACGUACGGUGCAGCGACGUCUCCUCCUUCUUGAUCCAGCAAGGGGAAGGAGAGGUUGAUGGAGAUCCAGCAGCACGACGGCGUGGUGGUGGAUGUAGCGGGUCUCGGCAGGGCUUCGUCGAGCUUCUGCGAGAGGGAGAGGUGUAGCAGGGGAGGAGGGAGGCGCCCAAGGCUGUGAUGUUGCUGCCCUCCCUCCCCCCUUUAUAUAGGCCCCCUGGGAGGGGGGCGCCGGCCAAAAACCCAUCNNNNNNNNNNNNNNNNNNNNNNNNNNNNNNNNNNNNNNNNNNNNNNNNNNNNNNNNNNNNNNNNNNNNNNNNNNNNNNNNNNNNNNNNNNNNNNNNNNNNNNNNNNNNNNNNNNNNNNNNNNNNNNNNNNNNNNNNNNNNNNNNNNNNNNNNNNNNNNNNNNNNNNNNNNNNNNNNNNNNNNNNNNNNNNNNNNNNNNNNNNNNNNNNNNNNNNNNNNNNNNNNNNNNNNNNNNNNNNNNNNNNNNNNNNNNNNNNNNCCCCCCCCCCCACCCUAGGGUUUGCAACCCUAGGCGCAUGGGGGGAGGCCCAUGGGGGGCGCCCAGCCCACUAGGGGCUGGUUCCCUUCCCACUUCAGCCCACGGGGCCCUCCGGGAUAGGUGGCCCCACCCGGUGGACCCCCGGGACCCUUCCGGUGGUCCCAGUACAAUACCGGUAACCCCCGAAACUUUCCCGGUGGCCGAAACUUGACUUCCUAUAUAUAAUUCUUUACCUCCGGACCAUUCCGGAACUCCUCGUGACGUCCGGGAUCUCAUCCGGGACUCCGAACAACUUUCGGGUUUCCGCAUACACAUAUCUCUACAACCCUAGCGUCACCGAACCUUAAGUGUGUAGACCCUACGGGUUCGGGAGACAUGCAGACAUGACCGAGACGCCUCUCCGGUCAAUAACCAACAGCGGGAUCUGGAUACCCAUGUUGGCUCCCACAUGUUCCACGAUGAUCUCAUCGAAUGAACCACGAUGUCGAGGAUUCAAUCAAUCCUGUAUACAAUUCCCUUUGUCAAUCGGUAUGUUACUUGCCCGAGAUUCGAUCGUCGGUAUCCCAAUACCUUGUUCAAUCUCGUUACCGGCAAGUCUCUUUACUCGUACCGCAAUGCAUGAUCCCGUGACUAACGCCUUAGUCACAUUGAGCUCAUUAUGAUGAUGCAUUACCGAGUGGGCCCAGAGAUACCUCUCCGUCACACGGAGUGACAAAUCCCAGUCUCGAUCCGUGCCAACCCAACAGACACUUUCGGAGAUACCCGUAGUGCACCUUUAUAGUCACCCAGUUACGUUGUGACGUUUGGCACACCCAAAGCACUCCUACGGUAUCCGGGAGUUGCACGAGCUAAGGAAAAGAUACUUGACAUUGGAAAAGCUCUAGCAAACGAAACUACACGAUCUUUUAUGCUAUGCUUAGGAUUGGGUCUUGUCCAUCACAUCAUUCUCCUAAUGAUGUGAUCCCGUUAUCAAUGACAUCCAAUGUCCAUAGUCAGGAAACCAUGACUAUCUGUUGAUCAACGAGCUAGUCAACUAGAGGCUUACUAGGGACACGUUGUGGUCUAUGCAUUCACACAUGUAUUACGAUUUCCGGACAAUACAAUUAUAGCAUGAACAAUAGACGAUUAUCAUGAACAAAGAAAUAUAAUAAUAACCAUUUAUUAUUGCCUCUAGGGCAUAUUUCCAACAGAGGAUCCCGACAUUAUAUUUCUUUCAGAGACAAGAUUAACGUCGAAGGAGUUGGAUAGGUUCAGGUGGAUGCUGGGGCUUGCGAACAUGUCAGUUUGGGACCCGGUGGGGAGAAGCAGGGGUGUUGCCAUGCUCUGGAGGAGGGGUAUUGAUGUGUCCCUGAGGUCGUAUGGCAGGAGGCAUGUGGAUGUCGAUGUAACAGAGGAUGAUGGGUCGGUGUGGCAUUUAACAGGGAUGUAUGGAGAAUCGGCCACGGAGAGGAAGAAAGAAACCUGGCGGACACUCAAAAUUCUAAAGCAGCAGCAUCAACAGGACCGCCCAUGGCUAUGCCUUGGGGACUUCAAUGAAAUCUUGUCAAAUGUGGAGAAGGUUGGAGGGGUGGACCGACCCCAACAUAUGAUGGACAGCCUCAGAGAAGCGCUACAAUUCUGUGAGCUAGGCGAUCUUGGGUUCGAGGGUGACAUCUUCACUUGGAGGAAUCACAGCAAGGAUCUGAGCUCGUACAUAUGUGAGAGGCUUGAUAGGGCAACCGCAAAUGACAGGUGGCGAGAGAAGUUCCCAGAUUUUACAGUUGUGAAUGGUGCACCACGGCACUCGGACCACAGGCCGGUGAUUGUGUGGACGCAAGGGGCGGAUAGGAGCUGGAAAGGUGGAGACCGUGGAUUCCGUUUUGAAGCCCGUUGGUUACAGGAGGAGGGAUGUGAGGAUGUAAUCAGAGAAGCAUGGGAGCAAAGCUGGGGAAGGAGAGACGGAGGGGUAGCGCAUGCUUUAAGAGAAGUGGCUGGGAAGCUGCGGACUUGGGACAGAGAAGUGGUCGGGGCAGUGGAGGGCCGGCUGAAAAAAGCUAAAGCGGAGCUGGAACGGUGUAUGGCGGCGAGAGUUUCGCAGGAAAAAAUAGAGGAGGAAGCUAGACUUAGGUGUGUGGUGGAUGAGCUGGAGGAGAAGAAGAACACGAUGUGGAAGCAGAGAGCACAUGUUUGGUGGCUGCUAGAUGGAGAUAGGAACACACGGUUCUAUCAUACUGUCGCUUCGGCGAGGAAAAAGCGAACCGUAUUAAGGAGUUGAGGAGGGAGGAUGGAACCGUGGUGGCGGAGGAGGAUUUAACUAACUAUGUGUUGGGAAUCGUAGCAUAAUUUUAAAAUUUUCCUAUGCUCACCAAGAUGCAUCUAUGGAGUAUACUAGCAACGAGGGGAAAGGAGUGCAUCUACAUACCCUUGUAGAUCGCGAGCGGAAGCGUUCCAAUGAACGUGGAUGACGGAGUCGUACUCGCCGUGAUCCAAAUCACCGAUGACCGAGUGCCGAACGGACGGCACCUCCGCGUUCAACACACGUACGGUGCAGCGACGUCUCCUCCUUCUUGAUCCAGCAAGGGGAAGGAGAGGUUGAUGGAGAUCCAGCAGCACGACGGCAUGGUGGUGGAUGUAGCGGGUCUCGGCAGGGCUUCGCCGAGCUUCUGCGAGAGGGAGAGGUGUUGCAGGGGAGGAGGGAGGCGCCCAAGGCUGUGAUGUAGCUGCCCUCCCUCCCCCCCUUUAUAUAGGCCCCCUUGGGAGGGGGGCGCCGGCCAAACCCAUCUAGGGUGGGGGCGGCGGCCAAGGGGGGUGCCUUGCCCCCCAAGGCAAGUGGGAAGCCCCCCCACCCUAGGGUUUGCAACCCUAGGCGCAUGGGGGGAGGCCCAUGGGGGGGGCGCCCAGCCCACUAGGGGCUGGUUCCCUUCCCACUUCAGCCCACGGGGCCCUCCGGGAUAGGUGGCCCCACCCGGUGGACCCCCGGGACCCUUCCGGUGGUCCCGGUACAAUACCGGUAACCUCCGAAACUUUCCCGGUGGCCGAAACUUGACUUCCUAUAUAUAAUUCUUCACCUACGGACCAUUCCGGAACCUCUCGUGACGUCCGGGAUCUCAUCCGGGACUCCGAACAACUUUCGGGUUUCCGCAUACACAUAUCUCUACAACCCUAGCGUCACCGAACCUUAAGUGUGUAGACCCUACGGGUUCGGGAGACAUGCAGACAUGACCGAGACGCCUCUCCGGUCAAUAACCAACAGCGGGAUCUGGAUACCCAUGUUGGCUCCCACAUGUUCCACGAUGAUCUCAUCAGAAGAACCACGAUGUCGAGGAUUCAAUCAAUCCCGUAUACAAUUCGCUUUGUCAAUCGGUAUGUUACUUGCCCGAGAUUCGAUCGUCGGUAUCCCAAUACCUUGUUCAAUCUCGUUACCGGCAAGUCUCUUUACUCGUACCGCAAUGCAUGAUCCCGUGACUAACGCCUUAGUCACAUAGAGCUCAUUAUGAUGAUGCAUUACCGAGUGGGCCCAGAGAUACCUCACCGUCACACGGAGUGACAAAUCCCAGUCUCAAUCCGUGCCAACCCAAUAGACACUUUCGGAGAUACCCGUAGUGCACCUUUAUAGUCACCCAGUUACGUUGUGAUGUUUGGCACACCCAAAGUACUCCUACGGUAUCCGGGAGUUGCACGAUCUCAUGGUCUAAGGAAAAGAUACUUGACAUUGGAAAAGCUCUAGCAAACGAAACUACACGAUCUUUUAUGCUAUGCUUAGGAUUGGGUCUUGUCCAUCACAUCAUUCUCCUAAUGAUGUGAUCCCGUUAUCAACGACAUCCCAUGUCCAUAGUCAGGAAACCAUGACUAUCUGUUGAUCAACGAGCUAGUCAACUAGAGGCUUACUAGGGACACGUUGUGGUCUAUGUAUUCACACAUGUAUUACGAUUUCCGGACAAUACAAUUAUAGCAUGAACAAUAGACAAUUACCAUGAACAAAGAAAUAUAAUAAUAACCAUUUAUUAUUGCCUCUAGGGCAUAUUUCCAAUAGUCUCCCACUUGCACUAGAGUCAAUAAUCUAGUUACAUUGUGAUGAAUCGAACACCCAUUGCGUCCUGGUGUUGAUCAUGUUUUGCUCUAGGGAGAGGUUUAGUCAACGGAUCUGCUACAUUCAGGUCCGUAUGUACUUUACAAAUAUCUAUGUCCCCAUUUUGAACACUUUCACGAAUGGAGUUGAAGCGACGCUUGAUAUGCCUGGUCUUCGUGUGAAACCUGGGCUCCUUCGCAAGGGCAAUAGCUCCAGCGUUGUCACAGAAGAGAGUCAUUGGGCCCGACGCAUUGGGAAUCACCCCUAGGUCGGUAAUGAACUCCUUCAUCCAGACUGCUUCCCGUGCUGCCUCCGAGGCUGCCAUGUACUCCGCUUCACAUGUAGAUCCCGCCACGACGCUUUGCUUGCAACUCCACCAGCUUACUGCUCCUCCAUUCAAAAUAUACACGUAUCCGGUUUGUGACUUCGAGUCAUCCAGAUCUGUGUUGAAGCUAGCGUCGACGUAACCCUUUACGACGAGCUCUUCGUCCCCUCCAUAAACGAGAAACAUAUCCUUAGUCCUUUUCAGGUACUUCAGGAUAUUCUUGACCGCUGUCCAGUGUUCCAUGCCGGGAUUACUUUGGUAUCUUCCUACCAAACUUACGGCAAGGUUUACAUCAGGUCUGGUACACAGCAUGGCAUACAUAAUAGACCCUAUGGCCGAGGCAUAGGGGAUGACACUCAUCUUUUCUAUAUCUUCUGCCGUGGUCGGGCAUUGAGCCGUGCUCAAUUGCACACCUUGCAAUACAGGCAAGAACCCCUUCUUGGACUGAUCCAUACUGAACUUCUUCAAUAUCUUGUCAAGGUAUGUACUCUGUGAAAGACCAAUGAGGCGUCUUGAUCUAUCUCUAUAGAUCUUGAUGCCUAAUAUAUAAGCAGCUUCUCCAAGGUCCUUCAUUGAAAAACACUUAUUCAAAUAGGCCUUUAUACUUUCCAGGAAUUCUAUAUCAUUUCCCAUCAAUAGUAUGUCAUCCACAUAUAAUAUGAGAAAUGCUACAGAGCUCCCACUCACUUUCUUGUAAACACAGGCUUCUCCAUAAGUCUGUGUAAACCCAAACGCUUUGAUCAUCUCAUCAAAGCGAAUGUUCCAACUCCGAGAUGCUUGCACCAGCCCAUAGAUUGAGCACUGGAGCUUGCAUACUUUGUUAGCAUUCUUAGGAUUGACAAAACCUUCCGGCUGCAUCAUAUACAACUCUUCCUUAAGGAGGCCGUUAAGGAAUGCCGUUUUGACAUCCAUCUGCCAUAUCUCAUAAUCAUAGUAUGCGGCAAUUGCUAACAUGAUUUGGACGGACUUCAGCUUUGCUACGGGUGAGAAAGUCUCAUCGUAGUCAACCCCUUGAACUUGUCGAUAACCUUUAGCGACAAGUCGAGCUUUGUAGAUGGUCACAUUACCAUCUGCGUCCGUCUUCUUCUUAAAGAUCCAUUUGUUUUCUAUGGCUCGCCGCUCAUCGGGCAAGUCAGUCAAAGUCCAUACUUUGUUUUCAUACAUGGAUUCUAUCUCGGAUUUCAUGGCUUCUAGCCAUUUGUCGGAAUCCGGGCCCGCCAUCGCUUCUUCAUAGUUCGAAGGUUCACCGUUGUCUAACAACAUGAUUUCCAGGACAGGGUUGCCGUACCACUCUGGUGCGGAACGUGUCCUUGUGGACCUACGAAGUUCAGUAACUUGAUCCGAAGCUUCAUGAUCAUCAUCAUUAACUUCCUCCCUAGUCGGUGUAGGCACCACAGGAACAUUUUCCCGCGCCGCGCUACUUUCCGGUUCGGAAGGGGUGACUAUCACCUCAUCAAGUUCCACUUUCCUCCCACUCAAUUCUUUCGAGAGAAACUCCUUCUCUAGAAAGGAUCCGUUCUUGGCAACGAAGAUCUUGCCUUCGGAUCUGAGGUAGAAGGUAUACCCAAUAGUUUCCUUAGGGUAUCCUAUGAAGAUGCAUUUUUCCGAUUUGGGUUCGAGCUUUUCAGGUUGAAGUUUCUUGACAUAAGCAUCGCAUCCCCAAACUUUUAGAAACGACAGCUUAGGUUUCUUCCCAAACCAUAAUUCAUACGGUGUCGUCUCAACGGAUCUAGACGGAGCCCUAUUUAAAGUGAAUGCGGCAGUCUCUAAAGCAUAACCCCAAAAUGAGAGCGGUAAUCGGUAAGAGAUAUCAUAGAUCGCACCAUAUCCAAUAGAGUGCGAUUACGACGUUCGGACACACCAUUUCUCUGAGGUGUUCCAGGCGGCGUGAGUUGUGAAACUAUUCCACAUUUCCUUAAGUGUGCACCAAACUCGUGACUUAGAUAUUCUCCAUCACGAUCUGAUCGUAAGAAUUUUAUUUUCCUGUCACAUUGAUUCUCAACUUCACUCUGAAAUUCCUUGAACUUUUCAAAGGUUUCAGACUUGUGUUUCAUUAGGUAGACAUACCCAUAUCUACUUAAAUCAUCAGUGAGAGUGAGAACAUAACGAUAUCCUCCGCGAGCCUCAACACUCAUUGGACCACACACAUCGGUAUGUAUGAUUUCCAAUAAGUUGGUUGCUCGCUCCAUUGUUCCGGAGAACGGAGUCUUGGUCAUCUUACCCAUGAGGCAUGGUUCGCACGUGUCAAAUGAUUCGUAAUCAAGAGACUCCAAAAGUCCAUCUGCAUGGAGCUUCUUCAUGCGCUUGACACCAAUGUGACCAAGGCGGCAGUGCCACAAGUAUGUGGGACUAUCGUUAUCAACUUUACAUCUUUUGGUAUUCACACUAUGAACAUGUGUAACAUCACGUUCGAGAUUCAUCAAAAAUAAACCAUUGGCCAGCGGGGCAUGACCAUAAAACAUAUCUCUCAAAUAAAUAGAACAACCAUUAUUCUCGGAUUUAAAUGAGUAGCCAUCUCGAAUUAAACGAGAUCCAGAUACAAUGUUCAUGCUCAAAGCUGGCACUAAAUAACAAUUAUUGAGGUUUAAAACUAAUCCCGUGGGUAGAUGCAGAGGUAGCGUGCCGACGGCGAUCACAUCGACCUUGGAACCAUUCCCGACGCGCAUCGUCACCUCGUCCUUUGCCAGUCUCCGUUUAUUCCGUAGUACCUGUUUUGAGUUACAAAUAUGAGCAACCGCACCGGUAUCAAAUACCCAGGAGCUACUACGAGUACUGGUAAGGUACACAUCAAUUACAUGUAUAUCACAUAUACCUUUGGUGUUGCCGGCCUUCUUCUUGUCCGCUAAGUAUUUGGGGCAGUUCCGCUUCCAGUGACCACUUCCCUUGCAAUAAAAGCACUCAGUCUCGGGCUUGGGUCCAUUCUUUGACUUCUUGCCAGUAACUGGUUUACCGGGCGCGGCAACUCCCUUGCCGUCCUUCUUGAAGUUCUUCUUACCCUUGCCCUUCUUGAACUUAGUGGUUUUAUUCACCAUCAACACUUGAUGUUCUUUUCUGAUCUCCCCUUCCGCUGAUUUCAGCAUUGAAUAUACCUCAGGAAUGGUCUUUUCCACCCCCUGCAUAUUGAAGUUCAUCACAAAGCUCUUGUAGCUUGGUGGAAGCGACUGGAGGAUUCUGUCAAUGACCGCGUCAUCCGGGAGAUUGACUCCCAGCUGGGAUAAGCGGUUGUGUAACCCAGACAUUCUGAGUAUGUGCUCACUAACAGAACUGUUCUCCUCCAUUUUACGGCUGAAGAAUUUGUCGGAGACUUCAUACCUCUCGACCCAGGCAUGAGCUUGGAAAACCAUUUUCAGCUCCUCGAACAUCUCAUAUGCUCCAUGUUUCUCAAAACGCUUUUGGAGACCCGGUUCUAAGCUGUAAAGCAUGCCGCACUGAACGAGGGAGUAAUCAUCAGCACGCUGCUGCCAAGCGUUCAUAACGUCUUGGUUCUCUGGGAUUGGUGCUUCACCUAGCGGUGCUUCUAAGACAUAAUCUUUCUUGGCUGCUAUGAGGAUGAUCCUUAGGUUCCGGACCCAGUCCGUAUAGUUGCUGCCAUCAUCUUUCAGCUUGGUUUUCUCUAGGAACGCGUUGAAAUUGAGGACAACGUUGGCCAUUUGAUCUACAAGACAUAGUGUAAAGAUUUUAGACUAAGUUCAUGAUAAUUAAGUUCAUCUAAUCAAAUUAUUUAAUGAACUCCCACUCAGAUAGACAUCCCUCUAGUCAUCUAAGUGAAACAUGAUCCGAGUUUAACUAGGCCGUGUCCGAUCAUCACGUGAGACGGGCUAGUCAAGAUCGGUGAACAUCUCCAUGUUGAUCGUAUCUUCUAUACGACUCAUGCUCGACCUUUCGGUCCUCCGUGUUCCGAGGCCAUGUAUGUACAUGCUAGGCUCGUCAAGUCAACCUAAGUGUAUUGCGUGUGUUCCGAGGCCAUGUUUGUACAUGCUAGGCUCGUCAACACCCGUUGUAUUCGAACGUUAGAAUCUAUCACACCCGAUCAUCAUGUGUUGCUUCGAAACAACGAACCUUCGCAACGGUGCACAGUUAGGGUGAACACUUUCUUGAAAUUAUUAUAAGGGAUCAUCUUACUUACUACCGUCGUUCUAAGCAAAUAAGAUGCAAAAACAUGAUAAACAUCACAUGCAAUCAAAUAGUGACAUGAUAUGGCCAAUAUCAUUAUGCUCCUUUGAUCUCCAUCUUCGGGGCACCAUGAUCAUCUUCGUCACCGGCAUGACACCAUGAUCUCCAUCAUUGUGUCUUCAUGAAGUCGUCACGCCAAUGAUUACUUCCACUUCUAUGGCUAACGCGUUUAGCAACAAAGUAAAGUAAAUUACAUGGCGUUAUUCAAUGACACGCAGGUCAUACAAAAUAAUAAAGACAACUCCUAUGGCUCCUGCCGGUUGUCAUACUCAUCGACAUGCAAGUCGUGAUUCCUAUUACAAGAAUAUGAUCAAUCUCAUACAUCACAUAUAUCAUUCAUCACAUCUUCUGGCCAUAUCACAUCACAUAGCACUUGCUGCAAAAACAAGUUAGACGUCCUCUAAUUGUUGUUGCAAGUUUUUACGUGGUUUGUAGGUUUCUAGCAAGAACGUUUCUUACCUACGUAUGACCACAACGUGAUUUGCCAAUUUCUAUUUACCCUUCAUAAGGACCCUUUUCAUCGAAUCCGUUCCGACUAAAGUAGGAGAGACAGACACCCGCUAGCCACCUUAUGCAACUAGUGCAUGUCAGUCGGUGGAACCUAUCUCACGUAAGCGUACGUGUAAGGUCGGUCCGGGCCGCUUCAUCCUACAAUGCCGCCGAAACAAGAAACGACUAGUAGCUGCAAGAAGAAUUGGCAACAUCAACGCCCACAACUGCUUUGUGUUCUACUCGUGCAUAGUAACUACGCAUAGGCCUAGCUCAUGAUGCCACUGUUGGGAAUCGUAGCAUAAUUUUAAAAUUUUCCUACGCUCACCAAGAUGCAUCUAUGGAGUAUACUAGCAACGAGGGGAAUGGAGUGCAUCUACAUACCCUUGUAGAUCGCGAGCGGAAGCGUUCCAAUGAACGUGGAUGACGGAGUCGUACUCGCCGUGAUCCAAAUCACCGAUGACCGAGUGCCGAACGGACGGCAUCUCCGCAUUCAACACACGUACGAUGCAGCGAUGUCUCCUCCUUCUUGAUCCAGCAAGGGGAAGGAGAGGUUGAUGGAGAUCCAGCAGCACGACGGCGUGGUGGUGGAUGUAGCGGGUCUCGGCAGGGCUUCGCCGAGCUUCUGCGAGAGGGAGAGGUGUUGCAGGGGAGGAGGGAGGCGCCCAAGGCUGUGAUGUAGCUGCCCUCCCUCCCCCCCUUUAUAUAGGCCCCCUUGGGAGGGGGGGCGCCGGCCAAACCCAUCUAGGGUGGGGGCGGCGGCCAAGGGGGGUGCCUUGCCCCCCAAGGCAAGUGGGAAGCCCCCCCACCCUAGGGUUUGCAACCCUAGGCGCAUGGGGGGAGGCCCAUGGGGGGGCGCCCAGCCCACUAGGGGCUGGUUCCCUUCCCACUUCAGCCCACGGGGCCCUCCGGGAUAGGUGGCCCCACCCGGUGGACCCCCGGGACCCUUCCGGUGGUCCCGGUACAAUACCGGUAACCUCCGAAACUUUCCCGGUGGCCGAAACUUGACUUCCUAUAUAUAAUUCUUCACCUCUGGACCAUUCCGGAACCUCUCGUGACGUCCGGGAUCUCAUCCGGGACUCCGAAAAACUUUCGGGUUUCCGCAUACACAUAUCUCUACAACCCUAGCGUCACCGAACCUUAAGUGUGUAGACCCUACGGGUUCGGGAGACAUGCAGACAUGACCGAGACGCCUCUCCGGUCAAUAACCAACAGCGGGAUCUGGAUACCCAUGUUGGCUCCCACAUGUUCCACGAUGAUCUCAUCGGAUGAACCACGAUGUCGAGGAUUCAAUCAAUUUCGUAUACAAUUCCCUUUGUCAAUCGGUAUGUUACUUGCCCGAGAUUCGAUCGUCGUUAUCCCAAUACCUUGUUCAAUCUCGUUACCGGCAAGUCUCUUUACUCGUACCGCAAUGCAUGAUCCCGUGACUAACGCCUUAGUCACAUAGAGCUCAUUAUGAUGAUGCAUUACCGAGUGGGCCCAGAGAUACCUCACCGUCACACGGAGUGACAAAUCCCAGUCUCGAUCCGUGCCAACCCAACAGACACUUUCGGAGAUACCCGUAGUGCACCUUUAUAGUCACCCAGUUACGUUGUGACGUUUGGCACACCCAAAGUACUCCUACGGUAUCCGGGAGUUGCACGAUAUCAUGGUCUAAGGAAAAGAUACUUGACAUUGGAAAAGCUCUAGCAAACGAAACUACACGAUCUUUUAUGCUAUGCUUAGGAUUGGGUCUUGUCCAUCACAUCAUUCUCCUAAUGAUGUGAUCCCGUUAUCAACGACAUCCCAUGUCCAUAGUCAGGAAACCAUGACUAUCUGUUGAUCAACGAGCUAGUCAACUAGAGGCUUACUAGGGACACGUUGUGGUCUAUGUAUUCACACAUGUAUUACGAUUUCCGGACAAUACAAUUAUAGCAUGAACAAUAGACAAUUACCAUGAACAAAGAAAUAUAAUAAUAACCAUUUAUUAUUGCCUCUAGGGCAUAUUUCCAACACUAUGUGUCCUCUUUUUUUCAGGAUCUUUUCACCACCUCGGUAGGCAACCGCGUUGAUGAACUCAUCGCGAAGGUCCAGCCACGUGUGACAGCUGAAAUGGCAAACUUUCUUGAUGCUGUAUUCACACGAGAGGAGGUGAAGGCAGCUCUAGACCACAUCGGCGAUCUUAAAGCUCCGGGGCCUGACGGCAUGCCUUCUAUUGUGUUCAAGCGUCAUUGGCAUUUCAUGGGGGAUUAUGUGGUUGACGAGGUCUUGGCCGUGCUUAAUGGAGGGGACAUGCCGGCAGGGUGGAAUGACACAUUGGUAGUUCUUAUUCCCAAGGUCAGGAACCCGAACAGAAUCAAGGACCUAAGACCAAUCAGCCUCUGUAAUGUUUUGUACAAGUUGGUGUCCAAGGUUCUUGCAAAUAGACUAAAAGUGAUCUUGCCGGAAGUUAUCUCUGAAAAUCAAAGUGCAUUCUUUCCUGGACGGCUAAUCACGGAUAAUGUGCUCAUUGCCUUUGAGGUCUCGCACUAUCUCAGGAACAAGAAGCAUGGCCGAGAAGGAGUUGCAGCAGUGAAAGCGGAUAUGAGUAAGGCCUAUGACCGAGUAGAGUGGACAUUCCUUGAAGCCAUGCUAAGAAAACUGGGAUUUAGGAGAAGAUGGGUGACCCUGAUAAUGAAAUGUGUAACCACUGUGAGGUACCAGGUUAAAGUUAAUGGCGCCCUAACGCAGCAGUUCAGUCCAUCUCGAGGAUUAAGACAAGGGGAUCCGCUUUCCCCUUACCUGUUCGUGAUCUGUGCUGAAGGGUUGUCAGCGUUGUUACACGAGGCCGAGGAGACGGGGAAGGUUAGUGGUGUCCAGAUUUGCCGAGCUGCACCAACUGUUUCACAUCUGUUCUUUGCAGAUGAUUCCAUGAUUUUGCUAAAGGCAACACAACAGGAAGCCACGACCCUUCGAGAUAUCCUUGAUCUUUAUGAAAAUUGAUCUGGCCAAAGUGUCAACAUGGAGAAAUCGGCGAUCAUGUUCUCGCCCAAUACUAGUACAGAGGCAAAAAGUUCAGUCAAAGGGUCGCUCAAAAUAUACAGUGAGAACUGGAACGAUCGCUAUUUGGGGCUACCUGUACAUGUAGGCAGAUCAAAACGGCGAGUCUUUGGCUACAUAAAGAAUAACAUUUGUGGCCGAAUGCAUGGAUGGCAGGAGAGACUGCUUGCGAAAGCCGGGAAGGAGACGCUCGUGAAAUCUGUGGCGCAGGCGAUACCGGCCUUUGCCAUGUCGUGUUUCGACCUGACGAAAGGUUUUUGCAAGGAACUGAAUACGCUCAUAGGGAAAUUUUGGUGGAGCCAACAGGAUAAAGAAAACACCAUGCACUGGCUAAGUUGGGAAACCUUGUCACUUCCGAAAGGUAUGGGUGGACUAGGCUUCAGGGAUAUGCACAGUUUCAAUAUGGCAAUGCUGUCUCGACAGGGGUGGAGACUGCUGCAAAAUCCGGAGUCCCUUUGUGGACGCAUCAUGAAAGCGAGAUACUUCCCUCAUUGUCAUCUGUUGGAUGCAGAACCUAGGGAUUGAAUAUCGUAUACAUGGCGGAGUAUUCUUCGUGGCCUCGAGCUAAUCAAGGAGGGUUAUAUCUGGCGAAUCGGCGAUGGGAUGGGAGUUAACAUCUGGUCCGAUCCCUGGAUUCCAAGGGCUUGGUCACGCCGUGUUAUUACACCCAAAGGACAGAACCUGAUUACACAGGUCAGCGAGCUUAUUUGCCCGAUUACAGGAGCAUGGGAUGAGCAGCUUGUUAAGGACACUUUCUGGCCGGAUGAUGUACGACACAUUCUCCAGAUUCCAUUGCGUGAAGGAGUCAGUGAUUUCAUGGCAUGGCAUUUUGACUCUAAAGGGAACCAUACUGUGAAAAGCGCCUACAAGCUAUUUGUACAGUUGCAGAAACAAGCAAGGAAUGGGGCCCCUGGCAGUAGCACAAUGGUGGCGGGAAACUUUGAUAGGUGGGAUAACCAGGCAUGGCAUAGGAUAUGGAAACUACCCUCCCACACAAGAUUCAGAUGUUCGCUUGGCGAGUCAAACACGAGUCACUGGCUUUCUGUACUAACCUGACGAGAAGAGGGGUCAGGCUCGAGAACUCCAAGUGCUUCUUUUGCGGGAGAGUGGAUGAAGACGGGGCUCAUCUUUUUGUCAAAUGCAAGGCUGUCAAGGAAGUGUGGAGGGCGAUGAGCCUGGAGAGGGUACGCUUGGAGAUGGAAGAGCUAUCGUCAGUACAUGCAAUCAUGGACCUGCUUUGGAGGCUAGAUGAAAAUGUGUGUGUCCAAAUCCUCACCUUCUGGUGGAACUGGUGGAACAAGAGGAAUAAAAUACGAGAAGGGGAAUUACCAAUCACGGAUGACGAGCUAAUUCGCCGAGUCCAAUGCAGUACCUUGGAGUUCAUGCAACUGUUUAGAACGAGUAAAAAGAAGCAAGCGGAGAGCAAGUGGGCACCGCCGGGUGAAGGAAUUCUAAAGAUCAAUGUGGAUGGAGCGUAUACGCCGGGCGAGACUUUUGCUGCAUGGGGAGCGGUUGUCCGUGACGAGGCGGGGGAUGUGCUGCUGGCCCGAGCUGGUAGGAAGGAGCAGAUAAAUGACCCAUUCACUACAGGAAUCAGCUAUUUUGCCGUUUGCCACGGCGGACGGCAAAGGCAUGAACGGCGGACGGCAAAAGGCUCCGGCAAAGUAGGCUACGGUAAAGAGCUACUUUGCCGUCUGCUUCCGGGCGGCUGACGGCAAAGGGCCUUCGCCGUCUGCAGCGGACGGCAAAGAGAGCAGACGACAAUAAUUGCGCUGGCAGUCCGUUAAGUGGCUAACGGCAGGCCUUUGCCGUCCGCCGCUGACGGCAAACUUUCUAGUGUCUUUGUCGUCUGCCACUGUAGGCAAACUCUCUAGUGUCUUUGCCGUCCGCCGCUGACAGCAAACUUUCUAGUGUCUUUGCCGUCUGCCACUGUAGGCAAACUGACCAAAUGGGUCAGCUCCCAGGAAGCACAGUUGGCUGCCACGUGGCUUCUUUGCCGUCUGCGGCUGACGGCAAAGAGCCCGUUGCCGUCGGUGGCAGACGGCAAAGAGCCUGCAUAUUGGCUCUUUUUCUGUUUUUUAUUAAAUCCAACAAUUUUCACAGCAAAUAUAUAUGACAUAUAUAGAUAUAUUUCACAGGCCUAUUUAACAGCAAACAUAUCACAUAUAUCCAGCACAUAAGUUCCAUCCAUUUAUACAUAAGCAAGUUCCAUCCAUUCAUACAUAAGCAAGUUCCAUCCAUACAUAUUACAUAAGCAAGUUCCAUCCAUCCAUUCAUACAUAAGCAAGUUCCAUCCAUACAUAAACAAGCACUCCAUAGCAAGCUAGCUUCCAUGAAGUGAAUGAAAUCUGCAAAAUGGCAAAAUAAGAAAGUUAGAAAUAGGUGACUAGAAUAAGAAGACUAGAACAAGAAGAGUAGAACAAGAAGAAGACUAGAACAAGAAGAGUAGAACAAGAAGAAGACUAGAACAAGAAGUAUAUGUCAUUUAUGAGCUAACUUACGUGAAAUGGAUCAUAUAUGAGCUAACUAAGUUGAAAUGGGUCGUUUAUGAGCUAGCUAAGGUGAAAUGGAUCAUUUAUGAGCUAACUUAGUUGAAAUGGGUCGUUUAUGAGCUAACUAAGGUCAAAUGGAUCGUUUUUGAGGUAACUAAGGUGAAAUGGAUCGUUUUUUAGCUAACGUAGGUGAAAUGGAUCAUGUAUGAGCUAACUUAGUUGAAAUGGAUCGUUUUUGAGCUAACUUAGGUGAAAUGGAUCAUUUAUGAGCUAAUUUAGUUGAAAUGGAUCUUUUUGAGCUAACUUAGGUGAAAUGGAUCAUUUAAGAGCUAAUUUAGGUGAAAUGGAUCGUUUUUUGAGCUAACUUGGUGAAAUGGAUUGUUUAUGAGCUAAAUUAGUUGAAAUGGAUCGUUUAUGAGAUAACCUAGGUAAGAUGGGUCAUUUUGGAGCUAACCUAGGUGAAAUGGGUCAUUUUAAAGCUAACGUAGGUAAAAUGGAUCAUUUAGGAGCUAAUCUAGGUAAAAUGGGUCAUUUUUGAGCUAACUUGGAUGAACUGGAUCAUUUAUAAGCUAACCAAGGUAAAAUGGGUCAUUUUAGAGCUAACUUAGGUAAAAUGGAUCGUUUAUGAGCUAACUAAGCUAAUUAUGCAAUUUUUGACAUAAGUAAGCUAAGUAUAGAUCGUUUUAGAGCUAACUUAGGUAAAAUGGAUGGUUUUGAAGGUCAGUAAGCUUAUUAAGUCAUUUUGGAGGAGAAGAAGCUAAGUCUAGGUCAUUAUGGUAAGCAUUGGAGGAAAUAAAGCUAAGUCUAGGUCUUUAUGGAUGGCGGCGAGGAAGGCACCGUAGCAGUCACCCUACCUCCUCUCCCGCGACCACGUGCCCCACCUCCUCUCUUCCUACCUCGUCCCCUGCUGGGCACCGCGGUCGACGAAGAAGGGCACGGCGGUGUCGCCAUACUGUCCAGCAACGCUCGGCGGAGAGGUGCAUGUGGAAUGGAAGACCUCACACCACGCUCCCGACCAGCGCCCGCCAUCUUUCAACACCUGCCAUGACAAACAAUAAACGAAAUUAGUACAACAUAAAAAAAGACCGACAUGAAUAAUAAUAUGUGUAUCACUUAAGUGUAUCAUCAUCAAGUACAACAUAAAAAAAA
RNAcentral lists this long non-coding RNA (118890 nucleotides) under Triticum aestivum (bread wheat). Its description in RNAcentral is "long non-coding RNA (TAES_LNC023774)". The record is from RNAcentral. Lineage: Eukaryota; Viridiplantae; Streptophyta; Magnoliopsida; Poales; Poaceae.